RNAcentral lists this long non-coding RNA (95533 nucleotides) under Sorghum bicolor (sorghum). RNAcentral describes it as "long non-coding RNA (SBIC_LNC015030)". The stretch from base 3867 to 3960 matches the Rfam family "MIR5387 microRNA precursor family". The record is from RNAcentral. Lineage: Eukaryota; Viridiplantae; Streptophyta; Magnoliopsida; Poales; Poaceae.
CUAUAAAUAGCUUGGGCCACCCAAAGCUUCAUCAUCCUCCGAUCCAUCCAUCUCUCGCCCAUAUCUAGUCUAGAUACUAAUAGCUUAGAAGCUAGCCCCACAUCUCGGUCGAUCAUAUCUCAACAAUGGCUUCUCGUGCCGCCACGCUGAAGAUGGCCACUGCAACUGCCCUUGUCCUGCUGGUCCUGCUAUGCAUGGCGACCUCACCUGUGACUGCCUGUACCACCACCUGUCAAUUCGCUUGUGGUACCUUUGCUAUACAAGUCUGCGGUACUUGUUCCACUUCCACGACAUGCAUCACUGAGGCUGAAAAGGUGUGUAUCAAGACCUGCACCGAAACCUGGUGCGGUAAGGUAUUUCUGCCAUGCCUCUAAGAAUAUGCAUGCAUGGAUUCGGAUCGGAUGGCUUAAUCGAUCUAUUCCGACUUCCUCGCUAGCACAUAUAUGGUUGUUGUUGCAGAGAAUAAAGGUGAGUGCAUGCAUGGAGGCAGCCUCUCCCCGUAUCGUGUGGUAUGUGGGAGGGCCUGCAUGCAUGAUGAUCCACGUUACUUUUUCCAAAAAACAUUCUAGUUAUAUUAUCUUAUGAUUAUUAUCAUCGCAUGUUUCUGUCGCCGGCAUGAUGCAUGGCGCGUACAAUAAGACGACGUCCUACUAGCGUAGGAGUAUUGUACACCUCUCUCCAUGCAUAUGUAUAAAUGGAAGGAGGAUUAAUAAUUAAUGUAUGUGCCCAUCUUGUGCCGUUGUGCAUGUCAACAUGUAAUUUCCUCUCAGGUUCUACCAGGGGCUUGAGGGAAUAUACGAUCAUGGUAUUAUCAUUAUAUAAUUUAUGAACUUCUCUAGCUAUUAUGAUGAAAUGAUAUUGUCCUGAUUAACAAGGCAGCUGGCUUCGUGCCUUGAACUAAUACUUCAUGCGACAAUUCGCUCUAUAUAUAUUCACGAAUUAAAUCUUCUCUCAAGUCACCGGUGCCAAAUCAACAAACUCCACUCUGUGUGUUGGAAUAUAUAGAUAGACAAGUGAAAGACAAGGAUCCUUUAAUAAUUAAAAAAGCACCCAAAAGUGUUGGCAGCCGCUGGUCAAAAAUAAACUUACCAUCUAUAACUAUAAGAUAUAUUGAUUGAUUUGGUUUUGGGCAUGCUUACUUGAAACACAAACUACUAUAUCAUUCUUCCAUUAUCUAGGAAUCAGGUGGGGGAAAGAAUCACUGCACAUCGUAUUCUGCUUCAGUGCUAGAUCAUGAUAUUGUAGCUUGUUUUCAUGCACUCAAUGAUAUAAGAUUGGAGCCAAGAAACACAGCAAAACCCCCUAUUGAUCGAUGAUCAUCAACAUCUUCUGUCCAAUCAGUAUCGGAGAAAGCACUUAUCAAAUUUGAAUAUGACUUUCUAACAUUAAGUUCAAGCUUCAGUGUCCCAUGUACGUACCGCAGUAUACAAAGUUGGCGGCUGAUAACCAUCUUCGCUUGCAUCGGUAUCUGUUGGUGGAACUGAGUUUGGCUGUGGCAGCAACCAUAACAGGAGACAUAGUAGAUCAUUGAAACUACAGUCUGACCAGUCAUACUUAGCCUUCAAGAUGAGUAGCUCAAGCACAAAACUUUACAUUGUCCAGUUCAACACCGUACAAAAUCACCUUCCUUGCUUUUUAACCAUUUCUAAAUUUUCUAGAUUUUUGAUGCUCUUUAGUAUAAUCUAUGUUCCAAUGGCCUAAAGCAUUUCCUCCAAACAAUCAGUAUCAUCUUUGUCCCUGACACAUCCUCCACCAUCAUUAUUGGCACCAUCUUCGUCGUUACCAUCCCAACCACCAGCAUCACCUUGUUCAUGGCCAUCAUCCAUUUAUGCAUCAAGCUCUGCUACAUAUCGGUCUUGGUAAUCUAGGCACAUUCGUUGGAUUCUUUAUUAGGAUAAAUGAUAACAAUUGUUUCACUAUGAUAAGUCCACACGGUGUAGUCCUUAACAAAUCCUCGCAUAAUCAAGUGUGAUAUGAUGAUAGUCACAUCUUUCCAUGUGAGAUGGUUCUUGCAGUCGCUACAUGGACAAAUAAUUUUAGUAUUAUUGUAGGUAAACAUUACAUGCUUCUAUGCGGCUUCAAGAAAUUUAUCCACUUCAAUUCGGAACCUGGCUCCCACUUUUUUUGUACCAUACAUCUAGGAGUUCUGGUAGUCUAUCUAUUAGGACAAUAAUCAAAGAGAAAAGUUAAAGGACUAAUUAUUCAUAUAUAUAUAUAUAUAUAUAUAUAUAGAGUACUCCUGGUCAUAUAAGAAUAUUGAUUUCUCCACCUACUUGUUUACGAUAAACAAUUUUUAGUAUAACAACAAUUAAUAUUUUCCCAUUAUCCUUCAUUCAAACUUAAUCUCAUUAUGUCAAACAAAAAAUAAUAAGAUUGUAGUUAGCAAAAAAAACAACCCCUAGUUCUAGAUCUCGAUGUAGAUCGAACAUCCAUAAAACUAACUUGUCCACUAAUGGUAUUGGUAGAUCUAGAUGUAGAUCAAACAUCAAUUAAUCAUCCAUAAAACAUCCAUAACUUGCUCACGGGGGCACAGGAGCUUGGCAUGUCAGAUCCCCUCGCGGUCGCGCAUUGGUAGCCGGUUGUCGGUGCAAGAUUUGGCCGAGAGCCUCACCAACAAGUAAACCGUGCUCUGCGCGUGCUAGACACGGAUGGUAGACAAUUUGACACUCGGUUUGUACUGGUUUGGGCCCUCGGAUGGGUCCCUACAUCUAGUGGGAAGUUCAGCUAGUAUUGUUCUUGCCAAUAUGGCUUGCAGUAGGGGUUAAAAGCUGUUUGAGAGAGGAAGGAGGUUCCCAAGUCUCUGGUGUAAGGAGUUGGUGUGUAUCGUUGUAAUUAUGGGUGGUGCACUCGAGUGUUUGUGUCACCAUUGUUCCAUUUUAUGCUUAGCCCCAAGCCCUUUUAUAGAUGAAGGCUGGGGGUGUACAUGUGUUGGGAGUGACCAGAACUAAAUAAGUCUUCAGGGUACAGCUCCUUCCUUUAGUUUUGAACGAACAAGAGGCAAGAUACGCUUGUUAAGCUUCAGACAUAUAGUUUAGUAGGAUAGCAAGUUUUAGACAACAGCAUUCAGUUUUCAGCAAGAAUCUAAACUAAAAUACGUAGAUUAUGCAUCAUGAGUGGUGAAGAAAAAACUAAACUUACAUCAGGCUAACUAUCCAGUGCUCAUCUACUAUUCAAACAUAGUGCUGGUAGAACCAGAGUUAGAUAAUCAUCUUGAAUUGACUCAAAAUUAUCAUGGGAUACAAUUUACAAAUGCAUGCUGCAAGAAAAAAAUCUCCAUAUUUUAUUGGUGAAACUGAAUACUUUGAUAAUCAAAGAACCCAGGACCCCUGUUUAUGGUUUUUUUAAGUUUCUUUAUAUAGAGGAUAUAAAUAUUUUACAGUUAACAUUUAUUAACCGCAUGUGGGUCGAACCAGUCAGUUAGGACACAUUUAACUUUGACAUGGGUCCCCCCAGUCCAUCUAGGACGUGGCUGUGGCAAGGUGAUUUUUUUUUAAAAAAUAUGUUUUUCAAUAAUGAUGAUCAUAUUCGAUCACUUUCAUCAUGAGCUAUUGUCACAAAGAUUGGGAAGGGUGAAUGGUGACGGUUGUUUAUGACUAAAGCACAUCUUGGUCACAAACGCUUGUCAUCCAUUGAGAACUUGUCGUAAACACGUCGUUUCUAUGACUAAAAAGUGCUUUAUCAUAUGAAAAUUGUCAUAGAAGGCCCAAUCUCUUGUAGUAUAGUUAAAAAAAGAGGAAUUAAAAUAUGUGAUGCACAUGCUAGAUGCAGUUAACACUACUACGGAAUGAGGCAUUGGUCGAUGCCCAAAAUGGCCAAAAACCUCGGCCUUUUUGCGGCCCGGGGUUAAAGGCCCCUUUAACACCGGUUCGUAACACGAACCGGUGCUAAAGGGUCCUGCCCAACGGCUACUGACAGGUGCUGUCAGGGCAGGAACCCUUUAGCACCGGCCUGUGCCACGAGCCAAAGCAAAGCCUUUAGCACCGGUCUGGCACAAAAACCAGUGCUAAAGGGUGACCCUUUAGCACCGGUUUUUGCCCUGAACCGGUGCUAAAGCUCCGGUUUAUAGGCCCGCCUUCUCCUUCCCUCUGCCCAUUUGAAACCGAGAGCACCAUUGUUGUUCUUGGAGCUUCUUCUUCCUUGUUCUUCAUUUGUUCUUCAUCUCCGACGCCCAUCGCUGAUCUUCUUCGACUCCGUCAUCGUUUCUUCGUGCUUGGAGGUGACUAACUUUAGUGUUUCUUGUCUUUUUCAUGUUGUUUUUGGCUUGUGAUGUUCCCAUUAUUUUUAGCUCAAAUCCACUUUGUUAUUUUGAAUCAUUCACAUGAAUUAGUAUCCAUAUAUAUAUAUAUAUAUAUCAUAUUUCAUGGUUGAUGGUUUACCUAGUAUUAAUGUAGUUUGCAAGAAUGAAUUAUAGUAUCUUUUUAUGAUCUUAGAAAGUAGGAUAGUUCAAAUUAAUUGGUUUGUUGUAACACCCAAAAUUUGGAUUUCACUUAAUACGAUUUAAUUUGAUUUAAUUAAGUAUUUUGUGAGCAUUUAAAUUUAGCAUUUAAAUAAUUUUCGGGAAAUUAAAAUUUAUCAUAAGUUUAGUAACAUGAUUUUGUGCAUUCAUGCUGGAGCAUAGUAUUUUUGUGUGUUGUUCAUGUUUUUAUUUUAUUUGUUGUUGCACAAAAUGUUGUUUGGAAAAAUGUUUUGGAAAAAGAAAACAAAAAAGAAAUUGAAAAAAAAGAAAGAGGGAAGCCCUCCCUGUCGGCCUGGCGGCCCAGCCAGCGCCUGGCUUUCCCCCGCAGCGCGCGGCUCAGGAAACCCCCGAAGCCCAGCAACAGGCCGCAGUGCGCCUCUCCCCCCUCUCUUGGUCACUGGCAGCCGGGCCCUCUUCUCCUUCUCUGGCUGCCAUGCGGGACCCGCCAGUCAGCCUCCUCUCUCACUUUCCUUCUUCUUCCCCGCCAGGACGCGCGCUGGGAAGUUUCCUCGCCGAUUCAAACCCGGAUCCUACGAUUUCCUUGCCGUUUUCGUGGAAUUAAACCCCUAUAUAUGCUUCAAACCUCGCCCGCACUCCAUUUUUCCCAUCGCGCCGCGGAAAUCGAGCCCUGGCCGCCUAGCUCAUCGCGUUCUUGAUCUCGCAAAGACCGCGUUGCUUCUACACCGCGAACCGAGCUCUCUGCUACUCCUCGGGUCGAGCCGACCUCCGUGGUGAGCUCGCCUUUCCCUCCUCUUCAACCCGGUGUUUUUCUUUCUUGAAACGGUGCUCGGAAACGAGAAGCUCGCGUACGCCGGUGAACUCCGUGGCGGCGCCCAUGGUCACCACCGCGCCGGAGGUCCCCUUGGCAGCCGGCUGCCGCCGCCUGGCGCCCCAGAUGCACUCGAGCCGUCCAGAUCGAGAUCAAGGGCCCAGAAACAAGGAUACCCCUUCACUUGCUGUUUUGCUAAAGAGCCCCUGGAAAAGUUGAUAACCAACCCGCGGUCCAAGGCGUAAUCACCAGUUUACGUUUUCAUUUUCUAAAAGCGUAUUUCCUCCGGUUUGAUUCAAUUACGCUUUCCAGAAAUUGUAGAAAUGCCACUGAUUUUGUUUUCCUCAUAAAAUACUCAUUUUAACUCUGUUUUAGUCCAUUCAAAUUCCGUUGGAUUCGUAUUUACGAUCUCUACAUGUUAGAAGUAUUUAUUCUCUGUUUUGAAACCUUUUAAUUCUGCAGUAGCAUUUAAUUAAUUAUUUCGCUAUAGGAAAUCUUGGAAAAUUCAUAUCUUUCACGUUUUAAUUCCGAUUUUCAUGAACUUUACGUUUGUGUGAUCGUAGCGCUGCGUAGAAUAUUUUCAUAAACUUUUAUCCUUGAUUUCUCACUGUUUGGUGUAUUGUUCUAAUUAUAUCUUGUUUGCUUUGUGUAUGAUUGUCUACAUUGGAUUGCGUGUUGUUGAUUGAUGUUUGGGAAUAGACGGUGAGCCGUACGUUGGUGAUCAAGACCAAGCUUUUGAAGACCAGCGGGCUCAGGAGAGCUUUGAGCAAGGUAAGUAUAACUUGGGAUCAUCCUUGUUACCUAUUCACUAUUAACUACAUAUAUAUAUAUAUCAUAUGCAUGCUAUCACCUUGUCGACCUUAGCAAAAUCAUAGAUGAGUGUUACCUGUAUUCCUUGCUACCUACUUGAUAUGCAUUUGUUGUAGAUGUGCUAGUGCUUGAUAUAAUCCAUGAUCUUGUAAGAUGAUUAAUAGCUGUGCAAUGAACCUAAAAGAAUGACAAAUAACUAUAUGAGAUCUUGUCUGUAAGUGAUCACCGGGACAAUAGUGCAACCAUGAGGGCUAUAAUGGCUCUGGCUUUAGCUCAGUAUGAAGCCCUUUUCUAGCUUGUUAGAGGUUACCUGAAAGGGCGGAGGGGCUGAACCGUUUUGGGUAUAGUGUGGCCUCUGUCUGUAUGAGUAUAGGCUGCGAGUCAUUGUGCCAUCGGAAGGGGGGCUCUAUAUCUGCGCGCAAAGGAAACCUUGCGGCCCUAACUUGUUAGACGAACUUUUGAAAGGCUUCAUAGUGAUCCCUGCCGACCUCCCUAGGAAGAGGGUUAAGAGAUUAGCUACCUCGGGCGAAAGGGUAAAUCAUGACUCAUGGGUAAAGAUGUACAACCUCUGCAGAGUGUAAAACUGGUAUACUAGCCGUGCUCACGGUUAUGAGCGGCCUUGGGGGUUCUUGCUGCGCCGACGAUGAGCUUAUUAAGUUGUUAUGUUCAUUUGAUUAUCGUUUAUGCUAUGAAUUAAUUAUGCUUACACUUGAUCAUGUGAUUAAUGGAUUAUUUAAGCUACCUUGAAAUUUGCUAUUUAAUUAUGAAUAUGCUAUCCACCAUUAAAAGCUAAAUGUAGUCAAACCAGUGUCAGCUAUUUGAGCCUCAUGAACCCCUGGUUAUACUUGUUGAGUACGAUAUGUGAUCACUCUUGCAAUUUUCCAACACCUCAGGAUAUGUUAAUGAAGAUGACUGGAAUGAGGAUUAUCGCUAUGAGUACUAGGUUUGGAGUCAACCAGUCAACAAUGUCCCUGUGUGGAGCUUCCGUCGAGAGCGUGAUUUACUUUAUGCUAUCAUUUUUGUAUGAGACUUUGUGAUAUAUUAUAUUCCGCUAUGUAAUAAACACUGCAAUGGUACGUUUGAGAUUUGUCUACUUAUGUGUGCGACUAUUCCUGGGGCACAUAUGAGUCUUUUAUGUAUCCUAUUUUGUUCUUAAAAUAUGGGUGUGACAUUUGUUAAUAUCACUUGAUUUAUUUUUAUUACUACAUAAUGUCCAUUGUAUAAUUUAGAAGAUUUGUUGAAGUAAUUAGACAAAUAAAGGAUAUUAUUAGGUUCUUCUUUAAUCAUACGUGUUUACUAGUAAAUGUGGAAUUUAUAAUUGUUUAAAAAUUGAGUAUGGAUAGUAGAUGGCAACCGUGACCGGGUCUUCGGUCUCUCAACGGGUUCAAAAGCGAUACCGGCCGGAACUUCCUCUCAUUACGUGUGGCAAGUGUGGGCAGAAGAUUGUGAUGGAGUACAAAGUGUCGAAAGAGGGAGUAAACAAGGGUCGUAUAUUCUACAAGUGUCCGGAUCGUAAUGUGAGUUAUUUCUAGACAUUUGCUUAUAUAUGUGCAUAUUUUUUUAAAUGAUAUUAAUUAAACUUUUGAUUCUCUCUUUUAAUUUCAGUGGGACGGUACCGGCGGAUGUACAGGUUGGUACUAGGAGGAAGAAUACAUUGAACACAUUAAGAAAUCUUUGCACAGGUGGUUGAGGCUGAAGGUGGUGAGGCAGUGAGCCGAGGAAAGGAGUUCAAUGAUGUUGAUCAAGCGAAUGAUCUAUCUAUUAUAGUUGGGAUCGGACGCGAACUAAUUAUGUUGCUUAAGUGCAUUUUAGUUUUGGUUUUUUAGUGCUAGUUGCGAUUGUAUUUGUUGUAGCCAAGCUUUCUUGAAUUAAUCAACUAUGUAUCUUAGACAUGUUGUGCAAUAAGAUGAGAAACUAUAUGUGUGCAUGGUUUUCAUAAUAUAUAUGUUAUAUUUAAUGCAGAUGGUAACACGUAAUUGGAUGUAUAAUGCCGAUCGGCGCUCCGAAGAGUUCAUUAAUGGCGUGCACUAUGACUAAAGCACAUCUUGGUCACAAACGCUUGUCAUCCAUUGAAAAAUUGUCGUAAACACCUCGUUUCUAUGACUAAAAAGUGCUUUGUCAUAUGAAAAUUGUCAUAGAGGGUCCAAUCUCUUGUAAUAUAGUUAUAAAAAAGAGGAACUAAAAUAUGUGAUGCACGUGCUAGAUGCAGUUAACCAAAAAUGAAUUGGUUAGUAAAGGAAAAUAGCAUGACACAAAGAACAAUGUUUGUGAAUAGGUGAAAGGGCGAGGUUAGAUCCAUAAAAGCGCUACAAUGGACAAUAUUUUAGCAAUUAAAGCCUUCUAGGGGUUAUUCAAAAGGUGUACAAGAGCAUCUCCGAUAGUUUUAAAAAAUAAUUCAUAAUUCAAUUAGUUUACCAAGUGUCUAAAAAAGUUGGGAGCACAUUUGUUGGGUUUGUCCAAUAGUUUUUGAAAUCUUGCACCUAAAAUAUAGGGAGAAAUUUUGCGCCUAGAACCCCUUAGUAUUUGCAAUCACCCUAACCACCCUUAUACUUUUCUUUAUAUUUUGUAUAGUUGCAUUGAGAACCCUAUCCUACUCUUUAUUGUUCUCUCCGUCCUUCCACUUCUAGAUUGGCCGUCCAAUUUCCCAAGUGCAGAAAGAUUAAGAGUUGAGUUAGGUAGUUGUUGGAGAGUGGUAUUUUCAAUGCCAAGAAAUAAGAUUGGGAGUGGCUUUUAAAAACUCUUAGAGAUGCUCUAACACACAUAGAUUAUAUUGGGCACAGUAGUAUUCUCCAAAAUCUUUUCUAUAAAAGCCUAAGAAAACAUCCAUGGUGGACGGUCGCACACCCAUGCCGAACGUGGAUUCACCAAGACAUGCGCCAAGGCUAGCCAUGGACUCGUCGAACGCUGCUGCUCACCUUGCGCCGCCACUUGCUGCAUGCCACUACAUACCAUGAGCCACCACUCAUCGCUGAUCACUGUGCUCCUGCAAAGGGAUGUUAUGGUGGAUUCAUAUAUGUGUGGUGGUGAGGAGUGGAAAGAAGUGAUGUUUUCACGGUUCCAUCCUCUAUAGUAGAAAAAUGGCUUUGACACCCCUAGACUUCUACACCAAAGUCGCUUCUUCCUUGGCGGUUUAGUAGGGUUUCAGCUAAAACCGCUUGAAAAACUCCUGUCAAACGAGGUCAUAUGUUUGUUCUCUCAUACCCAUCGCUCUAGUUCUUGCUCUCUCGCUUCCCCAAAAAUCCACAAUUAUCCUAGCACCACUGUCUCGUUCUCCCCAUGGUCGUCCCACUCAUUCCUAUCAUGGCCCUCAAUGAGGCCUAGAUUAUGGACUGUGCCAACCUGACAAGGCCUCACCAGCUACUAGUCAUAAUCAUAGUUAGCCAAUGGAUAAACUAGGGAGUUGAAUCUAAGAUAAUUCUAUAACUACGCCAAUGAAUAACUCUAAUUAGUGCAAUUACAUCUAGAAAUCAUCGUUAAGUCAACCCUAUAUCAUAAUUACAUGUAAAGAGGCAUCAAUUAAUGAGGGUAUUAAGACACAAGGGUCACGUCUUCGCGACCGCGCCCAUGCUUGUCCUACGGAGGGUGGACUACAGAGGAUCCAAUGCAGUUGUCACCUACGCGGUGUACCACAUGUCCCGGCACGUCAGGGUGCACUCGUAGACAAACAAGAUAUCUAGACACCACGUCUACAUAUUGUCUAUCAUCUACCCAACGAUCGAUUAGGUAAACGCUAUACGAGCAAUUACAUUAAUUCAAUAAGAUCAAACCAACUAUCCUAGACAUAUAAUCAAAGUAGACAAUGACUAAUGCAAUUAAGAACAUAUGAAUCUAUUAAGAAUAAAGUCUCCCUAAUAUACAACUGAAUACUGUACUUCUAAUCUAACUAACUAGAACUAUGAACUAGAAGGCGCUUGUUGAACUUGAAGGCGCUUGAUGCUUGAUGGCUUGAGGCUUUGAUGAAUAAUGAAUUGGCUCUCUCUUGGGGGUCUACCCAUGUAUUUAUAGUUCGGUGGGAUGCCCGUGUGCCAUAGGAUCAAACCGACUUAACCAAGGGCCGAGAUGCAUCUGGAGAGGCGGUGGAGGAAGCUUCUAGAAGAGAAGGGCCAAAACCCUAAUGGGGCAUCGGCCGGCACUAUGGUGGGGCCAGCCGGCCCCACCUAGCAGCCGCUAGGCCCCCCGUUGCUUCGGGUGCCUUCUCGAUCCUUUCUGAGUCUUCCCGCGGCAUUUCCCGUAGCGGAUAAGUUUCGUAUUUAUUUUGCACUAGAGUCCCUCUUUUCACCUUUCCUAAAAUUCACCCUCGAAAAUAUAGAAUAUACAAAACUCGUGGAAAUUGUCAGAUAAAACCCUAGACCAGUGUGUUUUUAUGUUUUCUUUCAGGUCUAAAGUUUAUAAUAAAAGUUGACGUUAUCGACCGUCAACAUAGACCUCGGAGCAAGGUUCGCUAAAAGGUAGAAGAAUAAAAUUAACCCUACUAAUAACUAACCUCAGUCAACGACAUAGUGGUAUACCAAAAACCUAUUUUAUAUUUCCAAUUAAUAAACACACAAUCUUAAUCAAUCUAGACCUCCAAAAUGGCCUCCAAUGGAUGGUGGCUUGUAACACCCUAAAAUUCGCAUCUUUUAAAAUAGGGCUAAAAUAAUUUAAUUAUGUAUUUUUUUUGCGGUCAUGAAAACAUAGGAAAAUAAUUUUUUUCAUCAAAUUAAAAUUUAUCAUAGGGUUUAGCAAUAUUGUUAUGUAUACAUGCUGGUGCAUAAGAUUUGAUGCAAUGUUUGCUUAUUUCUCGUUGUGUGUUGAUAGUGAGAAAAGAAUUUAAAAAUGCGUUUAGUAGGUCGAUCUUCCUUCUUCGGCACGCAUUUAUCUUUUUAUACCAUCAAAUUCUUUGUCUCUCAGCUCAAGAUUUCAUUCAGAGUCUCUUAGAAUCUUUUCAUUCAAUCCUAAGUUUCCUUUCAGUUUCUCGUCCAUCAAGCAAUCUUUAUAAACUUCUCGGGAAUUUUUCCGACCUUUUUUUCGUGAGCAUAAUCUAAUUUUUAUAUGUCUCUACAUAUCUUUUCAUGAGCUCAAAAUACUUUAUUUGGGCUCCUCAUGUUCUAAAGUGCCUCUAAUAAGAAUUUUCCUCAAAAAAUUUGAAAGCCUUCGGAGUACUUUUCGGGACUUAAAAAUCAAAUCUAGACUUUACUGGAAUUAUUUUAAUUUCGAAAUUAAUAAAAUAUCUCUUUUUAAUGCUCACUGUCCAUAUAGAAUAAUUCUUGUAAAUCUUAAAGAGCCAAACACGAGAUUGAAAAUAAUAUUAGGGUUUUAUCCUCUACGCGCCGCCAUUGAAGAUCAAUCUGUCGCUUAUAAAUUUCUGUUGGUGCCAUCAAUUGGCGAAUCGACACUGUAGCACUUUCGUUUGUAUUUGACAAAUAUUGUCCAAUCAUGGACUAACUAGGCUCAAAAGAUUCGUCUCGUCAAUUCCGAUCAAAUUGUGCAAUUAGUUUUUAUUUUCGUCUAUAUUUAAUACUUCAUGCAUGCGUCUAAAGAUUCGAUGUGAAGGGGAAUGUGAAAAAUUUUGCAAAAUUUUCUGGGAACUAAACAAGGCCCAAAUCGAAGGCCACUUGUAUCGAGUUGAAAUUGGUGCGCUUGUCCUGAAAACCAAUGAACACGUCGUUCCCAGUAGCACAUGCCAGGCGGAGCAAAGAAUCACCGCCGCCAGCUGCAUUACUUUUUCAUCCGUAAGGUAAUUUGGAUUUCUUUUUUUAUGGUUUUGCACAUAGAUCGAGGGCUUCAAGUUGCAGAUCGUGUGUUCCUGUGCAUGGAUGGAGAUUUGGUGAAUUUUGUUACACGAGCCUCUUCCCUCCUACACGAUGUAGCAGCAGCUGCUCCAUGCCUGCAAGGCCAUGUUCGGGAAGAACUUUACAGCCAGAUGCAGUUAUUUACAGUUUUGCCACUUCUGGUUUAAUCUCCCGCCGGAUUCGAAUAGUUCAAGUUGCGUUAGGUUUAUAACCACAAAAAAUUCAUGUUAGUAAUUAUUAAAUAAAAUAUUAUAUUUCUUAAUGUAGAUACAACUAGUUUUAUAAUUAAAAUCAACUUAGUGUUUUCACACCAGAUCUUUUAUAAACUUUUUAUACUGAUUUACAUGUUUGGUGUACUGUUCUAAUUAUAGCCUUGUUUGUUUCGUGUAUGUUUUCUUUGAUUGUUUGUGUGAUCGAUGAUUGAGUUUAGACGGAGAGCAGUUUUGGGUGAUCAAGAUCAGAGCUUGGACAACGAGUAAAGACCAGCAGAACCAAAAGGAUCAGCAAGAGCAAUUGGAUUAAGGCAAGUAUAGCAUUUGGAUUUUAUUUCUGUGACCAUGAUCCUGUGACUAGAUUAAUGUUAAGUAAUAAAUGAUAAAAAUAACUUUUUAGCAACUGGAUGAUUUAUCUGUACGUGAUCACCCGGGACAACAGUGCAACCAUGAGGGCUAUAAUGGCUCUGGCUUUAGCUCAGUAUGAAGACCUUUUCUAGCUUGUUAGAGGUUACCCGAAAGGGCGCUAGAGGGGCCUAACCGUUUUGGGUAUAGUGUGGCCUCUGUCUUUAUGUGUAUAGGCUGCAAGUCAUUGUGCCAUUGGAAGGAGGGCUCUAUAUCUGCGCGUCCGGGAAACCUUGCGGCCCUAACAUGUUAGACGAACUUUUGAAAGGCUUCAUAGUGAUCUCUGCCAACCUUCCUUGGUAGUGGGUUAAGAGGCUGAUCAUCUCGGGCGAAAGGGUUAAAUCAUGUCUCAUGGGUAAAGAUGUACAACCUCUGCAGAGUGUUAAAACUAGUAUACUAGCCGAGCUCACGGUCAGGAGCGGCCUUGGGGACAUCUACAUUAAGGGUGAUGAAUCUUGUAUGUUAAAUAUGCUCAUUGUUUAUUGUUUAAUGCUUUACAUUAUUUAUGUCACAUUGAUCAUGAGAUUGUGGGAUCUAUAUAAUCUAGUUGCUAUACUUGUGGAGUUCGACAUGGACUCACUCUUGCUAUUUCCCCCAUACAUCAGGAGGAGUGUUAGGCUUGUGAUCAACCAGUCAGUUGGAUCCUGUAGAGUGAAGUUAAUACCCGAAGUUGGAGUUGGCUAUCCGCUGUUUGCUAUUAAAGGUUAUCUCUUUUAUACUAAGUACGCUAUAUAUUUAUGUAUUGUUUUUUGAUAUUACCCUUUAUUUGUAGCUAUAUGUGGGAUUUGACUUCUAAAACUCACAUAUGGUGCGUAUCUAAUUUUUUCCUUAAAAUCGGGUAUUAUAUGGCUGCGAGAAACAGUUCUGCUUGAGGAGCACGAAGAGGUAUUUAUACUAGAAACUUCACUGGCGACUGGCUUAAGGAACCGCCAAUGUAAAUCCAUUUACACUAGCGGUUCACUUAAGAAAACCGCUAGUGUAAAUGGUGCAUUUCUACUGGCGGUUUACUUAAACCGCCUGUACACUGGCAGUUCACUUAAGUAAACUACUAGUGGAAAUGCAUCAUUUACACUGGCGAUUUUCUUAAGUUAACCACUAGUGCAAAUUUGUUUCCACUGGCAGUUCUUGAAUCGGGCCGGCCAUUUUCUUUGCAGUGGCGCGGGAUAAUUGAAACCGCCUUUAAAUUAGACACAACCGCCGUCAUAGAGCAUUUCUGUACUAGUGAUAACGUCACCAAACUUUUACUAUUGCUACCACCAUAAAUCUAUGGAACCUCAUUUCUUAGUGAAAGUGCCCGUCAUCUCUCAGGAUAUAAAAUGAUAGUGUUGCUUCACACAGAACCAUUUGCUUUCUCCAAUUAAAAUCAAAAGUUUAGCUUCCUGCUGAACAACAGUGCUGUGUAUGACAACUCAUUUGUGGCAACCAGCGUUCGAUAUCUAUUUUCUGGUUCCAACUAGAGCUAUUGCAUCGCGAUUUUUCCUCUACAACAUUGAAUUGCUACAAAAAAAAAUUUUGGCCAAUAAAAACAAUAGGUUUUCCAUAGCCAAAGUCAUCUGUAUUAAUUGUUUCAUGCUCAACCAAACUGAGCCUAUUUUUCAGACUGACAAACACCAAUUGGCAUUCUUUCUUUGCAGUAGAUUUGCCACGGCCACAGCUACACCUGCUGCUUCUGCUGAAACACAUACACGAACCAUAGAGCAGCCACACCUUUUGGAAGACAACAAGAUCUGCUUAUGUUUCGGUUCGAAGCCACUUCAUCAUCUCUUCCUCCAGUGAUCAGGCAUAUUCUAGCAAAAUGCUUAGGCUACAUCUACAUGCUUACCAUGUGUGUCCUGCAUAUAGCUGUCACAUGUACUUUACUCUAUGCACCCGUGUUAUACUCUAUACACCCGUGCAAACUUAACGCUCAUCUGUUUUUAAUUCACCAUAUGAGAUACUGUUAACCGUCCAUGUCUUUGUCAUCAACGAUGCGACACUGAAAAGGUCUCUUCUUUUGUGUAUGGGCCUGUAAAAUUCCACUAAAUUUGAGUAUGGGCCUGUUUGGCUUGGCUCCAAGUGGAGUUAGCCAAACACCCCAACUCCAGAAAAUGUUGGAGCAGCCCAACUCCAUGGAGUUUUUAGAGCUCUAGUACAAAUUUUUGGAGUACCUCUUCUCCAACUCCGAAACUGACCAAAACAGACCAAGACGUGGAGUUGGGGCGAAAUUACCCGUAAUUGCCACUGGUUACACAAGUGAAUCAUUAUUUUUUCUAUUCUCCCUACCCCAACCCCUUCCCCUUCACGCGAGCAGACUCCCUGCCCCGACCCGACAACCUUCACGCGCGGACAGAGGGAGCCCAUGACUCCUGUCGCCACCGUCCGCUUCCAAGGGACGAGCAGGCGGGCGCCCCCCCUCUCUCCGCCUCUCUCCCCCGCCCCCUCCCUCCAUCCGCCACUGGCGGCCGGCGAAGGAGAAGACAAGGAGAAGGUCAUCCUCAACCCUAACCGUAGAAAAGGGGAAGAAGGGUGCCUCUCCACCCACCGGCGGCCGGCGAAGCAGAAGAAGGGCGACGUGAGGCACCCCCGAUGCUCCCCCAACCUUGCAAGGCAUCCCCAUCCCCAUCUCUAUGCUGUGUGUUUUUUUAAGAACAAUGAGUUCAUGGUUUUGGAGAACAUGCUGUGUAGAAUUAUUGAUUUCAUGGAUUAUUCAGAUUAUCUAAGAUUUAUUAUUUCAGAUUAUCUUGUAUGUUAUUGAAUUUUAUUUUAUAUGCAUCAAAUAUUUUUUCACCUAUAAUUAUCUUUUCACGUUCUCAUUUUUCCAAGAAUGCACCGUAUAUGCAUGGUUCAAUUUUAAAGCAAACGGCCGAACGUAACGGGUGCAUAUGUGAUUGAAGGCAAGGGUAAAGUAGGCAAAACACAGUGACAAAGCACGACUCUGAAGCUCAUAGUACCAUUCUAGCCAAAUACCCAGUGGCGAAUCUAGCCGAAAACAUUGUUGGGGUCAUCAGGGUCAACUUCACUAUGUGAUAUAAUUUUUCUUAAGUUUAAAUAGUAAUUUACAAAGGAUUUUACAAAUUUUGUCGGGGUAGGCGGACCCCGAUGAACAACCCUAGAUUUGCCUCUGCAAAUACCCCUACAGACAGCUCCAACUCCACUCAGAGCCAACUCCAGCUGGAUUUAUGAAGUGGAGCUGCUCUGUCUGGAGUUGGAGACAUGCUAAACAGGCCGCAUAUACGAUCAGUGACCUACACUGAUGGUACUCGAUCAUCAGUGACCUACACUGAUGGUACUCACUAAUAGGUUGCAUGACUCUUUUUUUUCUUUUUAAUUCUACAAGAAAUAACUGCCCCGCGGCGUCGCGUGGGGUACUAAUUAGUAGAUGCAAAUAUUAGAUACAGAUAUUGAUAUAAAUCUUGUGUGGUUAUCGAUCAAUGGCUUGAUGCAAUACGAUGAAAAACAUGAAUGUUGAAAUCUAUUCAAAUCUAGUCUGUUUGAAUGUGAUUUUACAACUGUGAGUUUUUUUAAAAAAAAUAAAUUCUUAAAAUUCCUUGCACCUGAAAACCCUUUCUACUUGCGUUUUUCAGUACCGCCUGCGCUGGAGGUCAGUAGAAAUAGGACAUUUCUACAGGCGGUACCUAAGAACCGCCUGUGGAAAUGCAGGCGGUUCAGUUAUGUUUUUCCAGAAAAUAGGAAAUCGGCUUUUUUUCGCGUAAAAUCGCGUGCUUCGCGGCCGGUGGGAUUCGAACCUGAGACCUUGCCCUUGCGCGUAGCCUCCUCUACCACUCCACCUAUCACUCACUUGUGUCUAUAUUAGAGUUUAGUUUCCAACAUAUUAUCCCAAACCGAGCAUAUAUUGAUUAUUUGAGGCCCUAAACGGAUUCCAAUGGAAAAGUUGUCAACUACAAAGUUUCAUAACUUUUUAAGAUCUACAACUUUUAUAUUGGAAGUUUUUCCAUCCGAGGUCAUUUACAAAAUUUGAAUUUCAAAUUUAAGAAAUUCAAACGUAGUUUUCGACGACAAGAUGAUGUCAGAUGAAAAAAUUAUCAACUACAAAGUUUCAUAACUUUUCGUGAUCUACAACUUUCAUUUUGAUAGUUUUUUCAAACAAGGUCAUUUGAAAACCUCAAAAAAUUAAAUUUCAAAUGAUUUCUAUAGGCGGUUCAGUUAGGAAAACCGCCUGUAAAAUGCAUCUUCACAGACGGUUCGUAGUUUUUACACCGCACUUUUUACACCACAGACGCGUGAUAACUACAACCGCCUGUAGUAUAAAAAAUGGGCGUCGGCGUUGUACUCUUUUCUACUAGUGUUGGAUCCAAACUGUGACGACGAUGUUGACCUUGAUGUAUGUAUUUUAUUGACUUUGAUGCAAACUCCAUGGGAUCCGGUGUUGCUGGACUCAUCGGAUCAAUGCAUGUGCGCAUCAAACGAAGUAGCAACUUGCAUACCUGAAUUGAAGCUACAACUACAUCAGAUAUGCAUGCAUCGUAGUACGUGAAUAUAUAUACAAACACCAUUAUCGUAUUUUAUGGAUCAAAACAAAAGAAAGGCAUAUAGCACUACACCAUUUAUAUCCCUAGCUGCUUAACGGCCUGUUUCAUGAGGCUAAGCUUUACCUAGCUAGUUCUAAAACUUAGCUAAAAUUAAACCUAGCGCAUUAAAAUAGUGUGACAGAAUUAUUUUUUAGCUAAAUAUAUUUAACUAGUUGUUAGUUAGUACGUGCCAUUUAAUUAAUUUAAAUUAGGUUUUAGUAUAACUAUUCAUCGAUUCCAGAGAGAUCAGACAGCAUGAGGACCGGAUCCAUAUACUUCCUCCAUACCUAUAAUACUUGACGUCAGUUUUAAGAAAAGUUGACGUUGUGGCCACUAGAGGCUUAAACGUGACGCAUUUGCCCCUGCGCCUCUUUGGCUGCCGCAACGCUUGCUGUGAUGAUUGGGUUUCGAACUCUGCACCCGCAAAUCGUGGUCACAGAGAGCUGCUCUAGCCAGUUGGGCUAGACAACUAUCUUGUGUGAAGAGCAGUCAUAACUCUAUUUAAUAGGGGUAGAGAUGGAAAAAUACCCUCUAAUUAAUCACUCCUUGGUAAGUACAAUCAUGUCCUAAACGUCAAGAAUUUCAGGAUUCAGAAAUAGAGGGAGUACAAUCUCUUUUGCUGAUAUGCAUGGUCAGCCUCACGUGAAACAAGGUACUUUGAUCUAGGAGUACAGGCCACUCGCAAAUCGAAACUUGGCUCCUGUGGCACUACGGCAUCUGAAACUAAUAAAUAGUCUCUGUUGCAUACGGUGUGCACAUGAAUGAAUGAAUGAGGCCGGGUACCCACUAGGCAAUUUUCCAGUUCUACCUUCAUAUAUCUUCCACUUGGUCAAAUUCGCACUAGUUAAUUAGGCUCGUUUUCAGCCUGUCACUAUUAAAAAGAGAAAGUGACCCUGCAAAAGAUAUAAAAAUAUCAAAGUCACAAUGUCGGCAGCAUCUAUCGAAUUAAGUGUCUAUUUACUUUGUCAGUCCCAAUGAAAAAAAGUCAUAGUAAUUUGUAUAGUUUAGGACACUACCAAGAAACUAUUCUUACCGGUAUAAAUUUUUUUACUACAGUCUAGAUAUAAAUUUUCUCAGUCAUCGAACGUGUUCCUCUCUUCCAUAUGUGGAUCCUGUGUGCAGUUGCCUUUUCUUUUAAUUCUCUUCCGUUUCUUGUUACACAUACACAAGAAUGUUCAACCAAUUAGAAAACAUUAAUCACUAAACUGAAAAGUUAGAUGGGACUACACAAAGAAGAACAAAACAAAAAUAAAAAAACACUGAAGUGCUUGACAAAUGUAAUUUGAGCAGCUAGCGAUACGCACAAAUCAAAAUAGCUGAAUGCAACACCUGAUCACGGCACGUUGCAGCGAACCGAGCGCCGAGGCCCUUGCCGGCCGGCACUGCACCUGCUGCCUCGGUAAGGAUGGGGACGGUGCUCUAAACGGAUACGUGCGGAGUGUAACUGAAUGAAGUAAAUAAAAAAAUGAGAGAAAAAUUGUCUAUUUAGUUCAUAAAUUACACUAGAGAAUAACCGCGGAUAUCCAUUUGUAGGGCCACCCCCUCCUUACGCCUCGGGCUCCAGUGAGGCCGGCUCCACUGCUGGCGCAGGAGGUGAAGGCAAAGGAGGUGACCGGCUCCAUACAUGAACUUACGAGGGCCAUCAACGAGAGCUGCAAGCGAGGAGUAGCGGCGAUGCGAACGAGGGCCAUCAACGAGCACAUGCAACUAGAGCAUGAGAUCUGGACCGAUAAGAAGGAAACCAUCAGUUUCUUCCCAACACGAUUUGCGUCGUUUCCUCAUGCAUGGAUACCUGAGAAGACUUCGUUUUCUAUCAAGAAAACAGUUUUUCUAUUUUCUCUUCUCUCUCUAUAAUAAAUCUACUGUCAUAUCAACAAUUUGUGCAGUUGGCAAAGUAACUAAUAGAGAUAGAAGCUAUCAUAAAUACUCCAUUGAGACAGCCCUAAAAUUGCAAUAUGAUUUUUUUCAGGCUGUACAAGUUUUUGGCACUCUCCUAUAUUACUACACAUAAUUUUUUGAUGUAAAGUUGAUGUUAUUACUUUUGUAUUUGAAAUAGUUAUUUAUAAUUUGAUUUUGUAAAAUAACUGUAUAUAUAGAGGAUAUUUUUGCAAUAGUUUGGCAAUAAAUGAAUUGGAUAUUUCCAAGAGGAUAUCUCCAAGAGUUUACCAAAACCACUUGCUAUCCUUAGUUUUUUUGGCAAAACUAGAAAAAUCAAACUCCAACAGUUUGCCAUAUGUCUUGGCAAAAUUUCCCAACUUGCAAUCCACCGAUCGUUCACGCGCAUAUUUGCGCGCGGUAGGUGACUUGGCAUCGCGUGAAUCGCCGGCCCCGCCUCCUCUCCCGUGCGCUCGCCUCCUCCCGGGUCGGACGGGUCCUCAACCUCGACUUCACCGACCGCGACUUCGCACGUGGCCAGCAGGCGUCGUCGCGGGCCGCGGCGGCGCCCACUAUGAGCUGCUGCCUCCGGCUCCACGCCGAGCACGGUGCGCCGCUCGACGUGUUCUGCGUGGUCCUUACAUCACCGGCGCGGGGCACUGGUGGCGCCGACGCGUGGGUCGCGUCCGCCGUGGCGAGGGGCGCCAGGGAGGUGCAGGUGGACCUGACGCCACCGCCGACAAAGGGGGGCGCCGUUGAUGAAAGCGCGGCGCUCGUUGAACUCCCCGGCGACCUGUUCAUGUCCAAGAACUCGCUGGCGCGCCUCACGCUCGGCGGGUUCAGCCUCCGCGCCAUCCUGCCUGGCGCAGCCGGGCUCGCGGGUCUCCACUCGCUCUCCGUCAGCCACGCCGACAUCACAAACGAGGCGGUCCGAGACGUUGUGUCCAGCUGUCGGGCGCUCGAGCACCUCAGCCUGAGGAGCUGCGGCCUCCUCAGAUCGGUUAUAAUCACCGACGCGACGUUGCGAGCCCUGGAGAUCGUGCGCUGCCCGGUCAUGUGGGAGCUCCGGGUCACCGCACCCGCGCUCGAGUCGUUCGCCUUCCAUGGCGACACCGUCUACUCGGACGACUACGAGGACCUCUAUUCUGCCGUCGACCUGGGCUCCACGCCGGCUCUGCGGGACGCGUAACUUUCUCACAUCGGCUUCGACGACGACGUGAACGCGUACCAGGAUACGCCUACUCCUGUAUAAAAGGUUCUCCACACCGAGUAGUAUAAAAGAUUUUGUUCCUGUGCUUGACACAGAUGAAGUGGGCCUACUUUUUAAGCUUUACCAAGCCCAUAUGGCAAAUUAUUGGAGAGACUAUAAAAUUUCACUUGCCAAUGAUUUAGCAACUUGUCAAAUCACAAGAUUUGGCAAACUCUUGGAAAUACUCAUAGGUUUGCUUUUGAAAUAGUUAUGACUUACCUCUUCCACUCGCUCUCUCCUUGCACCGCUGCCCCCUCCCCUCUCUCACACCGCCGCUGCCCUAGUGUAGCAGCCCAAAUCCCCACCCCCGAGCAAGUACCAUGACACGUCCUCUCACAAGUUUUGCCAAAAAUUGCAACUGGCCAAAUCUAAAAUAAACAUUUAGAACAUUGAGCAACAUCAAUUGAUAAGGCAUCUAGAUUGGAAUUUUAAAAACACUACCUGAAUCACUCAAAAUUCUAACGCAGGCAAGGUCAUUGAAGGGACUAUAAUUUUUGAUAUAAAGUUAUCUUCAUCUGAAUUUAUAUGAAAAGUUAUAAAUUAUUUUUUGUUGCAAUUAUCAAUCGAGAUAGACAUAUCUCGAUUAACACCCGCCUCCAUUAAGCAUUAGUUGCUCAAACAUCUCAUAAAUUUAUUGCUCAAAAUUUAUAUAUGUGCACCUUUUAGAAAGUACGGCCGUGCAAAGACUCACACAAGAAAGAUAUCAGGCUAGUUUGGCUUUUGUGACAGGUCUAACUAUUUUUGAUCUCACCAUGGUGAGCAGGGGAGGAAUCAUAACUAUACACGUUUGUCCAUGUGACAAACAUAUUGGCGAGGUAAUUCAACAAGGAAAUCACUUCGAUUGCAGUGCUUUAUGAAUUAAUUCAGUUUGGAGCUAAUUCGAUUCACUUUGUGUUGCAUGGCUUGUGUACCAGCAAGGAGCUGUUGAUGAAACAGAACUAACUCAUUUUCGUUAUGUAAGUCUGUGUAUAGAUUAGUGGCUUAUUAUGUAAUGAUGAAGCAGCUGCUAGUGUAGUUUUGCAUCGGGGCACACACAACAUGAUAUGUCAGGCGCGGUGUUGCUACUGUAAAAAGUACACUUGUUUCUGCCACCCACAUCUGUUAAUAGGUAGAAAAAGGGCUGCCUCCUCUGAAAAUGAUUUUAAGUGCUACUAGUAGGGGUGCUGCGCGCUAAUUCUUUGCAAAUCAUGCAUUUGUGUAUAAUUGAUGUGGAUACGUCACUACUGGAAACUCGUUCUUGGCCGAGGGCCUAAGGCUUUGCCGAGGGCCAAAUCUCGGGCACUCGGCAAAGACCUUCUUUGCCGAGGGCCGCCAGCUGAGGCCCUCGGCAAAGAAAAGCCCUCGGCAAAGACGCCUUUGCCGAGGGCCAAGGCCAUCGGCAAAGAAAUUCUUUGCCGAGGGCCAAGGCCAUCGGCAAAGAAAUUCUUUGCCGAGGGCCACGGCCCUCGGCAAAGACGCCCUCGGCAAUUUUAUUGUGCUGAGUAACGGCAGCCGAGCCCCGUCAGCCUUUGCCGAGGGCCUCCCGUCAGGCCCUCGGCAAAGGUUUUUAAAUUUUUUUUUUCAAAAUUCUUUGCCGAGGGCCUUCCCUGUGGGCACAAAUCACAUUAUUUUUUUUUUUUAAUUUUUUUUUUCAGAAUUUUUUUUUUGAUUUUUGAGUCCAAUUUUUUUGUGGGCACAAAUCACAUUAUUUUAAACACAAUUUUAAAAAUUGGCACAAUUUUCACUUUUUUUUAUAUAUUUCUUGAAUUUUUUCAAUUCGUCGAAAUUUUCCCGCUGUUUUAAAUUUGAACUGCAGAUGCAUGGAAUAAUUCACUGUAGUCUUUCCAAAAAUGUUAUUCAUGUUAUUUGAUGUGUGUGGAGUCCCUACGCACAAACUGGAAUCAAAUUCCGCGCAUCUUUUACGCGUGACAUGAUUAGCCACUUCUUAGAAAAUUGAUUUAAAAUUAUAUUAAAUGUAUACGAAGUCAGAAAAUCACGAAACUUGACGAGGUUUCAUAUUGAGACAUGUGUAGGCUAUGAUAAAAAAUUCAAUCAUUUUCGAGUAAGUUGCGACGUCAUAUGUCCAAAACCCAGACAUCUCCCCUUGGCCGCGCGCUCGCCGGCCCUCGCGAGCUCGCUCGCCCCGGGUUGCGCGCCUGCCUGCGGCUUCGCCUGCCGCCUUGCGCUCCUCCCCCGCCCGCUCGCCACCGCCUAUCCGAGGGCAGAGGAGAAGGAGGUGGGAGAAGGAGAAGUAGCCCCGUGUUGCGACGUGGUUACUACCAUCGCAAGGUAUGGCACCGCUUUCUUCUUUCCCUUGAUAUUAUACAUGUGGUGGUAGUGGUGUUGGUGGCAUAAUUUCUGUGUUAGUAGCCUAGCAGUAGCUGUGUUUCUGAUGGCAUGGAGACGAUAUAUAUAUAUACAUGUGUGUGUGAUCGUUGGCCAUCGUGCCUACGUUUGUUGCAGGUUUUUCAGAACCUCCCGAUGCAGUGAAGGUGCUGUCGAAAUUUUCAAUUGACACUAACCUAUUGCCUUUUUAUGCAGGAGAAGAGCACGUUGCAGGAGACCCAGAGGACGCCAUUUGUCUUCGUCGGCGUCGCGGUUCUGCCUGCACUGCGUCGCCUCACCACUGCGUCGACUCGCACUGCAUCGGUAGCCUGACUUCACCGACACCCUAGGUAUAAAUAGCCUCUCUUUCUUAUUAGUGUCGUAGAUCACGUGACCUAGUUAGGCGUCUCCCGUCCGAAAGAGAUACGGUCGUAGGUAUGUGGAUCUUUGCAUAUCUUCGACCGUAUCUGUUUUGGAUUGUCCACAUUUUUUGGACAGCCCGCAGAUGCGUAGAUGAGUUAGUUUCCAUGGUCCGGUCCUGUCCGAGACAAAGUUUCGACAUCACCUCCCUGUUGUUCUCCGGAUACACACUCUCCUUUGUAGGACGUGUAUCGGGAGAACGACGAGGAGGUGCUGCCGAAAUUUUGUCUCGGAUAGGACCCGACCAUGGAAACUAACUCAUCUACGUAUCUGCGGGUGGGAUUAGGACCUAUCCUCACCUAUUAGAUAGUAGUAACACCGCGUAGAUGCAAUUGAUGGUCACAAUACUUUGUGAUGUAAAUGUUAAAGGAUGGAGGAUCGUGAGUGGAUGUACACGGGCUGGAGAAGCGGGAAUGACUAUGACGUUGCAUGGGUGAAGGGGGUUGAUCUUUUCUUGAACAAGCAUUUGGCCCAGCAGCAGGAGGACAUUCUCUAGUGUGGUGUCCCUGUAUGAAAUGUGACAACAUGCGAAAGGUAGACAAGAAGACCAUGGGUAGACAUCUUGUGUUCAAUGGUUAUACGCCUAGCUACCAUCGGUGGAUCUACCAUGGUGAAGCAGAUCGUAUAAGAGCGGAGGUGGUGAGACCACGGCUCGAGGCUUUUGAUGAUGAUGCUGGGGUAGCAGACAUGUUAGAUGACACCCACCAAGCUCACUUUGCUGAACAACGUGAGAGGGAGGAGAUGGAGGACUCCGCAAAGGGUUUCUACAAAAUGUUGGACUCGGCACAGAAACCCCUUCACGAGCGUACAAUGAUUUCUCAGCUGGAUGCGAUUGGACGCUUAAUGGGGUUGAAGGCUGAGUUAAACCUAAGUCGAGAAGGCUUCGAUAAGAUGUUGGCCGUGUUUGGCACCAUGCUACCGGAGAAGCAUACUUUGCCGAUGAACUUGUACGAGGCAGAGAAAGUCCUUCGUAUGCUGAAGAUGCCAUAUGACAAGAUACAUGUUUGUCCAAAUGGGUGCAUCCUAUUUAGGAAAGAACACAAGGAUGCAAAUUAUUGUCCGAAGUGUAAAUCCUCUAGGUACCUAGAGGUAGACUCUGGUGAUGGUCAGAAGAAGCAGCUUCAGAUCCCCGCGAGAGUGCUACGUCACCUCCCUUUCCUGCCAAGAAUCCAACGCCUAUUCAUGACCGAGGAAUCCGCAAAACAGAUGACAUGGCACAAAGAUGGCAAACGGUAUAAUCCUGAGAAGAUGGUACAUCCGUCAGAUGCUGAAGCAUGGACGUACUUUAAUGACCAACCUCCUGACAAAGCAUCUGAGGCCCGUAAUGUACGUGUCGCACUAGCAACAGAUGGGUUCAAUCCUUAUGGAAUGAUGGCUGCCCCAUACACAUGCUGGCCCGUUUUUGUUAUCCCCCUCAAUCUCCCUCCUGGCAUCUCAUUUCAGCGACAUAAUGUAUUCUUAUCGUUGAUAAUUCUUGGACAUCCGGGUAGUAAUAUGAGUGUGUUCAUGGAGCCUAUGAUUGAUGAAUUGAUCCACGCUUGGGAGAAGGGGGUAUGAACAUAUGACCGAGCUACAAAGACAAGCUUCAAAAUGCACGUUUGGUACCACUACUCCCUGCAUGACUUCUUGGCAUAUGGGUUAUUCGCUGCCUGGUGUGUUCACGGGAAGUUCCCAUGCCCAAUAUGCAAGGAAGCUGUGAGGUUCAUUUGGUUGAAGAAGGGUGGCAAGUAUUCAUCGUUCGAUCAACAUCGUCAAUUCCUCCCUCUAGACCAUGAAUUCAGACAACACAUCAAGAGCUUUACAAAAGGUGUCAAAGUGAUAGACCCUAAACCGCACUUGAGGACUGGUGCCGAGGUAAGUAACUAUAGAUGUCAUCACAGCUACUUCAUAAGAUAUGUUGGAAAUCAUAAGAGAAACUAAUAAAUUUUCUUAAUCACUUGUGCAGGACUUGGUUGGUUUUGUCGGGUACUACAGCACGCACCCCUGCGAGCGUCCUCGGUGUUUUGUGCAGGAAAUGGUACCCCGACAUUAUGAAACUGUCCGAGGAGCCGGUGGUGCGGGAGCCGGCAUCCAACUGGGAUAGGUACGCGCUGGCCACAGAUGACACUUACCGCAACAAGCAGGAGCGGGUAUUAGCGGAGUUUUGGGUAAGUCUCUCUCGCAGAACAUUGCUUAAUACAUCAUAUUCAUUGGUUAAAACUUUUAUUGAAAUAAUGAAUGGAUACAUUGGUUUUGUAUGUAGAAAUUUUUCAAGGCCGAAGAAGGACUUGAGGCCCAGGCGGAUCGGGUGGCUACUACAGCUUGUAGGAAGUACGUCACCGAGAUGCACCACAAUGCGCGCAUCCAGUCCCACAUAGACUACUACAGGUCGGUACUUCACCAGUCCCUCCGCAAGGCACAAGCAAGACAGGUUACGCUGACCUGAGACCAGUACCUUGAGGUAGGUGAAUAACAUUCACAAUGAUUCGUUUUGAUAUUAAGUGGGUUCAAUUUUAUCUUCUAAUGUGUCAAAUACUCUGUUGAUGAUUUGUAGGUGAUUCCCUGGUGGUGCCGAUCGUUUCCCGAGUGCUGGGCCAUGAUCGUGGACAAAUGGUUGUCACAGGACUAUCUUGACACGCAUGAGAAGCAGCGGGAACAACGUCUGAUGAGGCAAGGUCCGACUCACCAUUAAGGCAGCCGCAGCCUCCCUGCAUACAAACAAGCAUAUGUAAGUUAUUUUUUCAUUUCUUUUGAGACUCAAUUAUGCUAGAUUUCUCACCAUCUUCCCGCCUUUCUUGCAGGAGGCUGCGCACCCGGGCGAGGAGGUCUCAGAGUUCUCUGCGUGGGCUAUGUCCCACAUGGGCAGGGCGUCGUCCUCUGUCUCCUUCGAUCCAGCUGCCCCCCCAGAGGUGUACUCCGACCCGAACGUGUACACUAAAGUUCAAGAGUACACGUCAGCGGUAAGGGAGAUCCAUGGGGAAGAUUACAAUGUGCGCACUGAGCCCAUUGAUGCAGAGGCAAUCAUGAGGCUCGGAGGAGGCAAGAAGCACGGGCGACUGUGGAUUGCAGAUGGUGCCAUUGACUCCUCCACUGUUCGAAACCUCGACGCUAUCCGAGCACGGAGCACGAGCUCUAGCCAGGCCAUACGCCCACGCCCUUCUCCAGCACUGCGGCAGGUUGAAGCACUCCAGGUAAUGGAUCUCUUACUCAUCGUAUGUUCAUAUUUACACACCAAAAUUACAAGCAGAUUACUAAUAUAUUGGAGUGAAAUAUUGUAGGCUGAGCUGCAAGAAACAAAAAGGCAAAGCCAAGAGCAGACCGCGGCACUAACCGCACAGCUAGAGGCACAGAAGGCCGCGUUCGAGGGAGCGCAGAAGCAGAUGGCGGAGAUGAUGGUGAUCAUGCAAAGUCUUGGGCAAGCAUCGGGUGUACCUGUGCUGUUUUCAGCUCCUCCUCCUACUCCUACAGCUACUCCUGUAAGUAUAAAAGUCCGUUUUUCACUUGUCUUUGCAUGUAUGUUGGCCUUCGUGCCGUUGUGGAUGUCGGCGUUCGUGCCGUUGUGGAUGUCGGCCUUCGUGCCGCUGUUUUUGCAGGUUUUGUAAACCUCCCUGUUUAGGGGAGGUGGUGCCAAAAUUUUUAAUAUUUUUUUCCCAUAUUACUCAAACAUGCAAUCUCUGUUUCUUUGUGCAGCCUCCGUCCGCGGGUUCGAAUCAUCCUGCAAAUGCGUAGGCCUUUCCUUCACCAUCGUCUCAUAGGCUACCUUGAUGAGGACUCGUGGUAGGUGAUGUGGUUGGACUUUAGCGUGAUUUGUGGUUUAUAGUUGUGACUUGUGUUUGGAUUUGAUGAACUUGUUGUAAUAAACAUGUGAAUGAUGAUGAACAUGCUGAGACUUGUAAUAUGGUUGUGAUAUUAUGAUUUGUGGUUCAUAAUUAUGGUUGUGAUAUAUUGUGAGAAAUGGGAUUAUGCGUGAUAUACAUAUGUGAUGGUUGAUAUAUAUAUAUAUAAAAUGUGUAUGUCGAUGGAAUGUAAAAAACAAAUUAAAAAUAAAAUUUUCUGUCUAUUUGCCGAGGGUCUUUGACCACAGCCCUCGGCAAAGAUUGGGUCUUUGCCGAGGGCCUUCGCCAUAGCCCUUGGCAAAGAAAGUUACAGAAAAAUUCCUGCGUACACUCUUUGCCGAGGGCCGCAAGGAGGCCCUCGGCAAAGAAUUUUUUUUAAAAAAAAUCUAGGCAUUUUCUUUGCCGAGGGCCUCCCUGUAGCCCUCGGCAAAGAUUUUUUUGAAAAAAAAUCUGCUCAAUUUCUUUGCCGAGGGCCGGAGGUAGAGGCCCUCGGCAAAGACUCCAUCCCGAGAAACGGCGCCGUUAUGGUUAAUUUUCUUUGCCGAGGGUCGGCAAAGGCUUUGCCGAGUGCCCGACAAACGGCCCUCGACAAAGGCCAUCUUUGCCGUCUAAAAAUUCCCCGAGAGCCCUUUGCCGAGGGCCGCGCAAAGCCUUUGCCGAGGGCUUCUAGCCCUCGGCAAAGAGGGCGCGUCCAGUAGUGCGUUUUGAACUAUUGCGCGCGGAUUGCAUGAAUGAAUAAUAAUUAAUCUCAAGAAUUAACAGACGGUCAUGGGAUGACUAAGCUAAGGGAGCGAGAGAGCAUAUGCAUGCAUGUAGUAAACUGUGCUCAUGUUGUACAUAGAUUCAAGUGGCCGGCCUGGUAACGUGGCCUCGAAAAAGGGAAACCCAGAGGACUGUUGCCCGUAUUCCCAACUCAACUCGAAGGAAAAAAAAUUAAUUAAGCAAGCAUGCAGCAUCCAUGCACGUUAAUUUAAUUAACAAAGGUCAAUGCUUCACAUAUGCAUCAGUAUGUAGCUGAGUCAUGCAUGCCUGCUUUGCUGGCGAGUGUACUAUACCCAACAAUGUGUAUUGUUAAAGGUUUUUGCUGCCUAUAAAUAGCUUGGGCCACCCAAAGCUUCAUCAUCCUCCGAUCCAUCCAUCUCUCGCCCAUAUCUAGUCUAGAUACUAAUAGCUUAGAAGCUAGCCCCACAUCUCGGUCGAUCAUAUCUCAACAAUGGCUUCUCGUGCCGCCACGCUGAAGAUGGCCACUGCAACUGCCCUUGUCCUGCUGGUCCUGCUAUGCAUGGCGACCUCACCUGUGACUGCCUGUACCACCACCUGUCAAUUCGCCUGUGGUACCUUUGCUAUACAAGUCUGCGGUACUUGUUCCACUACCACGACAUGCAUCACUGAGGCUGAAAAGGUGUGUAUCAAGACCUGCACCGAAACCUGGUGCGGUAAGGUAUUCCUGCCAUGCCUCUAAGAAUAUGCAUGCAUGGAUUCGGAUCGGAUGGCUUAAUCGAUCUAUUCCGACUUUCUCGCUAGCGCAUGGUUGUUGUUGCAGAGAAUAAAGGUGAGUGCAUGCAAGGAGGCAGCCCUCUCCCCGUGUGGUAUGUGGGGGAGGGCUUGCAUGCAUGCUUGAUGAUCCACGUUACAUUUUCCAUUUAUAUUCUAGUUAUAUUAUCUUAUUAUCAUCGCAUAUUUCUGCCGCGGGCAUGAUGCAUGGUGCGUACAAUAAGACGACGUCCUACUAGCGUAGGAGUAUUGUAAACCUCUCUCCAUGCAUGUAUAAAUGGAAGGAGGAUUAAUAAUUAAUAUAGUGCGUGCCCAUCUUAUGCCGUUGUGCAUGUCAACAUGUAAUUCCUCUCAGGUUCUACCAGGGGCUUGAGGGAUAUAUACGAUCAUGGUAUUAUCAUUAUAUGUAAUUUAUGAACUUCCCUAUUAUGAUGAUAUAAUAUUGUCCAGAUUAACAAGGCAGCUAGCUUCGUGCCUUGAACUAAUACUGCAUGCGACAAUUCGCUAUAUAUAUAUUCACGAAUUAAAUCUUCUCUCAAGUCACCGGUGCCAAAUCAACAAACUCCACUCUGUGUGUUGGAAUAUAUAGAUAGACAAGUGAAAGACAAGGAUCCUUUAAUAAUUAAAAAGCACCCAAAAGUGUUGGCCAGCCGCCGGUCAAAAAUAAACUUACCAUCUAUAACUAUAAGAUUGACUGAGGGAUGGUUCUUGAUGCUAUGUAUUGAUUGAUUUGGUUUUGGCAUGCUUACUUGAAACACAAACUAUACUAUAUCAUUCUUCCAUUAUCUAGGAAUCAGGUGGGGGAAAGAAUCACUGCACAUUGUAUUCUGCUUCAGUGCUAGAUCAUGAUAUUGUAGCUUGUUUUCAUGCACUCAAUGAUAUAAGAUUGGAGCUAAGAAACACAGCGAAACCCCCUAUUGAUCGAUGAUCAUCAACAUCUUUUGUCCAAUCAGUAUCCGAGAAAGCACUUAUAAAAUUUGAAUAUGACUUUCUAACUUUGAGUCCAAGCUUCAGUGUCCCAUGUACGUACCACAGUAUAAAAAGUUGGUGGCUGAUAACCAUCUUCGCUUGCAUUGGUAUCUGUUGGUGGAACUACGUUUGGCUGUGGCAGCAACCAUAACAGGAGACACGAUAGAUUAUUGAAACUACAGUCUAACCAGUCAUACUUAGCCUUCAAAAUGAGUAGCUCAAGCACAAAACUUUACAUUGUCUAGUUCAACACUACUGUACAAAAUCACCUUCCUUGCUUUUUAACCAUUUCUAAAUUUUCUAGACCUUUGAUGCUCUUUAGUAUAAUCUCUGUUCCAAUGGCCUAAAGCAUUUCCUCCAAAACAAUCACUAUCAUCUUUGUCCAUGACACAUCCUCCACCAUCAUUAUUGGCACCAUCUUCGUCGUUUCCAUCCCAACCACCAGCAUCACAACUUUGUUCAUGGCCAUCAUCCAUUUAUGCAUCAAGCACUACUACAUAUCGGUCUUGGUAAUCUAGGCACAUUCGUUGGCUUCUUUAUUAGGAUAAAUGUUAUCAAUUGUUUCACUAUGAUAAGUCCACACGGUGUAGUCCUUAACAAAUCCUUGCAUAAUCAAGUGUGAUAUGAUGAUAGUCACAUCUUUCCAUGUGAGAUGGUUCUUGCAAUCGCUACAUGGACAAAUAAUUUCAGUAUUAUUGUAGGUAAACAUUACAUGCUUCUAUGCGGCUUCAAGAAAUUUAUCCACUUCAAUACGGAACUUGGCUCCCUCCUUUUUGUACCAUACAUCUAGGAGUUCUGGUAGUCUAUCUUUUAGGACAACAAUCAAAGAAAACCGUGCCCUGCGCGUGCUAGACCCGGAUGGUAGACAAUUCGACACUCGGUUUGUACUGGUUUGGGCCCUCGGAUGGGUCCUACAACUAGUGGGAAGUUCAGCUAGUAUUGCUCUUGCCAAUAGGGCUUGCAGUAGGGGUUAAAAGUUGUUUGAGAGAGGAAGGAGGUUCCCAAGUCUCUGGUGUAAGAGUUGGUGUGUAUCGUUGUAAUUAUGGGUGGUGCACUCGAGUGUUUGUGUCACCAUUGUUCCAUUUUGUGCUUAGCCCCAAGCCCUUUUAUAGAUCAAGGCUGGGGGUGUACAUGUGUUGGGAGUGACCAGAACUAAAUAAGUCUUCAGGGUACAGCUCCUUCCUUUAGUUUUGAACGAACAAGAGGCAAGAUACGCUUGUUAAGCUUCAGACAUAUAGUUUAGUAGGAUAGCAAGUUUUAGACAACAGCAUUCAGUUUUCAGCAAGAUUCUAAACUAAAAUACGUAGAUUAUGCAUCAUGAGUGGUGAAGAAAAAACUAAACUUACAUCAGGCUAACUAUCCAGUGCUCAUCUACUAUUCAAACAUAGUGCUGGUAGAACCAGAGUUAGAUAAUCACCUUGAAUUGACUCAAAAUUAUCAUGGGAUACAAUUUACAAAUGCAUGUUGCAAGAAAAAAAUCUCCAUAUUUUAUUGGUGAAACUGAAUACUUUGAUAUUCAAAGAACCCAGAACCCCUGUUUAUGGUUUUUUUAAGUUUCUUUAUAUAGAGGAUAUAAAUAUUUUACAAUUAACAUUUAACCGCAUGUGGGUCGAACCAGUCAGUUAGGACACAUUUAACUUAGACAUGGGUCCCGCCAGUCCAUCUAGGACGUGGCUGUGGCAAGGUGAUUUUUUAAAAAAAUAUGUUUUUCAAUAAUGAUGAUCAUAUUCAAUCACUUUCAUCAUGAGCUAUUGUCACAAAGAUUGGGAAGGGUGAAUGGUGACGGUUGUUUAUGACUAAAGCACAUCUUGGUCACAAACGCUUGUCAUCCAUUGAGAACUUGUCGUAAACACGUCGUUUCUAUGACUAAAAAGUGCUUUACAUAUGAAAAUUGUCAUAGAAGGCCCAAUCUCUUGUAGUAUAGUUAUAAAAAAGAGGAAUUAAAAUAUUUGAUGCACAUGCUAGAUGCAGUUAACCAAAAAUGAAUUGGUUAGUAAAGGAAAAUAGCAUGACACAAUGAACAUUGUUUGUGAAUAGGUGAAAGGGCGAGGUUAGAUCCAUAAAAGCGCUACAAUGGAUUAUAUUUUAGCAAUUAAAGCCUUCUAGGGGUUAUUCAAAAGGUGUACAAGAGCAUCUCCGAUAGUUUUAAAAAAUAAUUCAUAAUUCAGUUAGUUUACCAAGUGUCUAAAAAAGUUGGGAGCACAUUUGUUGGGUUUGUCCAAUAGUUUUUGAAAUCUGCACCUAAAAUAUAGGGAGAAAUUUUGCGCCUAGAACCCCAUACUAUUUGCAAUCACCCUAACCACCAUUAUACUUUUCUUUAUAUUUUGUAUAUUUGCAUUGAGAACCCUAUCCUACUCUUUAUUGUUCUCUACGUCCUUCCACUUCUAGAUUGGUAGUUGUUUACCAAGUGCAGAAAGAUUACCAAGUGCAGAAAGAUUAAGAGUUGAGUUAGGUAGUUGUUGGAGAGUGGUAUUUUCAAUGCCAAGAAAUAAGAUUGGGAGUGGCUUUUGAAAACUCUUAGAGAUGCUCUAACACACAUAGAUUAUAUUGGGCAUAAUAGUAUUCUCCAAUAUAUUUUCUAUAAAAGCCUAAGAAAACAUCCAUGGUGGACGGUCGCACACCCAUGCCGAACGUGGAUUCACCAGGACAUGCGCCUAGGCUAGCCAUGGACUCGUCGAACACUGCUGCUCACCUUGCGCCGCCGCUUGCUGCAUGCCACUACAUACCAUGAGCCACCACUCAUCGCUGCUCACUGUGCUCCUGCAAAGGGAUGUUAUGGUGGAUUCAUAUAUGUGUAGGGGUGAGGAGUGGAAAGAAGUGAUGUUUUCACGGUUCCAUCCUCUAUAGUAGAAAAAUGGCUUUGACACCCCUAGACUUCUACACCAAAGUCGCUUCUUCCUUGGCGGCUUCGUAGGGUUUUAGCUAUGAAAAACUUCUGUCAAACGAGGUCAUAUGUUUGUUCUCUUAUACCCAUCGCUCCAGUUCUUGCUCUCUCGCUUCCCCACAAAUCCACAAUUAUCGUAGCACCACUAUCUUCCUUCUCCCCAUGGUCGUCCCACUCAGUCCUAUCGUGGCCCUCAAUGAGGCUUAGAUUAUGGAUUGUGCCAACCUGACAAGGCCUCACCAGCUACUAGUCAUAAUCAUAGUAAGCCAAUGGAUAAACUAGGGAGUUGAAUCUAAGGUAAUUCUAUAACUAUGCCAAUGAAUAACUCUAAUUAGUGCAAUUACAUCUAGAAAUCAUCGUUAAGUCAACCCUAUAUCAUAAUUAGAUGUAAAGAGGCAUCAAUUAAUGAGGGUAUUAAGACACAUGGGUCACCUCAUUCGCGACCGCGCCCAUGCUUGUCCUAUGUACGGAGGGUGGACUAUAGAAGAUCCAACGCAGUUGUCACCUACGCAGUCUACCACACGUCCCGCACGUCAUGGUGCACUCGUAGGCAAACAAGAUAUCUAGACACCACGUCUACAUAUUGUCUAUCAUCUACCCAACGAUCGAUUAGGUAAACGCUAUACGAGCAAUUACAUGAAUUCAAUAAGAUCAAACCAACUAUCCUAGACAUAUAAUCAAAGUAGACAAUAACUAAUGCAAUUAAGAACAUAUGAAUCUAUUAAGAAUAAAGUCUCCCUAAUAUACAAUUGAAUAUUGUAAAGUAAGAACUAGAUCUAUUACCAAACUCUUGCGCUCCAGAUCGACGCCAGGGGCUCCAGAUCUCGAUGAAGAACUAGAUCUCCUCUACUUCUAAUCUAACUAACUAGAACUAUGAACUAGAAGGCUCUUGAUGAACUUGAAGGCGCUUGAUGCUUGAUGGCUUGAGGCCUUGAUGAAUUGGUUGAUUUAGGAUUGUCUCCAGGGGGGUCUACCCUGUAUUUAUAGUCUGGUGGGAUGCGCGUGCGCUGUAGGAUCAAACCGACUUAACCAAGGGCUGAGAUGCAUCAGGAGAGGCGGUGGAGGAAGCUUCUAGAAGUGGAGGGCCAAAACCCUAAGGGGGCGCCGGCUAGCGCUAGGGUGGGGCCGGCCAGCCCCACCUGGCAGCCGCCAGGCCCCCCGCUGCUUCGGGUGCAUUCUCGAUCCUUCCUGAGUCUUCUCGCGACGUUUCCCAUAGCGGAUAUGUUUCGUGUUUAUUUUGCACUAGAGUCCCUCCUUUCAGCUUUCCUGAAAUUCAGCCUGGAAAAUACAGAAUAUACAAAACUCGUGGAAAUUGUUCGAUAAAACCCUAGACUAGUGUGUUUUAAUGUUUUCCUUCAGGUCUAAAGUUAUAAUAAAAGUUGACGUUAUUGACCAUCAACAUAUGUGUUAUUGCUGAUGAAGUUCACAUCCUCUUGCAGUGUAGGGCAACUGAUAGCUGAGUGCCCGUAGUCUCCACAUUCUUCACAUGUCAUAUGGGAAUCAUUGAUGUGCAUGACUUCCUUCUUCUCUAUGUCGAGCUUCUUCAUAAUGAGGUCUAGCUUGGUAGUGACCAUGUCAGCUUCCUUGAGAUGAUGGAUUCCUCCUCCUUUCUUUUGAGACUGGGUACGUUCUUCAUUGCAUGUUGAAUUUGAGGCCAUCUUCUCAACAAGUGCUUUAGCGUCUGAGAGCUUAAGUGAUAGGAAAGCUCCCACAGCUGCAGCAUCAAUAGACUCAUAGGUACUAGAGAUGAGCCCAUGAUAGAAAGUUUGCAUUAACAACCACUCCUCUAUCCCAUGAUGAGGAUAGUCUUCAAUGUAAUUCUAGAAUCUUUCCCAUGCUUCAGUGAAUGAUUCAUCAUGUUAUUGUUGGAAACUUGAAAUCUUCCCAUGCAGAGCAUUAGUCUUGGCUAUAGGAAAGAAUUUUGCCAGGAAAGCAGUUGAGCAAAGGUCCCAUGUAUUGUGUUUGUCUUUCUUGGUGUAGAACCACUGCUUAGCUUUUCCCAAUAAUGAGAACGGGAAAAGAUGGAGUAAGAUAGCAUCCUUUGGUACUCCUCUGAUUGUGAAGGUGCUGCAGAUCUCUAGAAAGUGUUGUAAGUGUGCACUUGCAUCUUCAUGAGCUUUUCCACAGAAUUGGCUGGCUUGAACCAUAGUGAUGAGAGUAGGCUUGAGCAUCUUCAUGUUUGCUGUUAUUGGGGAAGAGAACUCUUGCAGUGUCUCAGCCAUGUCUUCAAACACAGGAGCUAGGUUUCCACCUAACCGCUCUUCUCCUUGUUCUUCUAUUUGUUCUUCAAAUUUCUCUUCCAAUAUUCGAGAUGGCUCCUCUGAUGAGCUAGCUUGAGCGGCAGAUUGUGUUCUUGAUGGUGAUUCAAAUUUGUCCCUUGCUUCUAUAAACUUCUUCUUUCUAAGGAGUUUCUCUAGAUCUUCAGUAAAAUUUCUUGGAAGAGCAAAAUCUUUCAUUCAUCACCUUGCAUAAGAUAAGAAAAUGAUAACGACGAAAGGUGUACCUGAUUGAGUUAGAAAUUGAUUGGUAAUAUGACUUUAUCCAUACGUAUAUAUAUGUUAUCAAUAUAUCCUAAGUUUAUUGUGCCUUCCCCGGCAACGGCGCCAAAAAUGCUUGUUGACAUUUACUACCGUCGUUACUAAAAAUAGAGAUAAACCCUACCCCUAGCAACAACACUAGAAAUGCACAAUAUAUCAUUAACUUGUCAAAUAGCAACUAACCACUCUAACAUUCUUAAGCAUGAAGUAGGUUGUCAUCCCUAAUUACAUUGCUAGGAAUUUUAUAUAAAUUCACAUGUUCUACUGUAACUAGACAGAGAAUAAAAGAUAUGAAUACACUUAUAAACUAAAUUUGUUCUGUAAGCGGACAGAUAAUUAUAUUGUUGUAGCAUUUUACCUAUGGAAGUAUCCAGGUUGUCGAUUUAUAUUUAUACCACUCGGAAGUCUAAGUGUUAAACUAUAAUCUAUUAUACUGAUAAGAAACUAUAUAUAUGGAUGAAUAAAUGAUAUUACCCAAGUCAUAUAAUGUACUCAUAACAGGAAGAGGUCACAAGAUAAAUAUGGAUAAAUAAUAAUGAUAGCAUAAUCAUCAAGUAUCAUAAAUAACGAUAAUCAUCAGAGCAUCUACUAGUCAUAAUCAUAGCUAGCCAAUGGAUAAACUAGAGAGUUGGAUCUAAAGUAAUUCUAUAACUACGUCAAUGAAUAACUCUAAUUAGUGUAAUUACAUCUAGAAAUCAUCGUUAAGUCAACCCUAGAUCAUAAUUAGAUGUAAAGAGGCAUCAACUAAUGAGGGUAUUAAGACACAAGGGUCACCUCCUUCGCGACCGCGCCAUGCUAGUCCUAUAUACGGAGGGUGGACUACAGAGGAUCCAACGUAGCUGUCACCUACGUGGUCUACCACACGUCCCGACAUGUCUGGGUGCACUCGUAGAUAAACAAGAUAUCUAGACACCACGUCUACAUAUUGUCUACCAUGUACCUAACGAUCAAUUAGGUAAACGCUAUACGAGCAAUUACAUGAAUUCAAUAAGAUCAAACCAACUAUCCUAAACAUAUAAUCAAAGUAGACAAUGACUAUUACAAUUAAGAACAUAUGAAUCUAUUAAGAAUAAAGUCUAUCUAAUAUACAAUUGAAUACUAUAAAGUAAGAACUAGAUAUAUUACCAAACUCUUGCGCUCCAGACUAACGCCAGGGGCUCCAGAUCCCGAUGAAGAACUAGAUCUCCUCUACUUCUAAUCUAACUAACUUGAACUAUGAACUAGAUGGCUCUUGAUGAAAUUGGAGGCACUUGAUGCUUGAUGGCUUGAGUCCUUGAUGAAUAAUGAAUUGGCUCUCUCCAGAGGGGGUCUACCCAUGUAUUUAUAGUUCAGUGGGAUGCUCGUGCGAUGUAGGAUCAAACCGACUUAACCAAGGGUCGAGAUGCAUCAAGAGAGGCGGUGGAGGAAGCUUCCAGAAGAGAAGGGCCAAAACCCUAAGGGGGGCAUCGGCCGGUGCUAUGGUGGGGGGACGACCAGCCCCACCUGGCAGCUGCCAGGCCCCCCGUUGCUUCGGGUGCCUUCUCGAUCCUUCCUGAGUCUUCCCGCGAUGUUUCCCAUGGCGGAUAAGUUUCGUGUUUAUUUUGCACUAGAGUCCCUCUUUUCGGCUUUCCUGAAAUUCACCCUAGAAAAUACGGAAUAUACAAAACUCGUAGAAAUUGUCUGGUAAAACCCUAGACCAGUGUGUUUUCAUGUUUUCCUUCAGGUCUAAAGUUAUAAUAAAAGUUGACGUUAUCGACCGUCAACAUAGACCUCUAAGCAAGGUUCGCUAAAAGGUAGAAGAAUAAAAUUAACCCUACUAAUAAGUAACCUCAGUCAACGACAUAGUGGUAAACCAAAAACCUGUUUUAUAUUUCCAAUUAAUAAACACACAAUCUUAAUCAAUCUAGACCUCCAAAAUGGCCUCCAAUGGAUGGUGGCUGCGAGAAACAGUUCUGCUUGUGGAGCACGAAGAGGAAUUUAUACUAGAAACUUCACUGGCGGCUGGCUUAAGGAACCGCCAAUGUAAAUCCACUUACACUGGCGGUUCACUUAAGAAAACCGCUAGUGUAAAUGGUGCAUUUCUACUGGCGGUUUACUUAAACCGCAUGUACACUGGCAGCUCACUUAAGUAAACUACUAGUGCAAAUGCACCAUUUACAUUGGCGAUCUUCUUAAGUUAACCACUAGUGCAAAUUUGUUUCCACUGGCAGUUCUUGAAUCGUGCCGGCCAUUUUCUUUGCAGUGACGUGCGAUAAUUGAAACCGCCUAUAAAUUAGACACAACCGCUGCCAUAGAGCAUUUUCUGUACUAGUGAUAAUGUCACCAAACUUUUACUAUUGCUACCAUCAUAAAUCUAUCACUGGUACAAGAAAGGGCUUUAGCCCCGGGCCGUAAGGGCCUUUAGUCCUGGUUGCGGAACCGGGGCUAAGGUUUUGGGACUAAAUGUCCCACUUCUAGUCCCGGUUCCGCGGACCGGGACUAAAGGUCCACCUUUAGUCCCGGUUGGUAUCAGCAACCGGGACUAAAAGGUACGCCAGAGUGUGCCACCUAGCCUCCACUUUUAGUCCCGGUUGUUGCUACCAACCAGGACUAAAGAUUUUUUUAUUUUUUUCUUUUCUUUUCAUUUGGUUUUCCAUUUAGGGUUUACAAUUAUGUUAUUAUUAUUUUUGAAUGCGUAUUGUUUGCUGGUAGUUUAUGGAACGCGCACCUAUAAUUUAUAUAAUUUAAAGCAUUACAUAUAAAUAUACUAUAAAACACUAUAUAUAUAUAUUAUAUGUAUCUAUAGGUCCAUAAUAUAAUAUUUACACAUAUGCUUCACAGACAAAGUAUUUACCACACAAUUUAUCUCCGCCACUCAAGCAUCGUACAAAUGAUCAUCGUGAUUUGGUUUCAUUGGCUCCUGAGGGUUGAAGUAGCACUCGCCGCCGGGAUUCAGGACUUGGUCGUUAAGAAAUCCUACGAUUGUCUCUUAAAUUCCUUUUAGGCGCACCGCAUCCAACACCUACUCCUUCAACCACAUCUCCUUUAAUAGACAUUAAAGAAAAAAGUUAGAGGUAUGAAUAGGAUUUAUUAAAUAGCAACAAAUAAAUGAAAUAAACUUAUUAUAUAAACAUGUUACAUACUUUUAGGUGCUCAAGAUUAGUUCUUUUGGCAUAGACCGUCAUAAACUCGUACACAUAGUAGCCACACAAAUUGUUGCCCGGUGUCUGCCGUAGAACCCACAGAAGUUCAAAAAAGCAGAAUUUAAAAGAGCAGAAUUAUUAAUUAUCCAUUACAAAGUUUAAAGAGCAGAAUUUAAUAUAUAGAUAUCAGAGUUACCAUUGGAUAAUAUCUAUCAUUUCUUGGUAAUCGUCCUGUGGUUUUCUCAACGAGAGUCAUAGAUUACCAAUUAACAUUGCCAGAGAUCAAUGACAAUUAGUAUCCAAUGAAAGCUGCAUUUGUGUGCAUGUAGGCAAAACUAGUAUAUAUCUUUAUACUGAUCUGAUUAAUUAGUUAAAUAGAAUGUACACACGAUAACAACACUUACUUAAAGUUGUAGGGAAAGAGUAUAUAUCUUUUAUCUUUUUAAUUGAUCAAGAACCUCCGUAGAUUUCUCUCCGUUUGAGUUCUCCAUAAGACAUACGGGGUCUUCUGGUCUUUGAAUACAACAUUUCAAUCCACAAAUCCAAUCUCCUUGUCAUUUCUAACUCUGAGGUCCCUCAUCAUGUUUCUGCAUAUGUAUAGCGGGUUUCUAUAAUUAGUUAUAUAUACACAUGAUAACUUACAGUGACAUUAUUGAAAAAAAGAAUCACUUACAGACAGAAGCAACUCAUUAGAGAUUUGUCAAGAGUGUCCAUGUGGCACAGUUGGUGUAGCUCAUUAAAUUGAACAUAAAUAAUAUCAUCACCACAGAAGUAAUGAUAGUUUCUAAUUCGGACACAAGAUAAUCAUCAACUUUUCUGACACACGCUGCCAUAUACCAUUUGUUUAGCAUGUACAUUUGCGUUCCAAGUUUGCUGAGGGCCGCAGGGUUGUAUAGACUCUUGCCAUAUGUAUAUCCCUUCUGCCAAUGAUCGAAUUCUGGAGCACUUUCAAUUGGUGCCCCAGCUAUCAUUUGGGCUAAGCUGAGACCAGUUUCCGCAAAAAAAUUUCAAGCUCAUCAAAUUUUAAAUCUGUCGAUAUCUGCUGGUCUAGCACGUCAGUGUUUGAACCAUAUUCAUUUCCAAUUACUAGCGGGGAAACUGAUUGCUUUGAUUGUUCCCCGAGCUGUGCUACACCCUUGCGUGCUCUUUUCUCUUUCUUUUUCUCUUCUUCUAUGGAUUUCCUUAAAGUGCGAUCAUAGUCCGAUAAAGAUGAUGAUUCUUUCUGAGCUUCAUGCCUUUUUUUUUGAGCCUCAACCCUUUGUCGUAGAUCUUUCAGUCUUAAGUUUCUUGAAGAAACUAUCCACAUCUGAUUUUACCGAAGCAUCUAGUUCUGCAUCAGUCUUCUCAUAGGACAGCUUCUUAGGAAUGAUAGUUUGUUUCUUUUCGGAGGCUUUCUUUUUUGGCGGCGGGGCGGCCGACACAUUUGAUUGUGUGGCCGGCCUCUUCUUUCGUGCUGGAGCCACGUGUGGAGGCGAUGGGGCGGCCGGUGGCGGUGUUGGAGCCCGAGGAGGCGGCGUUGGAGCCCUAGGUGGCGUUGGAGCCCUAGGUUUUGGUGUUGGAGCCUGAGGUGGCGGUGUUGGAGCCCGAGGUGGCGGUGUUGGAGCCCUAGGUGGUGGUGUUGGAGACCGAGGCGAUGCAGCCGUGUCUUGCACUCCCUCGUCAUCACCCGCAGCACUAGGACAUGUUGGUGACCACUUGUGAAACCAAAAGGUAUAUGAGUAAACCGCUAACUAAGAGAAUGCAAAAUAAAGUUAGUGAACAAAUGUAUAGUCAAUUUUCAUCCACACCUAGGAUUAGAUUCAUGAGAGGAGGUGGUGGUAGACUACUAGGUGAUGCCCCAGGAAUAAUGAUGUAGCGCUUGCACCAACAAAUAAAAGUCUUCUCUCCAUCACCUCCUUCUAUCUCAAGCUGCACAUUACUGAAGCCUUUGACAACUCUAUCCACCGAGACACUAGCAUAUCCAGGUGGAACUAUCGCCCCAUUGAUUCUUGGUGUCUUCGUAGGGUCGACAGGAGUUACAACACCGACAACAACCAUGACUGUGGCAGUCCCCUAUGGAAUGUGCAGCUCACAUGUUGUCAGAGCUUCACUAAUGUCAUCCACCGGAAAGUGCAGCCCCACAUCGUCUUGAAUAGUUGGCAUCUCCGUGGAAGCACAACUGCUUUUCAACUGACUGGGGGGGGCUAAUGUUGACUCUAGGCUCUGAUGCAGUUUGCCUUUGUAUAGAACUUACUGCCAUCUGCACUUGUCUUUUGAUCUCCUCAUUCAUUCUCUCUUCAAGCGCUUUCUCUCGCGCUAUCGCUUCAUGAGCCGCUUUGCAUGACUCCAUCACCAUUGCCUCCAACCUACGCAACCGCUCUACUUCCUCUUUCUUCUUUCUUUGGCGGCUUCUAUAAGUCGGUCUAUCUUUAGGGAAGCCAUGCUCCCACGAUACAUACCCAUAGCCUCUUGUUCGCCCACCGUGUUCAGCAGUCUCCAGGGCGUAUGUCAGCUCAUCCUUUUCUCUAUUUGGCUGCCAGGUGUCACUUUCAACUAAUCCUCUAGCAUAGGCCAUUCUCUGUCCUACUCUCUCCAGCUUUUCGCCGUACACUAUCUUUCCGGUCUCUAGGUCUAUGGUUCCCUCGUGACCGAAGAACCAAUACUUGGCGCGCUCAGGCCAGUGCAUUGAUUCUGGUUCGAUCCCUCUCCCAAGAAUCUCCUGUUCCAUCUAUUGCCACAUAGGAAUAGCAGUCUAGCCACCUGAACCCAAGUGAUGGUGGUAUUGCUUUUGUUUAGCAUUUUCCUGAUUCUUGAUCAUCCGUGCCUGACCCUCUUCUGAGUUCUUAAACUCUACGAACUCAUCCCAAAAAGGCCUCAACUUGACGUAGGCCUUGUUGGUGAAAUCCGGUGUCCGGCCAUGUGCAACAAAAGUCUUGUAUAAUGUCUUCUUCCAAGCUUGAAAUUGUUUGGCCAUCUUCUGCAUAGCCCAGAUUUUAACCUUCUCCUUCAAAGCUUCAUCUUGUGUAUCGAGCGUGAAAUGUUGAAGGAUAUCUAGCCAAAUCAAUUCCUUGUCACGAUCUGAGACAAAACUAAUAUUAGAGUUAUCUUUCCGUUGCUUACAUUCACGAGCACUGACCGGGAGCCCGUCCCUUACAAGGUACCCACAGUGCGCAACAAAUUUUUUAGAAUUGGCCCCAAGCACUUGUCUUGUACCCUCAUCAAAUCUAGAUGUGCCACUGCAGCAUGUAAUUAAUUUACGAGACAAAUUUUUUGCAAGUAAACAAGGCCCUCCAUAUAUAUGUUUACAGCAUGUAAUUAAUUUGCAAGAUAAAUAUGAUAAACGAAACACUUCCAUACAUAUAUGUAUACAUGCCUUAGCUAAAAAUUAGAUAAAAUUAGCUAAGAGUAAUUACACAGUUCAUAGGGAAACCGCGAGACAAACCUUUUAAGCUUAAUUAGUUUUUGUUAGCCAUAAUUACUAUAAUAACACAGAUAUGCUAAUAACGGAUUAGUUAGAUAUAAUAAAUUUGUCUCACAGUUUUUAGAGAGAUUAUAUAAUUAAUUUUUUAAAUUAAUAUCCAAACUGCUCUUUCGAUAUUCCAUAAAUUAUUCGAUACAACAACUAAAGACUUGUUUAGUUUCAAAAAUAUUCGAUACAACAACUAAGGGCUAACAUAAACUAAUAUACAGGAUACAUAUAUAACAAUAAACUAAUUACAACUAAGGGCUAACAUAAACUAAUUACAACACAGGACAAAUUAUAUUAUAUAAAUUAUAUAAUACAAAAGAUAAAUUAUAAAAUAGAAAUUAUACAUCUCAUCUCAAUAUCUAACCCUACUAACCAAUUACAACACAGGAUAGUUUCUCAUAACAAUUUCUCAUCCAAAUCUAAACAUAUAUAGUUUCUCAUAACAAUUUGCUCAACAUAUAUAGUUUCAAAAAAACAUCACAAUGCAAAAGUGCUGGCCGAGAGAUCAUCUUCGUACGGUGGCGACCGAGGGAAAAGAAGCUCGCGCGCGCGGUGUACGGAGAAGAAACGCGCACGGCGUACGGUCGCCGGAGAAGAAGGCCUCGGCGGUGUGGCCGGAGAAGAAGGCCUCGGCGGCGUGGCCGGAGAAGAAGCUCUCGGCGGUGUACGGAGAAGAAGGCGCUCGGGGCCGGAGAAAGAAGCGGUGGGGGCGCUCCUCGGCUACGGUGGCGGCGGCGGCGCUCCUGGGCUCGGCCGGGGACGAGGGUGAGGCGACGACGGGGAGGAGCGGCGCGUGGCGGAGGAAGUUAGGGCAACGUCGAUCUGAGAAAGAAGACUGUGCGCUUAAAUAUACGCGGGGACCUUUAGUCCCGGUGCGUGUCACCAACUGGGACUAAAAGGUCUUUAGUCUUGGUUGGUGAUACGCACCGGGACUAAAUGUAUUUUUGCUGUUUCUUAUUUAUUUAUGCUUACAAUAAUUAGAUUAAUUUUGUUAAUUGCAUAGUAAAUAGAAUAAUAGUUAUUAAUUUGUUAAAAAAUAAUAGUUCCAUUUCUUUUUGUCCAAUUGCUUACAUAAUAAAUUUGGAAACAUAAAAUCUUUUCAUCUCUUAUAUUAGCAAACUUAAAUAUGAAAAAAUUAGUAUUUUGUUAAUGCAAAAAUGUAUAAUUUAAUUUUAAUAUCUUAAAGUAGGUGUUUUUGAUAGAAAAUUUGUUUGUGCAUUAUUUAAAAGCAAAUUUUGUUUAUUUAUCAUCAUUUAUCUUCAAAAUCAUGAUAUACGUGAUAUUCACCAUUACAUCGGAUUAUUUUUUUUAAAGAGUUUUCUCUAUUUCUUAUUUAUUUAAGCUUACAACAAUAUUCACCAUUACAUCGGAUUAUCUCUAACAACUUUGUAUUUAAAUUUUUUUCAUUUCAAGUCAACAAAUGGGUCAUUUGACCAAGUUUGACUAAAGUCAAAACAUUGGUUUUUAGAAACACACACUUUGACCGAACCCUAUAUGGUCCCAAAUGGUAAAGUAAUGAAUACAAAGUUUGUUGCACUCAUCAAGUUCUACAUUUGGUCUAAUGGUCAACUUUUCUUUUAGAAAAGUUUGAACCACUCAAUUUUGAAUUUUGAAAGAAUUCAUAGCCACACAUCGGUUUUCGGAACCCUGGGAAAAGUCAUGAAUACCAAUAUUGUUACACUCAUCAAAAUCUACAUUUAAUAUAUAGACAGUUUUUGCAUUUGACAAAGUGUUGGGAAGCUGUAGUUGAAAAUCCACAAUUGACACAUAUAGUUUCAUACAGUUUGUGUGAGAUUCAAGAUUUGGUGGGAAUUUUGAACUUAAAUUUUCUCAAAUAGAAAAAUUGUCUAUAUAAAAAGUUUAGAUCUUGGUGAUAUCUAACAACUUGGUAUUCAAAUUUUUUUCAUUUUAAGUAAUUUAGUUUGUCAUUUGACCAAGUUUGACUAUUUUUGCAUUUGACAAAGUGUUGAGAAGGUGUAGUUGAAAAUCCACAAUUGACACAUCUCUUAUAAUAGCAAACUUAAAUGUCAUUUCCCACAAGUCAUUUCAUUAUUUGAAAUGAUAUAAAAUAAGAAAAACUAAUAUAAACAUCUUAAGUUACAAUUGUCACAUACACAUACUCUAAUGCAAUCUAUUUAUUAGGCGGGCACAAUAGUGAUCUUCUUUUUGACGUAUGUUCCUUGGUCAUGAUCUUGAUGUAACCAUGGAGUGUCCUCAGCAUUUAUCAGUAUGCUCGGAUCUUUGGUCACAUUGAAAGGCGUGAUUCUGUCAUCCCAUUCAUAGUCUUCCGAAACAUCUGACUUGUCCUCAAUUCCCACAAUGUUUCUUUUCCCUUGAGAGAACUAUAUGGCGUUUUGGCUCAUUUGUUGAUUUGUUGUCAUUUUUCCCUCUCUUCUGUUUUUAGACAUGUCUUUCACAUAGAACACCUGAUUCACAUCAGCAGCAAGGAUGAAUGGUUCAUCUUUGUAACCAACAUUGUUGAGGUCCACUGUUGUCAUUAGAUAGUCUUUGUCAACUGUCACCUCGACUCCGGUAACCUUCACCCAUUGGCACCGAAACAAAGGGACUUUAAGAUUAGGUGUGUAGUCUAGUUCCCAAAUCUCCUCUAUACAGCCAUAAUAUGUUUGUCUGUUUCCAUUCGGGUCUAUGGCGUCUACGCAAACCCCACUAUUUUGGUUCGUGCUUCUUUUAUCUUGGGCUAGGGUGUAAAAUGUAUUUCCAUUUAUCUCGUACCCUUUGUCAUGAGGAUGUGCCAUGAUGGUUGCCUAGCCAACAAAUACAGUUGCUCAUCAAUCUGGUCAUUAUCUUGACAUUCUUUUUGUAACCAAUCACUGAAAGUGUCCAUGUGCUAAUGCAUAAACCAAGCUUAAUUCUUCUUUGGGAAUUGGGAUCGUAGGAAGUCCUUGUGUUUCGUGACAUACGGCUCCACCACAGAUGAGUUUUGAAGAACUGUGUAGUGUGCUUUAUUGAAAGAAUCGUCCCUCGUACCGAUGUAUGUUUUCUUUCCUAGUGUUCCCUUUCCACUCAGUCUCCCCUCGUGUCGUGAUUCAAGAACACCAAUUGGGUCAAGUUCAGGAAUGAAUUCAACACAUAACUCAAUGACCUCAUCUGUCCCAUAGCCCUCUGCGAUGCUUCCUUCUGGCCGAACACGUUGGUGAACAUAUUUCUUCAGAACUCCCAUAAACCUCUCGAAGGGAAACAUAUUAUGUAGGAACACAGGACCAAGAAUAUUGAUCUCCUUGACCAGAUGAACUAGGAGGUGUGUCAUGAUAUCAAAGAAGGAUGGAGGGAACACUAACUUAAAGCUGACAAGACAUUGAACCACAUCAUUCUGUAGAGCAGCUAGUUCCAGUAGAUUGAUUGCCUUCGGAGAAAUUGCAUUGAGGAAUGCACAUAGCUUUACGGUGGCCAGACGUACAUGUGGAGGUAGAAUUCCUCUUAAUGCAACUGGAAGCAAUUGCGUCAUAAGCACAUGGCAGUUAUGUGACUUUCAUUUCAGAAAUUUAUUCUCGGGCACAUUAAUUAUACCUUUUAUAUCAGAGGAGAAUCCAGAUGGGACCUUGAUGCUGCUUAAGCAUACAAACAUGAUUUCUUUCUCUUCAUUGCUAAGAGUGUAGCUAGCAGGUAUUAAAUAUUUGCGUCCAUCAUCUCUCUUCUUUGGAUGUAGGUUGUCUCGUUGUUCCAUACGUUGCAAGUCUUGUCGUGCUUCAAGUGAAUCCUUAGGCUUACCAUAUACACCCAUGAAUCCUAGAAGGUUCACACAAGGAUUCUUUGUUAGGUGCAUGACGUCGAUCGUAUUUUGGACCUCUAGGACUUACCAAUAGGGUAGCUCUCAAAAUAUUGACUUCUUCUUCCACAUGGGUGCAUGACCCGUUGCAUCUUUUGGAACUGGUUGGCUGCCUUGUCCCUUACUAAAAACUACUUUCACAUCCUUAACCAUCUCAAAUACAUCUUCUCCAGUUCUGUUGCGAGGCUUGCAUCGGCGGUUUGCCUUACCUUUAAAAUGCUUUUAUUUCUUUCUAACUGAGUGAUUCAUAGAAAGAAAUCGACGAUACCCAAGGUACACGACCUUUCUGUAUUUUUUCAAACAUAUACUAUCAAGGUCAUCAAAACAGUGUGUGCAUGCAUUAUAUCCCUUGUUUGUCUGCCCUGAAAGAUUACUUAGAGUAGGCCAAUCAUUGAUUGUCACAAACAACAGUGCUCGCAGGUCGAAGUGUUCCUGUUUGUACUCAUCCCACACACGAACACCUGUUUCACUCCAUAAAAGAAGGAAUUCUUCAAUUAAUGACCUUAGAUAGACAUCAAUGUCAUUGCCCGGUUGCUUCGGGCCUUGGAUGAGCACCGGCAUCAUAAUGAACUUUCGCUUCAUGCAUAACCAUGGAGGAAGGUUGUAGAUACAUAGUGUAACAGGACAAGUGCUAUGACUACUGCUCUGCUCACCAAAAGGAUUCAUACCAUCCGUACUUAAAGCGAACCUUAAGUUUCUUGCGUCUUUUGCAAACUCUAGAAAUUCCCUGUCUAUUGCUCUCCACUGGGACCCAUCAACAGGGUGUCUCAACAUGUUGUCUACUUUACGGUCUUCUUUGUGCCACCGCAACAAUUUUGCAUGGUCCUUAUUUCUAAAAAGACAUUUCAAACGUGGUAUUAUAGGAGCAUACCACAUAACCUUUGCAGGAAUUUUUUUUCUGGGACGUUCUUCCCCCUCAACAUCGCCAGGGUCAUCUCGCCUGAUCUUAUACCGUGAUGCUUUACAUACGGAGCAUUCAUCUAAAUUCUCGUAGUCCUUGCCACGGUAUAGGAUGCAGUCGUUAGGACAUGCAUGUAUCUUCUUGAUUUCUAAUCCCAAAGGACAGACGAUCUGUUUUGCUUCGUACGUAGUAGUGGGCAGUUCAUUAGGCUUCGGUAGCAUCUUUUUUGGAUCUUCAGUAAUUGCCCAAAUGCCUUAUCGAAUACACUAUUAUGUGCCUUCCAUUUUAACAACUCCAGUGUUGUACCUAGUUUUUUUUGCCCAUCCUGGGCAGAUGGGUAUAGUAAUUUCUUGUGAUCUUCUAAUAUGUGGUCAAACUUUGUCUUCUCUUUUCACUUUCGCAAUCUUUCUGUGCAUCACGAAUGACAUCACCAAGAGCAUCAUCUUCAACAGGUGCGCCUUCUGCACCUGCCUCAUCUUCAGCUUCUCCCAUUGCUGUAUCACCGAAGUCACCGUAUUGAGCAAUAAUGUCGUUAGGCUCCAACUAUUCUUCUUCACCUUCUUCCAUCAUUAUCCCGUUUUCUCCAUGUUUGGUCCAACAAAUAUAGUUUGGCAUAAAACCCGACUUCAACAAAUGUGAGUGAAUAUUUCUAGAGCUAGAAUAUUCCUUCAAAUUCUGACACAAGGCAUAUGGGCAACAUAUGAAUCCAUCCCGCUUGUUUUCCUCGGCCACUCUUAAGAAAUAAUGCACACCAUCAAUGAAUUCUUUGGAGCGGCGAUCGGCAUUGUACAUCCAAUGACGUGUCAUUGUCUACAUUGCAAUAUAAAGUAUUAUAAGUUUCAAAUUUUUUAUUCAUAAAUUAAAGUAACAAAUAACCUAAAAUUCUCUAUUUCUAAUUUUUCUAAACCAGCAAAAUUAAAAAGACAUAAAAGUUCUCUAUUUUUCUAACUAAUCAUGAAAUGUGGCAUGCAUACUAGUUAUAAUUAACUAAUUAACCUUGGCAUAAAUUGCAAAUUAAAGUAUUAUAAGUUUCUAAUUUUUAAUAGAGAAAUUGAAGUAACAAAAAACCUAAAAUUCUCUAUUUCUAAUUUCUCUAAACAAGAAAAAUUAAAAAAGCACAAAAAUUCUCUAUUUUUCUAAAUAAUCAUGAAAUGUGGUAUGCAUACUAGUUAUAAUUAACUAAUUAAAUUGGUCAAAAAUUGCAAAUUAAAGUAUUAUAUGUUUUUAAUUUUUUCUAAACUAAUUAAAAUAAAAAACAUAGCAUCACUAUUUCUCUAAAAAAACGUGUCGAUGUUGAGAAGACGAUGAAGCUAGUAACCUCUUAAAAAACCAUAAAAUAAAAAACAACAUACAUAACACUAGGAAAUGACAUAUGCCGCUGCUAAAUGUUGAGAAGAUGAAGCUAGUGACCUCUUAACAAGUCGAUAACGGCGUAGAAAUGAUGAAAUGAAUCAAUAGCCGGAGAUGAGAGCAAGAACGAGCAACUCCAAAUGAAAAACAUCAGCAAAAGAGUGAAGAUCGAUGGGCUCGGCCAGAGGAAGAAGAAGAGUUCAAAUAUGGAGAAGGACAUUUAGUCCCGGUUCCAUUUAACAACCGGGACUAAAGUCCAACAUUAGUCCCGGCCGGCCGGUGAGACGGACCGGGACAACAACUUUUAAUCCCGGUUGGUGUUACCAACCGGGACUAAAAGCUGGGCUUUAGUCCCGGUUGGUAAGACCAACCGGGACUAAAGGUCCCUUCUGCCGAUCUCUGACACCAUAGCCGUUGGGCAGGGGACUUUUAGUCCCGGUUAGUCUCACCAACCGAGACUAAAGAUGUUUUUGUCCGAGACGCUGAUUGGGCCGAAAUUAUUGUUCAUUUUAGGCAAGUGACCAAACGCCUGUUCAGGCCUGUUCUGUUGUAGUAGUGUAUGAACCUCAUUUCUUAGUGAAAGUGCCCGUCAUCUCUCAGGAUAUAAAAUGAUAGUGUUGCUCGCCUUCAUCCAAUUAAAAUCACAAGUUUAGCUUCCUGCUGAACAACAGUGCUGUGUAUGACAACUCAUUUGUGGCAACCAGCGUUCGAUAUCUAUUUUCUGGUUCCAACUAGAGCUAUUGCAUCGCGAUUUUUCCUCUACAACACUGAAUUGCUACAACAAAAUUUUUUGGCCAAUAAUUACCGUUUGUAAAUUUUUGUUUGCUAUAGGUUUUCCAUAGCCAAAGUCAUCUGUAUUAAUUGUUUCAUGCUGAACCAAACUGAGCCUAUUUUUCAGACUGACAAACACCAAUUGGCAUUCUUUCUUUGCAGUAGAUUUGCCACGGCCACAGCUACACCUGCUGCCUCUGCUGAAACACAUACACGAACCAUAGAGCAGCCACACCUUUUGGAAGACAACAAGAUCUGCUUAUGUUUCGGUUCGAAGCCACUUCAUCAUCACUUCCUCCAGUGAUCAGGCAUAUUCUAGCAAAAUGCUUAGGCUACAUCUACAUGCUUACCAUGUGUGUCCUGCAUAUAGCUGUCACAUGUACUUUACUCUAUGCACCCGUGUUAUACUCUAUACACCCGUGCAAACUUAACGCUCAUCUGUUUUUAAUUCACCAUAUGAGAUACUGUUAACCGUCCAUGUCUUUGUCAUCAACGAUGCGACACUGAAAAGGUCUCUUCUUUUGUGUAUGGGCCUGUAAAAUUCCACUAAAUUUGAGUAUGUGCCUGUUUGGCUUGGCUCCAAGUGGAGUUAGCCAAACACCCCAACUCCAGAAAAUGUUGGAGCAGCCCAACUCCAUGGAGUUUUUAGAGGUCUAGUACAAAUUUUUGGAGUACCUCUUCUCCAACUCCGAAACUGACCAAAACAGACCAAGACGUGGAGUUGGGGCGAAAUUACCCGUAAUUGCCACUGGUUACACAAGUGAAUCAUUAUUUUUUCUAUUCUCCCUACCCCGACCCCUUCCCCUUCACGCGAGCAGACUCCCUGCCCCGACCCGACAACCUUCACGCGCGGACAGAGGGAGCCCAUGACUCCUGUCGCCACCGUCCGCUUCCAAGGGACGAGCAGGCGGGCGCCCCCCCCCUCUCUCCGCCUCUCUCCCCGCCCCCUCCCUCCAUCCGCCACUGGCGGCCGGCGAAGGAGAAGACAAGGAGAAGGUCAUCCUCAACCCUAACCGUAGAAAAGGGGAAGAAGGGUGCCUCUCCACCCACCGGCGGCCGGCAAAGAAGAAGAAGGACGACGUGAGGCACCCCCGAUGCUCCCCCAACCUUGCAAGGCAUCCCCAUCCCCAUCUCUAUGCUGUGUGUUUUUUUAAGAACAAUGAGUUCAUGGUUUUGGAGAACAUGCUGUGUAGAAUUAUUGAUUUCAUGGAUUAUUCGGAUUAUCUAAGAUUUAUUAUUUCGGAUUAUCUUGUAUGUUAUUGAAUUUUAUUUUAUAUGCAUCAAAUAUUUUUUCACCCAUAAUUAUCUUUUCACGUUCUCAUUUUUCCAAGAAUGCACCAUAUAUGCAUGGUUCAAUUUUAAAGCAAACGGCCGAACGUAACGGGUGCAUAUGUGAUUGAAGGCAAGGGUAAAGUAGGCAAAACACAGUGACAAAGCACGACUCUGGAGCUCAUAGUACCAUUCUAGCCAAAUACCCAGUGGCGAAUCUAGCCGAAAACAUUGUUGGGGUCAUCAGGGUCAACUUCACUAUGUGAUAUAAUUUUUCUUAAGUUUAAAUAGUAAUUUACAAAGGAUUUUACAAAUUUUGUCGGGGUAGGCGGACCCCGAUGAACAACCCUAGAUUUGCCUCUGCAAAUACCCCUACCAGAAAUGAUGAUGUACUUUCCUUGACUUACAAAAGUGCCAUUCUUCAUUUGCUUGAUUUGAAGACCAAGGAAGUAACUAAGCUCUCCAAUCAUGGACAUCUCAAAUUCAUUUGCCAUCAUUUUUCCAAACUCUUCACAAAAGUCUUGAUUGGUUGAUCCAAAGAUGAUAUCAUCAACAUAGAUUUGCAACACAAACAAGUCAUUGCCUAGCUUCUUGGUGCAGAGGGUAGUGUCAACCUUUCCCAUCUUGAACCCUUUAGAGAGAAGGAAAUCUCUCAAUCUCUCAUAUCAUGCUCUAGGUGCUUGCUUCAAACCAUACAAUGCCUUCUUGAGCUUGUAAACAUGGUUGGGUUUCUUGUCAUCUUCAAAACCGGGAGGUUGUUCAACAUAAACCAACUCAUUGAUGUAUCCAUUGAGAAAUGCACUCUUCACAUCCAUUUGAUGAGCUUGAUGUUGUGGGCACAAGCAUAGGCUAAUAAUAUUCUAAUUGCCUCCAAUCUUGCAACCGGUGCAUAUGUUUCUCCAAAGUCAAGACAUUCAACUUUAGUGUAGCCUUGUGCUACUAGUCUUGCUUUGUUUCUCACAACUACACCAUCUUGAUCUUGCUUGUUUCUAAAGACCCACUUGGUACCAAUCACAUUGUAGUUCUUUGGCCUCUCAACAAGCUCCCACACUUGAUUUCUUGUGAAGUUGUUCAAUUCUUCAUGCAUGGCAUUUACCCAAUCGGAAUCUUUCAAUGCAUCUUCUAUCUUCUUUGGUUCCUCAAAUGAGACAAAAGAAUAGUGCUCACAAAAGGAAGCUAGCCUUGAUCUUGUUUGCACACCACUUUGAAUACCUCCAAUGACUUGAUCCAAUGGAUGAUCCCUUGCUAUACUAGUAGGUUGGAGUAUUGGGAAUUGAUUGCUUCCACUAGCUUGAUUUUGAUCUUGAUCAUCAUCAUGAGAGCCACUAGUACUGGCUUGAUUUGUAUCAAUUUGCACUUCUUGAUUGAUCAUGUGAAUGUCAUUAUCAUCAUAAACUUGCAUUGGCCUUAUGUCACCUACAUCCAUAUUUUUCAUUGCAUUAGCCAAUUGAUCUCCUCUCACAUCAUCAAGAUUUUGAACUUCAUUUUGAGAUCCCUCGGUUUCAUCAAACUCCACAUCAUGGACUUCUUCCAAUGUGCCACUUGCCAAGUUCCAAACUCGAUAUGCCUUGCUUGUGGUGGAAUAACCAAGUAAGAACCCUUCAUCACAUUUCUUCUCAAACUUGCUCAAUCUAGUGCCUUUCUUGAGAAUGUAGCAUUUGCAACCAAACACUCUAAAGUAUGCAAUGUUGGGCUUUCUUCCAUUCAAUAGCUCGUAUGGUGUCUUCCCAAGCUUCCCAUGGCAAUAGAGACGGUUGCUACAAUAGCAAGCCGUGUUGAUGGCUUCACUCCAAAAUGAAUGGCUAACAUUGUACUCACUAAGCAUUGAUCUAACCAUAUCAAUCAAGGUUCUAUUCUUCCUUUCAACUACACCAUUGGAUUGAGGAGUGUAUGUUGGAGAGAAUUGAUGUCCAAUGCCAAGAUCAUCACAUAAUUCCUCAAUUCUUGUGUUCUUGAAUUCACUACCAUUGUCACUUCUAAUCUUCUUGAUAGUGGUUUCAAACUCAUUUUGCACCCUCUUGACAAAAGACUUGAAUAGAUCACAAACAUCACUCUUGUUAUAGAGGAAGAACACCCAAGUGUAUCUAGUGUAGUCAUCUACUAUCACAAAUCCAUACUUGUUGCCACCAAUGCUAGUAUAUGUUGUUGGCCCAAAUAAAUCCAUGUGCAAAAGCUCAAAUGCCUUUGAUGUGCUCAUUUCACUUUUCUUAGGAUGUGCAUUUCCAACUUGCUUUCCGGCUUGACAAGCACUACAUGGUUUAUCCUUCUCAAAGGUGACAUCCUUCAAGCCUCUAACUAAGUCAUGCCUCAAUAGUUUGUUCAAUUGUUUCAUUCCAACAUGACCAAGCCUUCUAUGCCACAACCAACCCAAACUUGAUUUGCUAAUUAGGCAUGAUGUCAAUUGAGUGUCACUAUCAUUGAAAUCAACCAAGUAUAAGCUACCAUGCCUAAAUCCUUUGAAUAUCAAGUUUGAUCCAUCAACACUAACAACCUCAACAUCAUCACUUCCAAAGAUGCACUUGAAACCAAGGUCACAAAGUUGUGCAAUAGACAAGAGAUUGAAAUCAAGGCUUUCAACUAGCAACACAUUUGAUAUGCUCAUGUCAUUUGAGAUAGCAAUUUUACCAAGCCCCUUGACCUUGCCUUUCUUGUUGUUACCGAAGGUAAUUGAAUCAAAGCCACCAUUUUGACUAGUAUCAAUUGAUUUAAACAUACAAGACUCCCCGGUCAUAUGUUGAGUGCACCCACUAUCAAGCACCCAAUGCCUUCCUCCGGCUUUGUAAUUGACCUACAAGACAAGAUCAAUUCCUUUUAGGUACCCAAACUUGAUUGGGUCCUCCAAGGUUAGCAACUAAGCUCUUUGGUACCCAAAUGGCUUUCUUCUUUGAGCCCAUCCAUGGUGCACCAAUGAACUUAGCAUGAAUACCUUUUGUAUCCUUGGUAAGCACAUAGAAAGAAUUAAGCUUAAUUGAGGAUACAUAAGCUUUGGGUUUCUUGUUCAUGCAUUGUUGCUCUAGGUGACCAACUUGCUUGCAAGCUUUGCAAUACCGGCCAUUUUUCUUCACAAAACUAGUCUUGUGAGGAGCAAAGGCGGCCUUGCCUUUCUUGGGGUUAUAGCCUAAUCUCUCUUUAUAGAGAGAAGCUCUUUGGCUACCCAAGCACAUAAGCAAGCGGCCUCACCACCAUAAGCCUUGGCUAAGGUGUGAUUGAGCUCUUUCACCUCCUUCUUGAGAAUUUCAUUCUCAACUUUAAGUGUGGUCUCACAUGUGAAACCAUCACCACUCGAUUAGGAUGAUGUAGAUGAGCUACAUGAAGGGUUAGUAGAAGCAACAACAAUAGGGUUGCUUAAGAUAUCACAUGUUAUGCCUAUGUUGCAAGUUUGAGCUUUUUCAAUUUUAGUUGGCUCAUUUUCACAUUUGUUAACUAGAGAGGAAUGAGCUUCUUCAAGCUUAGUGUGAGCAUUUUGAAGCUUCUUAUGGUCUUCCUUUAGACUCUCAUAAGAUGCUCUAAGCUCAUCAAGUUCUUACUCAAGGGUUUUCUUAUCCUUAAGCAAGGCCUUGCACUCCUUUCUAGUUUCUUUAUAAUGAUGAGUGCAAUCUUCUAGCAUAGUGAUUAGUUCAUCUUUAGUUGGUUCGUCAUCAUCACUAUCACUAUCACUAGCAUGGUCACUCUCAUCCUCGGAUGAUACCUUAGUGGCCUUAGCCAUGAAGCAUGAUGGAGUGUCGAAGAUGGAGCUCUUUUCUUGAAUGGCAAUGCUAGCAUGCGCCUUCUUCUUAGUGCUCUCAUCAUCACUUGAGGAGUCAUCACUAUCCCAAGUUGCAACAUGGGCAUCACCCUUCUUCUUGUUUGAGCCUUCCUUCUUUUCUUGCUUCUUCUUUUGCUUCUUCCUUUCCUUCUUGAUAGCAUCUUCAUCAUCACUAUCAUAAGGACACUUGGCGAUGAGAUGAUCGUUGCUAUGGCAUCUAAAGCACCUCAUGGAGUAAUCAUUCUUCUUAGAAGAGUUCUUCUUUCUUCUUGCUCGAUAGCCUUUCUUCUUCAUGAACUUGCCAAAUCUCUUCACAACAAGAGCCAUCUCCUCAUCUUCAUCACUAUCACAAGAGCUUGCUUCUUCUUCACUUGAUGAUUCUUGCUUAGCUUUGCCCUUGGAUGUGGAGGCCUUGAAUGCCACACUCUUCUUCUUCUCAUCAUCCCUCUUUUCACCUUCCUUCUUCCUUUUCUUGACCAACUCAUCCUUCUCAUCAUCUUCUCUAUAAGCAUGAUCGGUCAUUACUUCUUGGAACACUUGUUGGGGAGUUGAUUCACUAAGUGUUGUCUUGACUAGCACGGUGAUCAAUGUGUCAAAUCUCUUGGGCAAGCUUCUCAAGAAUUUCAUAGAGAAUUGACUAUCUUUCACUUCUUCCCCAAGUGCCUUGAGCUCAUUCACGAUGACUUGCAACCGGUGAAACAUCUCCGGCACACUUUCAUCCUCUUGCAUCUUGAAGCUUGAGAACUUUUCUUAGAGGAUGUAUGCUUUGGCGGUCUUGGUUCCCUUGGUUCCCUCAAAUGUUUCUUCUAAUUUUGCCCAUGCAUCAUGAGCAAUCUCAAUAUUCUUAAUUUGCUCAAAGGUCUUGUCAUCAAGAGCUUCAUGAAGAGCACUAAUGGCAAUAUCAUUGCAUUGUAGCUUCUUCUCUUCGACCGGUGUUGGUGCAUUUUCAUUUGCAACCUCAAACUUUGUUUCGGUCACCUUCCAAACCUCUCUAUUGAUUGACUUGAGAUGAGCGGUCAUCUUGGACUUCCAAUAUGCAUAAUUGGUGCCAUCAAAGUAAGGUGCCUUCUUUGUGUUGUUGAUAUACAAACUAAGAGCCAAUUCUUCACCGUAGGUUGUUAAGCCUCAAAUAAACGGUGCCUCGGCUCCGAUGCCACUUGAAAGGUCCAAAUGGCUAGAGGGGGGGUGAAUAGCCUAUUUAAAUUUUCUACAAACUUCAACUUGACAAGUUGAUUAGUAAAACAAAAGGCGAAGCUAUUCUAACACUAGCACAACUAAGCUAUGCAAGCCACCUACACAAGUCUAAUAAGAAAGCUAAACACUAGUUACAACAAGAAAGCACAACUAGAAGCUUGCUACACUCCUAAACAAGAAGACUAAACUAAACAAGCUAAACAACUAGCAAGGUAAAUAAGUAAGUAAAGGAGUGAAGAGUGAUUGUUAUACCAACGUUGUAGAGUAGAGAUAUGUCCAACCAAUCACUCACAAUCACAAGAGAAUCCUCGGCAAGAGAUGACACAAGAAUUUUUACCGAGGUUCACUUGCUUCCCGGCAAGCUAGUCCUCGUUGUGGCGAUACACCCACUUGAUGGAUCACGAGCUAAUUGGCAAUCCAAAGCCAAACCCUCAGCGGGUGCCGCACAUCCACUCACAAGAUGGGGAUCCUCCAAGCCCCGAGCAAUCCACUAGAGUAGCCAAUUGCGAUCUCCCGCGGGGAAGGCUCAAGAACCCCUCACAAGUCACUUGGUGAGGCUCGAAACAAUCUCCAAUCACGAGCUCAACACCACCGCUGCUCCAAGCCGUUGAAAGGUCCUAAUAUGGCUAGAGGGGGGUGAAUAGCCUAUUUAAAAAUUCUACAAACUCACUAGAGCAAGAGGUUAGUAAAUAACAAAGCGAAGCUUUUUGCUCUAGCUCUAAUGGGGUGUAUGCAAGCCACCUACCCAACAAUUCUAGUUGCUAUGAUCACUAUGCGCACAAGAACUAAGUCACUACUUACACUAGAAAGCUACCUAAAGUUUCUAUACAAGUAAGUAAGCUACUCUAGUUUGCGGGAAUGUAAAAGAGAUGGUUUGAACUUUAUACCGCCGCGUAGAGGGGAUGAACCAAUCAAUAAUAUGAAGUCCAAUCACCGGAAGAAAUCCAAUGAACAAUCACAAUGGAGACACACAAUUUUUCUCCCGAGGUUCACGUGCUUGCCGGCACGCUACGUCCCCGUCGUGUCGAACAACACUUGGUGGUUCGGUGGCUAAGAGGUGUAGCACGAACCUCGUCCUCACUAGGACACCACAAGAACCUACCCACAAGUGAGGUAGCUCAAUGACACGAGCAAUCCACUAAUGUUGCCUUUGGCACUCCGCCGAGGUAGGCACAAACCUCUCACAAUCACCGGGAGAUGGCCACGAACAAUCACCAACUCGUGCCAAUCCUCCUCCGCUGCUCCAAGCCGUCUAGGUGGCGGCAACCACCAGGAGUAACAAGAAAACCGUAGCUAAAACGAUCCCCAAGUGCCACUAGAUGCAAUCACUCAAGCAAAUGCACUUGGAAUCACUCCCAAUCUCACAAAGAUGUUUAAUCUAUGGAGGAGAUGAGUGGGAGGUGUUUGCUUAGGCUCACAAGGAUGUCAAGUAUGUUAGAAUGCCAAGAGAGUAAGCCCCAAGCCGGCCAAACACGUAUUUAUAGCCCCUCAAACAAAUAGAGCCGUUGGCUCUUUCACUGGGCGAAAAACGGGGUCACCGGACGCUCUUAAAGGGGCACCGGACGCUCAGCCCUUGCGUCCGGUGCUCCAACGUCAGCCGCGUGUCAGAGUCUAACGGUAACCUGCAGAGCACUGGACGCUUGAGCAAGUUAGCACCGGACGUCCGGUGCACACCGGACUCAUGCGCAGAGAGCUCCGUAAACUCGCAGGGUCACCGGACGCAAGCCACCGGACGCACCCUUAGCGUCCGGUGCUCACCGGACCCAUGCGCAGAGAGGGUCGCCAAGACGCCCGCACACCGGACGCGCACCACCGGACGCUCAAGCCAGCGUCCGGUGCCUAUCGUCCGGUGCCUUACCCUAGCUGGGCUAGGCACUGUCUGCACCGGACGCUCAGACUUAGCGUCCGGUGCCUCAGUGGCCAGCGUCCGGUGAGUGUUUUCUCAGCGAGAAACACUCCCACGACUUCUCCAAAAUUUCCCACCGGCGCAAUAGAAAAUAUGCACUUCAUUUUCUCGAAAAGCGCCGAAUCCUGCCUCGCAAGCUCGGCGGGAGGGAGAGAGGAACCCAUCCCCUCUCUACCCUUGAAACUCGACCUCCUUCUCAAAGUGUGCCAACACCACAACGUGUGUACCAACGAGCGUGCACGUGUGUUAGCAUUUUCACAAUCAUUUUCUUUGAAGGAGUUAAGUUAGCUCACUAGGUUCUAAAUGCAUGCACAUGAACAAUGACACCUAGUGGCACUUGAUAACCGCUUAGCCAAAGAAUUCCCCUCUUUAUAGUACGGCUAUCUAUCCUAAAUGUGAUCACACCCUCUAUGGUGUCUUGAUCACCAAAACCAAAACCCUAAGCAAUACCUUUGCCUUGAUCUCCAAAGGGUUUUGUUUUUCUCUUUCUUCUUUUCCAAGUUGAGCACUUGAUCAUCUUGUGGUCAUCACCAUCAUCACCAUGAUCAUUACUUGCUCCAUCACUUGGCAUGUACCAACCUCAUUAAGUCUACACACACUUAGUAUAGAGGUUAGUACUAGGGUUUCAUCAAUUAUCCAAAACCAAACUAGGGCUUUCAAUCUCCCCCUUUUUGGUAAUUGAUGACAACCCUUUUUACAAAGAUUUUCAUUAAAAUUUUCUAGGAUUCAUGUUGCUUGCCCAAGCAUUUUACCAUGUGCAAAGGUUAUGGACAAGUUUCAUAAACCCAAAUUGGUAGCAAUUGCUCCCCCUACAUAUGUGCUAAGAGUUUGGAUUUGAAAGCUUGCACAUAUGCUUGAAUAGGAAAAAUAGGAGUCAAUUUCUACCAAAUGAUGCUAAGGUGUAAAGAAUGGACCUUUGAAGCGUGAUACCAAUCGGAGUUGCCAAUAUAUACCAUCCUUAGCACCAUUAGUAACUAGACAUUCACAAAACUAGAACACCUCGUGAGAUCAACAUUAUAAACAAGGUUCUAGUACCACUUGUGAAACAACUAAAAGUCUAGUUACAAUAUCUAUGCAUGCUAGUUUUUCAUUUCAUCAAUCAAAUUUACAACUAGCAAACACCACACAAGCAAGGUAUCGGAGAGAAAGCUUCUAAAGCUAAUGCAAAUGCAAGCAACCAUAUGUGAUGCACAUUCAAAUGCAACAUACAAGUUUAUGAGCUUGCUCCCCCUACUUGUGUGCUUCAAAAUUUUAAAUUUUAAUUGAUCCCCUUCUUUUAUUAUGUUACUCUCCUAUCUUAAAUCUUUGGGAAAUUCUCUCCCCCUUUGUCAUCAAAGACCACAAAAGGUGAGCUCAAAUUUUAGAUAGGUUAGUGUGAAACCAUGUGAAGUGAGAUCAUUUGCCUAAAUUUGGUUCAAUCUAGAUUACUUGGCUAAGAUAUUUAACUCGGUUUGAUCCAAGGACAAGCUUCUUCACACCUCCAAAUAAGGGUUAUCUUGUACCAUGUUGAGUUAAACACUUAUAGCUCAUAUUCUAGAUCAAACACUAGGAUUGCAAGCCCACAAACAUGUCAUAUGCUACCACUAGAUCAUGUCAAGCGUAGAAACAAUAGUGGUACCAUACAAGCAUCAAAUUAAUUUGAUUUUCAUGAAUGAUCCUAAGACAUGUAAGAAAUGACUAAAUGCACUAAACAAGUCUUUAGCAAAGAUGGAUGACAUGUCAAACAAUUUCACCUUGCUUUGCUCGAAGGAGAGGCAUGUCAUAAAGUGGGGGUGCAUCAACACAUAUUUGAGAAGUCAAGUAUGUUCAAUUCAUUCCUUAGCUUGCAAAACCUCUUCUCAUCAAGUGGCUUGGUGAAUAUAUCGGCAAGUUGAUCAUCGGUGCCUAUACUUUCAAUGCAAAUGUCCCCUUUUUGUUGGUGAUCUCUUAUGAAGUGAUGGCGGACAUCUAUGUGCUUUGUUCUUGAGUGUUGAACCGGAUUGUUGGUGAGCUUCACGGCACUUUCAUUGUCACAUAGCAAUGGCACUUCUUUGAAAUUGAUUCCAAAGUCCUUCAAUGUUGCCUUCAUCCAUAGGAUUUGUGCACAACAACUACCGGCCGCAAUGUAUUCCGCUUCGGCGGUUGAUAGUGCAACACUAUUUUGCUUCUUGGAUGACCAUGAGACAAGUGAUCUUCCCAAUAGUUGACAUGUGCCCGAUGUGCUUCUUCUUUCAACUUUGCAUCCCGCAUAGUCCGAGUCGGAAUAUCCAACAAGUUCAAACUUUGCACCUUUGGGAUACCAUAAACCAACAUUUUGUGUAUGCUUCAAGUACCUCAAUAUUCUCUUUGUUGCUUUCAAAUGACUUUCUCUUGGUGAGGCUUGAAAUCUUGCACACAUGCAUACACUAAACAUGACAUCCGGUCUUGAUGCGGUCACAUAGAGUAGGCUUCCAAUCAUGGACCGAUACAACUUUUGAUCCACCAUAUUUCCACUUGUAUCACUGUCUAGGCUUCCAUUUGUUCCCAUUGGUGUGCUAAUUGAUUUUGCAUCAUCCAUACCAAACUUCUUGAGCAUGUCUUUUAUGUACUUGCCUUGACUCACAAAUGUGCCAUUUUUCAAUUGCUUGAUUUGAAGACCAAGGAAGUAACUAAGUUCUCCAAUCAUUGACAUCUCAAACUCAUUAGCCAUCAUGUUUCCAAACUCCUCACAAAAUUCUUGAUUGGUUGAUCCAAAUAUGAUAUCAUCAACAUAGAUUUGCAACACAAACAAGUCUUUGCCAAUCUUCUUGGUGAAGAGAGUGGUGUCAACCUUGCCCAUCUUGAAACCUUUAGAGAGUAAGAAAUCUCUCAAUCUCUCAUACCAUGCUCUAGGUGCUUGCUUCAAACCAUACAAUGCCUUUCUUAGCUUGUAAACAUGGUUGGGUUUCUUGUCAUCUUCAAAACCGGGAGGUUGCUCAACAUAUACUUCUUCAUUGAUAUAUCCAUUGAGAAAUGCACUCUUGACAUCCAUUUGGUAUAGCUUGAUGUUAUGAGCACAAGCAUAGGCCAACAAGAUCCUAAUUGCUUCUAAUCUUGAAACCGGGGCAUAUGUUUCACCAAAGUCAAGACCUUCAACUUGAGUGUAACCUUGUGCUACCAAUCUUGCUUUGUUCCUUACAACUAUCCCAUCUUGAUCUUGUUUGUUGCGAAAGACCCAUCUAGUACCAAUGACAUUGUGAUCACUAGGCCUCUCAACUAAUUCCCAUACUUGAUUUCUCUUGAAAUUGUUAAGCUCUUCAUGCAUAGCAUUAACCCAAUCAACAUCUCUCAAUGCUUCAUCAAUCUUCUUUGGCUCAAUGUGAGACACAAAGGAGAAAUGCUCACAAAAUGAUGCUAAUCUUGAUCUAGUUUGCACUCCUCUUUGAAUGUCACCUAUGAUAUGAUCCAAUGGAUGAUCUCUUGUAAUAUUUGUUGGUUGGAGUAUUUGCACUUGAUUGCUUGCACUUGGUUGAUCAUGAGAUGAUGUACUAGCUUGAUGAUCUUGCACUUGUGUACCACUUGUACUAGCUUGAUUUUGAUCAUGUGAACCACAAGCUUGCACAUUAGAGGUAGGAAUCACUUGAUCUUUGUCAUCUUCAUCAAUCACCUCUCUAGGCCUUAAAUCACCAAUAUCCAUAUUUUUCAUUGCAUCGGCCAAUUGAAUGCCUCUCACAUCAUCUAGAUUCUCUUCUUCCUCAUGAGAGCCAUUGGUUUCAUCAAACUCAACAUCAUGCACCUCCUCAAGAGUACCACUAGCCAAAUUCCAAACUCUAUAAGCUUUGCUAGUAGUGGAGUAACCAAGCAAGAAUCCUUCAUCACAUUUCUUUUCAAAUUUACUCAAUCUAGUGCCUUUCUUCAAUAUGUAGCAUUUGCAACCAAAAACCCGAAAGUAUGCAAUAUUGGGCUUCCUUCCAUUCAAGAGCUCAUAUGGUGUCUUCUCCAUCAUUGGGUGACAAUAAAGUCGGUUGCUAUAGUAGCAAGCCGUGUUGAUUGCUUCGGCCCAAAAAGAAUGACUCAUAUUGUAUUCACUCAACAUUGAUCUUGCCAUGUCAAUCAAGGUUCUAUUCUUCCUCUCAACAAGACCAUUUGAUUGUGGAGUGUAUUUAGCCGAGAAUUGAUGCCUAAUGCCAAAUUCAUCACAAAGCUCAUCAACUCUUGUAUUCUUGAAUUCACUUCCAUUGUCACUUCUCACUUUCUUGAUGGUUGUUUCAAACUCAUUGUGUAUUCUCUUGACAAAUGAUUUGAAGGUUGCAAAAGCAUCACUUUUGUCACUAAGAAAGAAUACCCAUGUAUAUCUUGUGAAAUCAUCCACUAUCACAAAUCCAUAUUUGUUUCCACCAAUGCUUAUGUAUGUGGUUGGUCCAAAUAAGUCCAUGUGCAACAACUCAAAUGCCUUGCAUGUACUCAUGAUGCUCUUCUUUGGAUGAGUGUUGCCAACUUGCUUUCCGGCUUGACAUGCACUACAAAGCUUGUCUUUCUCAAAUGUGACAUCUUUCAAGCCUCUAACAAGAUUAUGCUUAACUAACUUGUUCAAUUGUUUCAUACCAACAUGACCAAGCCUUCUAUGCCAUAACCAACCCAUGCUAGAUUUAGUGAGCAAGCAUGUUGACAAUUGAGCUUCACUUGCAUUGAAAUCAACCAAGUAUAGAUUCUCAUAUCUAAAGCCUUUGAAUAUCAAGUUUGAGCCAUCUACACUUAUGAUCUCUACAUCAUCAACUCCAAAUAUGCAUUUGAAACCAAGAUCACAAAGUUGAGCUACGGAUAGCAAAUUGAAGUUCAAGCUCUCUACUAGUAGCACAUUGGAAAUGCUCAAGUCAUUGGAUAUAGCAAUUUUACCAAGCCCUUUGACCUUGCCUUUGCCAUUGUCACCAAAUGUGAUACUAUCAACACCAUUGUCAUCAUUUGGAUUGAUUGAAUUGAACAUUCUUGAAUCACCGGUCAUGUGUUGUGUGCACCCACUAUCAAGCACCCAAUGCCUUCCUCCGGCUUUAUAGUUUACCUACAAAACAAAUCAAUGUUUCUUAGGUACCCAUACUUGUUUGGGUCCUUGGAGGUUAGUGACUAAGCUUUUUGGUACCCAAAUGGCCUUCUUCUUUGGACCCACAAUUGGUGUACCGACAAACUUAGCAUGCACACCCUUCUCACCCUUGGUAAGCACAUAACAAGAAUCAAAAGGAAUGUAAGGUACAUUAGCAAUUUUCAUGUUCUUGUUCAUUUUAUUGCAAUUAAGCUCUAGGUGCCCAACUUGCUUGCAUUUGUUGCAAUACCGACCAUUGCUCUUCACAAAGCUAGGCUUGUGAGUUGCAAAGGCUUUCUUGCCCUUCUUGGGGGUAUAGCCUAAUCCCUCUUUGUUGAGAGAAAACCUUUGGCUACCCAAGCACUUUAGCAAGCGGGCCUCACCACCAUAGGCCUUGCCUAGGGCGUGAGUGAGCUCAUCCACCUCUCUCUUGAGAGUCUCAUUCUCAACCUUUAGUGAGGUGUCACAAGUGACACUAACACUAGAAGUGGAGGUAGAGUUGGUAGUGGUGGAUGAAGACCUACAAGAAGAGUUAGUGGCAACAACAAUAGGUGGGUUGGGUGAUUCUUUAAUUAAGUCACAUGUUGUGCCCACAUCACAUGAUACAACAAUCUUUUCCUUGUUCUCUUCUAACAACAAGGAGUGAGCUUUCUCAAGCUUGGUGUGGGCCUUGCCAAGCUUCUCAUGGGCUUCCACUAGCCUCUCAUGAUUAGCAUUGAGCUCAUCAAAGGAUUGCUCAAGAGCUUUUAACUUCUUGGUCAAUUCUUUGCACUUCUUGUUUUUAGAUUGAAUAAGUGAAUCGGCUUGUUCUAGCAUGUCCAUGAGUUGUUUAUUAGUGAAUUCAUUUUCAUCAUCACUAUUGUUGAUAUUUGGGAACGCAAUAAGGAAUUGAUCCGCAAGCGCACGGAUAUCGGUGAGCAUUUCACCCGAGAAAUUAUCCAGAGUAUCGUAUUUAUUUUUUUACCACUAGGAGAAAGAGUGCAUCUGACUAACCGGUCUAUUACUACUAACCUUUAGGCACAAAGAAUGUCUUUCGAUGUGAGUGAUAGAGAAGACUGCAACCGUAGUCUCCUUCUAACCUUGGUAAGGAUGAUCUAUUGUUCUAAUGGGGAGGCUAACGGAAUCUAGACAACACAAAGGAUGUUCGACCCGCACCUAUAAACCCUAUCCUUCCUGCUAACGAGAUGUGAUCUACAAAGGUAGCUCGGAAUUGUCACGUUCCUCACUACUACCACGGUCCAGCUAGUCAGGGAAUAUCUAUGAGUACCCCAGCCUAAACACCACGUUUACGCCAGCAAUGAUUACUCUAAACUCUACGCGAAGAGAUUAAAGUAAACUCAUAAACCAUAAGAACAAUAAAACAAGAACUUACUAGAAUUUAGAAGUCGAAUUACUGAAGAAUCCUAGGAGCAAGCUUCGGGUUAGGAGAACUUGAUCCCGCAGGUACAAGCUUGGAGUAGACACCGACAGGUCGGGCUUCCUCCACUCUACACCUCCACUCUAUAUCUCUCAAUCUAGUAGAAACUAGAAGAUCUAUUUCUACCUUACAUUGAUUGCUAAGCCUAAAAAGAAAUAUUAAUUAGAGAAGAGGUUUUCCUUCAAGGGCACCCCUCAGUCUCUAUGAUAAUUUCUUCAUGUCCUCCAGGGGCCAGGGGGGCCUCGCUUAUAUAGUCCUCCCCUUCUAUGCGUUUUUAGGUCGAUAGCCGAGGUGGUACUAUGUUUUUCUUGAUCCAAUAGGUCGGUGGAAUAUCCCGAGUGAAGGAGUCCUGAAUUGGCUCCAACAGGGGGGCGGGCGCCCAGGCUACCAGGGCGGGCGCCCUGGGCCUGGCCCAGCUUUGCCUCCGCUUUGGUCUCGUGGCUUCUGGAGUCUUCUAGAUGAUGUAAAAUUGCGCGGUGCGUUGAUAUCUCUAUGUAAUCCCGACAUGUGGGCCUUUCUUCCUUAUUUCCUGAUAACCCCCUGCAGAAAUAGAUAAACAACAAAACUCGUGGAAUUCUGUCAGAUCAAACCCUAAUUCUAGGUGAUGGUUGCAUAUUGGUCCUUUCUCUUGUUUAUUUGAUAAUUAAAAUUGAUACUUAAGAACCGUCAACAAAUACCCCCAUACUUAGGCUUUUACUCGUCCUCGAGAAAAGGAUGGUUGAGAAUAAUAUCUGGGGUAAACAUUUAAAACAUUCUCUUUAUAAUUGCAGGGUGUCAAAAAUUCCACUGUGUACCAUAGUCAUGGAAGUAUAUGGUUAAGAGUAAAGAUCCUUUCUUCUCAAUCCUGUCACUUGGAGUUUUUGUAUAUUUUUGAAAGAAAGUUAGCAUACCUUUUUAUCCUCAUAGGUUCUCUCAGAUCACUCAUUAUCUUUUGUAUAUAUAUCUCACUGAGGCUGUUUUAAUUUUGCAAAAAUUCUCAAGCAUACUUACUUUGCAUUUAUUGCUUGAUCAAAACGGGAUCCGAGGAGGGGAAUGUCAUACUCUUAGAUCAAAGACUUUAGAAAUUAAAAACUUUGUCAACUCUUGCUGGCAUAUUGCUUAUUAGAGGGACCAUGGGCUAUCAUUUUUUUUCUCUUUUUCUCUCUCUCUUUUUUUUUAAGUGGAUACCGAGGUACCCCUAAUUCUACUGCCGGACACUUGUCCAUUUUUUCUGCGAGGUUGUCGAGCACUUGCUCCUUUUUAUUUCCUCGAAAUAUCUUCUAUUUUUGCAUAGCCCAUGCCUCUAAUGCAAUAAUACUUCGGAAGAGUGAAUCUUACUGAAAUAGUGUCUUGAUCUUGGGAGCAUGAUAAAUCUCUCAACAAGGGUCUAACUUAUUUUGAACAAACUCAAUACAGAGCAGAUAGCUUUUAUAAUCAUAAUUAAUAUUUUCAGUCUUAUCAGGCAUAUAAAACACUGAGGAUGGUAGCUAUAAUUUUGAAUAUUUUGAAAUAAAUUCUCCAAGCAACAAUGAUAUCAAGAAUAAGAAACUCAUACUCUACCAUCACAUAUUCCAUAAUGACUUAAGUAACACAGGGUUUUAAAAUGACUUUAUAAUAAUUGCAAGUUUUCAGGAAAUAUCACAGAUUGAGAUUAAUCAUGAUUAGAAAUAUUUUACUCUUUUUAUUUUAUCAUGUCGGAAACAGUAAUCUGCAUAAUCCAAAAUAAAUGUAUGUAUGAAGUAAAGUGUGCAGAAUGUGUACCUGAAUCGUGGAGUGGUGUAGUCGGAGUGUGUUUGGCAUGUUGAGGGAUCUCCCCCAUACUUGUUUUCUGCUUUCUUGCACAAAAGUAAAGUAGAGACACACAAGACAUAAUAAUAAUAAUAAUACUCUUUAUUGAUCUUGAGGCAUUUAUUACAAAAGACUGAUAGCAAACUGAUGAUAAUAGUAAAUUGAUGAUAAUAGCAAACCUAAACCGAAUUUAAAGAUAGAUAACUAAGAUGCAUUGCCUCAAGGUCUAAUCUAGAUAACUUAGCGGCGCUCUAAUUCCUUGAUCUUCCUGUUGGCACUGGCAAGAUCCUGCCUAAGGCCUAGUAUAACGGUGUUGUGGUUAGAGAGCUGCCUAGUGAGGGAAUUAAUCGAGGACUGGAGGUCUAUGAUAACUCUAUCUAACCUGCGAACUUUCUCAUCAAUAUCCAUUAUAGUCUUGCGACGCUUGGGAGGUGUCUCAAAAGCAUUGAGAGAGUGCUUUGGGGCUGCCUUUGGAGGGAUGAAACGGACUUUGGCUGCUCUAAUCCCUUCAAAGUAAGGCCUUUCCUCCUUCGUAGUGUAGCGAACGCUGCUGAUCUCGCCGCUUCGGUUGGUCUUGACUCCAACGACCCUCUCAUUGGGUCUAGGUGGAAGGAUCCUUGUGCCGAUUGGCACCUUGAUAGUGGUCUUCGUCUUGGAUGAUGGUCCUUUGAGGAGUAGGGGUUGUGGUGGUGCGGUGAGAACUGGUUGAGCAUGGUAAGAUUGGGCGGAGCUGCGUUGACGUAAUGGUAUGGCUUCUAGCUGACGCUCUGUGUUGGCCGGGACGAGAGCACUAGCAUCGGGGUCUUCCACUGGCUCCAUGUUGAGGUUGAAGGGGACGACUUCCCAAUCAUCGUGGUAUUUCUCGGCCAUUGGAGUAGCAAGGAACUAAUAAAAUUUUAAUUGAAAGAGAGCUAAUCAAGCUCUAAUUGAAGGAGAGAAAGCUUGGUGGCUUGGUGUUUGAAAACUGAGGUCAGGGGUCUGUUUAUAUAGGGGUCAAAAGGGUGCCUCUAUGGGUUGUUCGGGUUGCUCCCGUCGAUGUGCGUGCGAAACUUUCCAUCCGAGGGAUUAUUCGGAUCACCCUAAGUGCAUUUUCCAUAACAGAGAAAGUCGGGACCGAGAGGGAACAGGGGCUGGGCGCCCGCCCUCUUUCUGGCCCCUCUGUGGGCCCACUUCUCCGAGCGUGCUUCUAGAUGCGAAAUUAUUUAGAAAAAAUAUAUAUAUGACCCAAAACCGUCAGACCAAAAAAAUAUCGGGCUCUAAUUCUCCAUGGGAAGGUAAAAAUGGACUACGUCUAUUUCUUCAAAUUCCUCAUUGGGCUCUAAAAAUAAUUUAAGACGUUGACCAUUUACCUUGAAUAACGUACCUUCGCUGUUCUGAAGUGUGAUAGCUCCGUGGGAUGACGAAUUGAUUACCUUGAAUGGUCCUUCCCAUUUGCUCCGGAGUUUUCCAUGCCCGAAAAGCUUUACCCUGGAAUUAAAAAGUAAUAUCUUAUCUCCGGGUGUGAAUUCCUUCUUCUUGAUUCUCUUGUCAUGCCACCUCUUGACUCUUUCUUUGUAGAUCUUUGAAUUGUGAUAUGCCUUCUCUCGCCAUUCUUCCAAUUCUGAUAGUUGCAUUCUUCUAUAAUCUCCAGCAACAUCUAGGUCCAUAUUCCAUCUCUUUAUGGCCCAGUGUGCUUUGAAUUCUAGUUCAACAGGUAGAUGGCAAGUCUUCCCGUACACCAAUUGGUAUGGAGACAUCCCAAUUGGGGUCUUGUAUGCUGUCCGGUAUGCCCAGAGUGCAUCGGGUAACUUGUCUUUCCACGCCGUUCCCAUUUCAUUUACCGUCUUCUGAAGAAUAUUCUUGAUUUGUUUGUUGGAAGUCUCUGCUUGGCCACUUGUCUGAGGAUGAUAGGGGGUAGCGACGUUGUGACGGAUUCCAUGUCUUGAUAGAUAUUGCUUGAAGCGUUUGUCGAUGAAGUGUGCUCCUCCAUCACUUAUCACUACUCUGGGAACUCCAAAUCUUGGAAAUAUAAUUUCUUCAAACAUCCUCUUUGAACUGACGUUCUCGGCAUGCUUGCAAGGUAAUACCUCUACCCACUUGGAGACAUAGUCAACUGCCACCAAGAUAUACUCACACUUCUUUGAUGGAGGAAAUGGACCCAUGUAGUCUAUUCCCCAGACAUCAAAGAGCUCAAUCUGAAGGUUGUUGGUGAGUGGCAUUGCAUCCCUUGUAUUUAUGUUUCCGUGCCUUUGACAUGGCCCACAUCUUCUAAUAUAUUGCUUCGUGUCCUCAUACAUUGUAGGCCAAUAGAAUCCACACUGCCAGAUCUUUGAAUGUGUACGGAAUGCUCCAUAGUGACCUCCAUAUGGUGAUGAAUGACAUCUGUCGAUGAUCUUCCAUCCUUCCUCAGUGGUCACACAUCUCCUGAGUAAGCCAUCAGAGCAUACUCGGAAGAGGUAUGGCUCAUCCCAUAUAUGUGAACGACUUUCUUGAAUAAGCUUCUUCUUGUUUGCUCCUGGUGGUACAUACCCUGAAACCAUAAAAUUAACAAUAUCUGCAUACCAGGGGUCAGACCUGUUAAUCCCGUAGAGCAUGUCGUCCCGAAGUGAAUCAUUGAUGGGGGUUUCCAGUGGACUCUUAAAAUACAUUCUAGACAAGUGAUCAGCAAUAGAAUUUUCUACUCCUUUUUUAUCUUUUAUUUCUAAGUCUAAUUCUUGGAGUAAUAAGAUCCAUCUAAUCAGGCGAGGUUUAGCAUCUUUUUUAGUGAGCAAAUAUUUUAAUGCAGCAUGAUCAGUGUAAACAAUUAUUUUAGCUCCAACUAAAUAAGAUCUAAAUUUAUCAAUGGCAAAGACAACAGCUAGAAGCUCUUUUUCAGUGGUUGCAUAAUUAAGUUGAGCUCCUGUCAAAGUUUUACUGGCAUAAGCAAUUGCAUGAUGCUUCUUAUCUUUAGUUUGUCCCAAUACUGCCCCCACAGCAUAAUCACUAGCAUCACACAUAAUUUCAAAAGGCAACGACCAAUCAGGGGGUUGAAUGAUUGGUGCAGAGAUGAGUGCUUUCUUUAAUAAAUUGAAAGAUGUUAGACAUGCAUCAUCAAAUUCGAAAGGAGCAUCUUUGGCUAGCAAAAGAGUAAGUGGUCUAGCAAUAAAUGAAAAAUCUUUUAUGAAUCUACGAUAAAAACCAGCAUGGCCAAGAAAGCUUCGAAUUCCUUUUAUAUUCACGGGUGGAGGUAGUUGUUCAAUUACUUCAAUUUUAGCUUUGUCUACCUCAAUACCUCUUUCAGACACUAAGUGUCCUAGCACUAUUCCUUCUCUAACCAUAAAAUGACAUUUUUUCCAAUUAAGGAUUAAGUGCUUUUCUUCACAUCUUUGCAAAACCUUGUCUAAGUUUUCAAGACAACUAUCAAAAGUUUUUCCAUAAACAGAGAAAUCAUCCAUGAAAACUUCCAUAAUCUCUUCAAUCAUAUCAGAAAAUAUAGACAUCAUGCAUCUUUGAAAAGAAGCUGGUGCAUUACAUAACCCGAAAGACAUUCUACGAUAAGCAUAAGUUCCAUAUGGGCAUGUAAAAGUGGUUUUGCUUUGAUCAUCGGGAUGGAUCGGGAUUUGAUGAUACCCUGAAUAUCCAUCUAAGAAACAGAAGAAUGAAUGGUUUGCUAACCGCUCUAGCAUCUCAUCUAUAAAAGGUAAAGGAAAGUGAUCCUUUCUCGUGGCUCUGUUUAAUUUUCUAUAGUCUAUGCACAUCCGCCAUCCUGUGACGGUGCGUUGCGGAAUUAGCUCAUUCUUUUCAUUCAUAAUAACUGUCAUGCCUCCCUUUUUAGGCACAACUUGCACUGGGCUUACCCACUCACUGUGCGGCACAGGAUAUAUAAUCCCUGCAUGCAGCAACUUUAUAACUUCCUUUUUAACUACCUCUCUCAUAGUGUUGUUAAGUCUACGUUGGGGUUCUCGAGAGGGUGUAACAGAAGGAUCUGUUGGAAUACGAUGGGUACAAAUCAUAGGACUGAUUCCUGUAAGAUCUUGAAGUGAGUAGCCGAAAACUGAUUGAUGUUUCUCAAGAAUGGUCAUUAAUCGCAGAGUUUGAUCCUGAGUGAGUUUAUCGCUAAUGAUCACAGGGAACUCUGGAUUAUUGUUUAGGAAAGCAUAGGUAAGACCGGGUGGUAAAGUCUUGAGCUCUAUAGGAGGUCUAGGUGUUUCUGCAAACUCAACUAAGGGUUCAGGCUCAGAAGGUUCGUCUUCUUCUUCUGUGAAGAAAGGAGUUUCGUCUUCUAAGUCUGGUUCAUCUAAAAGCUCUAGAGAUGCAGCCUUUACCUCCUCCAUAGGAUCAGGCAAAAGAUAUGACUCGGCCUUAUUAUUUAAGGAGUGUGAAAUUAUUAUUGGGAAUUGAAAAGUUUUUCCAAAAGAAAUGUGUAGCUUUCCAGUAUGACCUUCAUAAAGGAGUCUUCUAAAAGGUUGUCCUAUCAACAGGUCGAAGUCCCAUGUAUCAAAGAUAUAGAAGUUCAAAUGAACCAUGGAGCCUUCUACUGUAAGAGGUAGGACAUUAAUAAUUCCAAGACUGGGGACUAAUCGUCCCGAAGAUUCCUUUAUGACCUUUGUUGUGGGGGUUAAGAUAAGAUUUUUAAAUAGUUUAAGUGCAAAGGAUUCAGACAUAAUGUUGAUCCCCACAACAGGAUUAUAAAGAGCAUUAAAUCGAUCAGAAUUAUAAGCACAACGUAUAGUUAUAGAGGGUGUGUCCAAUCGGAUCACAUCAGAGGAAAGCUCUGAUUCCUCCAACCAUUCGCUACUCAUUACUGAGAUAAGCUCUCUCAAUUGAUAUUCACUUGGUAAAUAAAUGCUAAACUGGCCGUUUUGGGGUUUGUCAAUAGAAUGGUAAUUUGAAAUAUUUCCAAAAUCGGCAAAAAGAUCGGACUCUAUAUCCAGCAUGAAGUCCGGUAGUGGAAUUUCUUCCUCUUGUGGCUCAGAACUUGGGAUAGCUAAAGUAGAAGAAUUUGGCAGAGUGUCUACUUCGGCUUCGUAGGUUUCAUCAUGAAGGGUAUUAUCCAUCUCAGCUUCUAGGAUUCUAUCUAGGAUCACUCUAGCUUCAUCAGCAGGGAUGCGAAAGAAAGAACCUCUAGACAUAGUGUGCAGCAUUUGUUUGUGAUUUUUAUGAAGACCUCGAAAAAAGUGAAAUAAAAGAACAGGGUCUUCAAGAUUAAGGUUUGGACCAGAUUCUAAAAGAUCAGAAAAACGUUUCUAGGAUUUUCCCAAAGUUUCAUUAUCUUUUUGUUUAAAAGAUAGGACUUCGAGUCUAAGGUCGGCUAUACGGUCAAGGGAAUAGAAAUCUAGACAAAAGUUGGCUCGUAAAACUCCCCAUUCACCUUGUUGUUGACUUACCUUCUGACUGUACCAUUGUCUAGCUUCUCCCCUUAGAGAAAAAGGAAAAAGCUUCCAACGUAAAGUCUUAUCAGAAAUGCCUUCAAUGCGAAGACAAUCACAUGUUUGCUCAAAAUCUCUAAUAUGAAGGUAAGGGUUUUCGUCUUCCUUUCCCGAAAAAGAUAGGUUUGAAUCAUGGCAAUCAACCUAGAACUUAACUUAUACUGGGGUGUUUGGAUAGGCUGUGAUGAUUCCCAUGGUAAAAGGUCAGUUGCUAAAGGGAUUGCAGACUCAUGGAUCGAUUUAGAAUUUUGGUUUUCCAUAAGGUAAGAGUAAAGGAAAAUAAAUAAAGAAUAAAAGAUAAGAAAAGAUAAAAGUAUAGAUAAAAGCUAAUAGCAAGACACAGGUUAUCUCAGCAACCGUCUUUCUCCCCGGCAACGGCGCCAGAAAUGCUAGUUGAUAUUUGGGAACGCAAUAAGGAAUUGAUCCGCAAGCGCACGAAUAUCGGUGAGCAUUUCACCCGGGAAAUUAUCCAGAGUAUCGUAUUUAUUUUUUUACCUCUAGGAGAAAGAGUGCAUCUGACUAACCGGUCUAUUACUACUAACCUUUAGGCACAAAGAAUGUCUUUCGAUGUGAGUGAUAAAUAGAGAAGACUGCAACCGUAGUCUCCUUCUAACCUUGGUAAGGAUGAUCUAUUGUUCUAAUGGGGAGCCUAACGGAAUCUAGACAACACAAAGGAUGUUCGACCCGCACCUAUAAACCCUAUCCUUCCUGCUAACGAGAUGUGAUCUACAAAGGUAGCUCGGAAUUGUCACGUUCCUCACUACUACCACGGUCCAGCUAGUCAGGGAAUAUCUAUGAGUACCCCAGCCUAAACACCACGUUUACGCCAGCAAUGAUUACUCUAAACUCUAUGCGAAGAGAUUAAAGUAAACUCAUAAACCAUAAGAACAAUAAAACAAGAACUUACUAGAAUUUAGAAGUCGAAUUACUGAAGAAUCCUAGGAGCAAGCUUCGGGUUAGGAGAACUUGAUCCCGCAGGUACAAGCUUGGAGUAGACACCGACAGGCCGGGCUUCCUCCACUCUACACCUCCACUCUAUAUCUCUCAAUCUAGUAGAAACUAGAAGAUCUAUUUCUACCUUACAUUGAUUGCUAAGCCUAAAAAGAAAUAUUAAUUAGAGAAGAGGUUUUCCUUCGAGGGCACCCCUCAGUCUCUAUGAUAAUUUCUUCAUGUCCUCUAGAGCCUCGCUUAUAUAGUCCUCCCCUUCUAUGCGUUUUUGGGUCGAUAGUCGAGGUGGUACUAUGUUUUUCUUGAUCCAAUAGGUCGGUGGAAUAUCCCGAGCGAAGGAGUCCUGAAUUGGCUCCAACAGGGGCGCGGGCGCCCUGGGCCUGGCCUAGCUUUGCCUCCGCUUCGGUCUCGUGGCUUCUGGAGUCUUCUAGAUGAUGUAAAAUUGCGCGGUGCGUUGAUAUCUCUAUGUAAUCCCGACAUGUGGGCCUUUCUUCCUUAUUUCCUGAUAACCCCCUGCAGAAAUAGAUAAACAACAAAACUCGUGGAAUUCUGUCAGAUCAAACCCUAAUUCUAGGUGAUGGUUGCAUAUUGGUCCUUUCUCUUGUUUAUUUGAUAAUUAAAAUUGAUACUUUAGAACCAUCAACAACUAUCACUAUCAUGUUCAUGUUCACUUUCACUUUCACUCUCAUCAUAUUGUACCUUGUGGCCCUUGGCCAUGAAGCAUGAAGGAGUGUCGAAGAGUGAUGGCUUGUUGUUGAUAGCAAAGCUAGCAAGUGCCUUCUUCUUGGAUGCUUUGUCAUCAUCACUUGAAUCAUCAUCUGAAGAGGCAUCACUAUCCCAUGUCACAACAUAGGAUCCACCCUUCUUCUUCUUCUUCUUGAAAACCAUCUUCUUCUCUUUCUUUUCUUUCUUCUCCUUCUUGUUCUUCUUCUCAUGCUCAUCAUGAUCACUAUUGUAAGGACAAUCCGCCACAAUAUGAUCGGGGCUCUUGCACUUGUAGCAUAGCCUCACAUACUCCUUGUUCUUGGAGUUGUCCCUUCUCUUUCUUGUAUGGUAGCCCUUCUUCUUCAUCAUCUUGCCAAACUUGCGGACAAAGAGUGCUAGUGCUUCAUCAUCACUAUCAUCAUUGGAGCACUCCUCAUCACUUGAUUCUUCCUUCUUGGCCUUGCCCUUGUUCUUGCUCUUGGAUGAAGAGCUAGCUUUGAAUGCUACACUCUUCUUCUUCUUAUCAUCAUCAUCCUUCGUCAUGACCUCAUCAUCAUCGUUGUUAUUGUAUUGAUCUUCGGUCAUGACAUCUCCAAGUACCUCAUUGGGAGAUACACCGGUCAAUCCACCUCUAAAGAUGAUUGUUCUCAAUGUCUUGAAUCUCUUGGGCAAGCACAUUAAGAACUUGUGAAUGAAAUCCUCAUCCUUCACUUUCUCACCAAGGCCCUUGAGAUCAUUGAUGAUGACUUGGAGCCUAUAGAACAUCUCCGGAAUUGACUCAUCAUCCUUCAUCUUGAAGUUUGAAAGCUUGUCCUUGAGCAUGUAUAACUUGGCACUUUUUACCGUUGUAGUGCCCUCAUAUGUUUCUUCUAGUCUUGUCCACACUUCACUUGCCUUCUCAAGAUCUUUGACUUGUUCAAAUACUUUUGAAUCAAUGCCAUUAUAGAUUGUGUUGAGAGCCAUAGUAUUGCAUUGCUUGUUGGCUCUCUCAUUGUCGGUGGGGUUAGCCGGAUCAAGAAUCACAAAGUCAUUUUCGGUAACUUCCCACACUCUAUCAUUUAUUGAUCCAAGAUACAUUUUCAUCUUUCUCUUCCAAUAGUCAAAAGAACUUGUGCCAUCAAAGAACGGUGGUUUGCCCCCAACAUGGUUGAACACUAUUUGAGCCAUAAUUUGAGCACCGAGGUUGUUAAGCCUUCACAAACGGUGACCACGGCUCUGAUACCACUUGAAAGGUCCUAAUAUGGCUAGAGGGGGGGUGAAUAGCCUAUUUAAAAAUUCUACAAACUCACUAGAGCAAGAGGUUAGUAAAUAACAAAGCGAAGCUUUUUGCUCUAGCUCUAAUGGGGUGUAUGCAAGCCACCUACCCAACAAUUCUAGUUGCUAUGAUCACUAUGCGCACAAGAACUAAGUCACUACUUACACUAGAAAGCUACCUAAAGUUUCUAUACAAGUAAGUAAGCUACUCUAGUUUGCGGGAAUGUAAAAGAGAUGGUUUGAACUUUAUACCGCUGCGUAGAGGGGAUGAACCAAUCAAUAAUAUGAAGUCCAAUCACCGGAAGAAAUCCAAUGAACAAUCACAAUGGAGACACACAAUUUUUCUCCCGAGGUUCACGUGCUUGCCGGCACGCUACGUCCCCGUUGUGUCGACCAACACUUGGUGGUUCGGUGGCUAAGAGGUGUAGCACGAACCUCGUCCUCACUAGGACACCACAAGAACCUACCCACAAGUGAGGUAGCUCAAUGACACGAGCAAUCCACUAAUGUUGCCUUUGGCACUCCGCCGAGGUAGGCACAAACCUCUCACAAUCACCGGGAGAUGGCCACGAACAAUCACCAACUCGUGCCAAUCCUCCUCCGCUGCUCCAAGCCGUCUAGGUGGCGGCAACCACCAAGAGUAACAAGAAAACCGCAGCUAAAACGAUCCCCAAGUGCCACUAGAUGCAAUCACUCAAGCAAAUGCACUUGGAAUCACUCCCAAUCUCACAAAGAUGUUUAAUCUAUGGAGGAGAUGAGUGGGAGGUGUUUGCUUAGGCUCACAAGGAUGUCAAGUAUGUUAGAAUGCCAAGAGAGUAAGCCCCAAGCCGGCCAAACAUGUAUUUAUAGCCCCUCAAACAAAUAGAGCCGUUGGCUCUUUCACUGGGCGAAAAACGGGGUCACCGGACGCUCUUAAAGGGGCACCGGACGCUCAGCCCUUGCGUCCGGUGCUCCAACGUCAGCCGCGUGUCAGAGUCUAACGGUAACCUGCAGAGCACCGGACGCUUGAGCAAGUUAGCACCGGACGCGUCCGGUGCACACCGGACUCAUGCGCAGAGAGCUCCGUAAACUCGUAGGGUCACCGGACGCAAGCCACCGGACGCACCCUUAGCGUCCGGUGCUCACCGGACCCAUGCGCAGAGAGGGUCGCCAAGACACCCGCACACCGGACGCGCACCACCGGACGCUCAAGCCAGCGUCCGGUGCCUUACCCUAGCUGGGCUAGGCACUGUCUGCACCGGACGCUCAGACUUAGCGUCCGGUGCCUCAGUGGCCAGCGUCCGGUGAGUGUUUUCUCAGCGAGAAACACUCCCACGACUUCUCCAAAAUUUCCCACCGGCGCAAUAGAAAAUAUGCACUUCAUUUUCUCGAAAAGCGCCGAAUCCUGCCUCGCAAGCUCGGCGGGAGGGAGAGAGGAACCCAUCCCCUCUCUACCCUUGAAACUCGACCUCCUUCUCAAAGUGUGCCAACACCACAACGUGUGUACCAACGAGCGUGCACGUGUGUUAGCAUUUUCACAAUCAUUUUCUUUGAAGGAGUUAAGUUAGCUCACUAGGUUCUAAAUGCAUGCACAUGAACAAUGACACCUAGUGGCACUUGAUAACCGCUUAGCCAAAGAAUUCCCCUCUUUAUAGUACGGCUAUCUAUCCUAAAUGUGAUCACACCCUCUAUGGUGUCUUGAUCACCAAAACCAAAACCCUAAGCAAUACCUUUGCCUUGAUCUCCAAAGGGUUUUGUUUUUCUCUUUCUUCUUUUCCAAGUUGAGCACUUGAUCAUCUUGUGGUCAUCACCAUCAUCACCAUGAUCAUUACUUGCUCCAUCACUUGGCAUGUACCAACCUCAUUAAGUCUACACACACUUAGUAUAGAGGUUAGUACUAGGGUUUUAUCAAUUAUCCAAAACCAAACUAGGGCUUUCAGCCAUCUAGGGCAUCGGGAAACACCCAAGAGUAACAAGAAAUCCGCAGCAAACUCACGAAUCAAGUGCCACUAAAUGCAACUCUCAAAGCAAUGCACUUGAAUCUCACUCAAUCUCACUAGGAUUAGCAAUCAGGCAAGGAGAUGAGUGGAGGGAGUGUUCUCUAGCUCAAAGUAUGCCUCAAGUAAUCAAAUGUGCAAGAGAGAACCCCCAAAAGCCGGCCACCAACUAUUUAUAAGCCCCUCGAAGAAACUAGCCGUUGGCUGUUUUCACUAGGCUAAAAACGGGGGCACCGGACGCUACUAAGUGAGCACCGGACGCUCGACUCCCUGCGUCCGGUGCACUGGAGUUGGCCACGUGUCCGUCCUGAAUCUCGCGUGUCAGAUCCUAACGGUCACCUGCGGAUCACCGGACGCUCUGCAGGUUUACACCGGACGCGUCCGGUGCACACCGGACUCAUGCGCAGAGAGUUUGUCAAACUCGUGACCUCACCGGACGCUGGGCACCGGACGGUCCGGUGCUCACCGGACUCGUACGCAGAGAGGGUUGCAAAAACCCCUCACACCGGACGCUACCAGAGUGCGUCCGGUGCUCAACCCUAGCAGAGUCAAGCUCUGACAGCACACCGGACGCUCGGGCCAGCGUCCGGUGCCUCCGCACUGAGCGUCCGGUGAGUGUUUCCAACUGAGAAACACUUCCGCGACUUCUUCAAAUUUCCCACCGGCGCAAUAGAAAAUAUACACUUAAUUUUCUCAAAAGCGCCGAAUCCCGCCUCGCAAGCUCGGAGGGAGGGAGAGAGGAACCCACACCCCUCUCAACCCUAGGAAAAACACCUCCUUUGCAAAAGUGCUAACACCAACAAGUGUCCACCACCAAAGUGCAAGUGUGUUAGCUUUUCACAAACAUUUUCACCAAGGGAGUUAAGUUAGCACUUUACUAGAUCCUAAUGCAUAUGCUCAAGAUAUGGACCUAGUAGCACUUGAUUCGAGAGAUGACCGUGAUUUCCCCUCUUGAUAGUCGGCUAUUUAUCCUAAACCUGGUCAAUCACUUCUCUACUCAUCUUAGACCGGCAAAAGUAAAACCCUAUAUUUAUACCUUUGCCUUGUUCACUUUCUCCCUUGUCUGUCAUCAUGAUCUCCACAUCAUGCUUCAUCUCUUUGUAUUCAUGUGGCCACCUUUCCAUGCCACCAUGCACCUUCAUCACAUGUGUUGCUAUGCCUAACUCAAAUCACUUAAACACAAGGCAUUAGCAACUUGGUGUCAUUAAUUACCAAAACCAAACUUGGGCUUUCAAUCUCCCCCUUUUUGGUAAUUGAUGACAACCAUCACAAAGAUAUGAAAUGAAAUCAUAAUGAACUUGAAUUGCUUGUCCAAAGCAUUUUAAUCAUGAGACAAGGUUGGACAAACAUUUCAAUUUUGGUUUUGGUAGUACUAGCUCCCCCUACAUAUGUGCUUCCAUGAGUUUGGUUCAAGUUUGCACAUAUGCAUAAAUUAGAGUUUUGGGAGAUUUAUUACUACCAAAAUUAUGCUAAGGUAUAUAGAAUGGACCUUUGAAGCGUGAUACCAAUCGGAGUUGCCAAUAUACCAUCCUUAGCACCAAUGUAGCUAGACAUACAUCAAAAACUCAAUAUACCUCGUGAGAUCACAUUAUAUGUCUAGAUACCACAAGAAAAUAAAACUCUAUGCUAGAAUUCAAAACAUCAUUCAAGUUCUAUUUCUAGCAAGCACCAAUCAAACAAGAGUCGUGAAUUUAAAUUUGCAAUGCAACAACUCAUUAUGUUAGUGCACAUACAAAUGCAACAAAUGGUUCAUGAGCUUGCUCCCCCUAUUUGUGUGCUCAAGCUUAAAAAGUUUAAAAAGUUUUCUCUCCUUUUUUUUGUUUAUCUCCCUCUUUUUGACUUUAUCUUUGUUUCUCUCCCCCUUUGUCAUCAAUGACCACAAAGGUUCAAAAUUUUAGUGAGAAUUAAGUCAAUCAAUGUGAGGGUCAAAUUAUGGUUCAAUCUAGAUCACUUGCCUAGAACAUGUAAUUCGGUUUGAUCCAAGGACAAGCUUUUUCACACCUCAUAAAGUAUAAGGGUUAUCUUGACCAUGUUGAAUUACACAUCAUAAGCUCAUAUUCUAGAUUCAACGCUAGGCUUGCAAGCUCACAAACAUGUCAUAUGCUACCACUAGAUCAAUCAAUCAUAGAAGCAAUAGUGGUACCAUACAUACAUCAAAAUAUUUUUUUUUUCAUGAAUGAGCCUAUUUGUCAUGCAAAUAUGUCUAUAUGUUCUAAUCAUGUCCUUAGCAAAGUAUGAAUGAUAUGUCAACCAACUUUACCUUGCUUUGUUGGAGGAGAGGCAUGUCAUAUAUAAAUGUGGGGGCGCACUCAUCUCAAGUUGGAGAAGUCAAGUAUGUUCAAUUCAUUUCUUAACUUCCAAAAUCUCUUCUCAUCAAGUGGCUUCGUGAAGAUGUCGGCUAAUUGAUCUUCGGUCCCAAUGCUUUCAAUGCUAAUAUCACCCUUUUGUUGAUGAUCUCUUAUGAAAUGAUGCCUUAUGUCAAUGUGCUUGGUUCUUGAAUGUUGAACCGGAUUUUGUGUCAUUUUGAUUGCACUCUCAUUGUCACAUAGCAAAGGCACAUUCUUGAAUUUAAUUCCAAAGUCAUUCAAGGUAGCUUUAAUCCAAAGUAAUUGUGCACAACAACUACCGGCACUAAUGUAUUCGGCCUCGGCGGUUGAUAGUGCAACACUAUUUUGUUUCUUUGAUGACCAUGAAACUAGAGACCUUCCCAGCAAUUGACAAGUGUCACUUGUGCUCAUUCUAUCAAUCUUGUAUCCACCAUAGUCGGAGUCCGAAUAUCCAAUUAACUCAAAGUUAGACCCCUUGGGAUACCAUAAUCCAACAUCAUGAGUGCCUUUAAGAUACCUCAAUAUCCUCUUUGUUGCCUUCAAGUGACUUCCCUAGGUGAAGCUUGGUAUCUUGCACACUUGCACACACUAAACAUCACAUCCGGCCUUGAUGCGGUGACAUAGAGCAAACUUCCAAUCAUGGACCGAUAUAGCUUUUGAUCUACCAUGUUGCCACUUGCAUCACUAUCUAAUUGAUCAUUUGUGCCCAUAGGUGUGCUCAUUGGUUUAGCUUCUUGCAACCCAAACUUCUUGAUCAUGUCCUUGAUGUACUUUCCUUGACUUACAAAAGUGCCAUUCUUCAUUUGCUUGAUUUGAAGACCAAGGAAGUAACUAAGCUCUCCAAUCAUGGACAUCUCAAAUUCAUUUGCCAUCAUUUUUCCAAACUCUUCACAAAAGUCUUGAUUGGUUGAUCCAAAGAUGAUAUCAUCAACAUAGAUUUGCAACACAAACAAGUCAUUGCCUAGCUUCUUGGUGAAGAGGGUAGUGUCAACCUUUCCCAUCUUGAACCGUUUAGAGAGAAGGAAAUCUCUCAAUCUCUCAUACCAUGCUCUAGGUGCUUGCUUCAAACCAUACAAUGCCUUCUUGAGCUUGUAAACAUGGUUGGGUUUCUUGUCAUCUUCAAAACCGGGAGGUUGUUCAACAUAAACCAACUCAUUGAUGUAUCCAUUGAGAAAUGCACUCUUCACAUCCAUUUGAUAGAGCUUGAUGUUGUGGGCACAAGCAUAGGCUAAUAAUAUUCUAAUUACCUCCAAUCUUGCAACCGGUGCAUAUGUUUCUCCAAAGUCAAGACCUUCAACUUUAGUGUAGCCUUGUGCUACUAGUCUUGCUUUGUUUCUCACAACUACACCAUCUUGAUCUUGCUUGUUUCUAAAGACCCACUUGGUACCAAUCACAUUGUAGUUCUUUGGCCUCUCAACAAACUCCCACACUUGAUUUCUUGUGAAGUUGUUCAAUUCUUCAUGCAUGGCAUUUACCCAAUCAGAAUCUUUCAAUGCAUCUUCUAUCUUCUUUGGUUCCUCAAAUGAGACAAAUGAAUAGUGCUCACAAAAGGAAGCUAGCCUUGAUCUUGUUUGCACACCACUUUGAAUACCUCCAAUGACUUGAUCCAAUGGAUGAUCCCUUGCUAUACUAGUAGGUUGGAGUAUUGGGAGUUGAUUGCUUCCACUAGCUUGAUUUUGAUCUUGAUCAUCAUCAUGAGAGCCACUAGUACUAGCUUGAUUUGUAUCAAUUUGCACUUCUUGAUUGAUCAUGUGAAUGUCAUUAUCAUCAUCAACUUGCAUUGGCCUUAUGUCACCUACAUCCAUGUUCUUCAUUGCAUUAGCCAAUUGAUCUCCUCUCACAUCAUCAAGAUUUUGAACUUCAUUUUUAGAUCCCUCGGUUUCAUCAAACUCCACAUCAUGGACUUCUUCCAAUGUGCCACUUGCCAAGUUCCAAACUCGAUAUGCCUUGCUUGUGGUGGAAUAACCAAGUAAGAACCCUUCAUCACAUUUCUUCUCAAACUUGCUCAAUCUAGUGCCUUUCUUGAGAAUGUAGCAUUUGCAACCAAACACUCUAAAGUAUGCAAUGUUGGGCUUUCUUCCAUUCAAUAGCUCGUAUGGUGUCUUCCCAAGCUUCCCAUGGCAAUAGAGACGGUUGCUGUUGACACUUCUUAACGCAACCACCGGAUAUCGGCGACGGCGCCAGAAGUGCCCUGGUAGGGUAACUCUAUUUACUAUUGGAUAAUUCCGCAAGCGCACAGAAUGUACCGCUGUAGCACUUCACCAAGGAGUAUUCCAAGGUAUCGUAAUUUAUAUUUUCCCAAGGGAAAGCGGCUAAGUGUGUUUAACAAAAAGGGGAAUGAGAUUCCUUGAGUUGUCUAGUAUCAACUAGUGAAUAAGGGUGGUAAAUAACGAAUAGGAAGGGUAGUGGUGAAUCCAAGGUCCUAUGCUAAAGGUAAAUGGUAGAGUUAGCUAGGUGGGAGGACAACGAGUGAGUAAAGGACUCCUAUGUAUCUAACUUGACUUCUGUGACUUACUUUAAUAGAUAAUUGUCUUAACUACGCUAGAGCCUUACUAACUGUGUGCGAGGGAUAGCCGAGCUGGUAAGACGCUUAGAAGGUUUUUCACCUAACCCCUUACCGAAAGCGACUAUUGGGCUUAUGGACGCCUUACCUUUUAAGAACUAGCCUGUACGUGAGGAGAACCUAAUGCCGCCCACGAUCUGUCACCUACUAGGGAGUGCGCUCCUACUUUCCGUUCAAGCCAGCGGUAAUCAAAGGUAAUCUUAAGUAUGAGCACCACGCUCACACUUAAUCCUACAACGCUAACUAGUUGCAGCUAGCUAGAGCUCCUAUACAAGAUAGGACGAUGAUGCACACACAGGAGUGGUUACAGGUCACUAACUUCACUAAGACAACUAUAUUACUAAAGUAAAUGCACAACAAGACUAAAAGACUUGCACUAAGUAAGAACUCAGUAAAGUAAAGUAAGAAUAAUAUAUUAAUAAAAGGAAAGUCUUACAAAAGUAGAAAGGUACAAGAGCUAUACCAGACUCUCCAGAAGACGACUCCGGAGACCCCGAGCUUCGCUCGACUCGACUCUAACUCCCACUCUAGACUAACUACUACUCUACUUGUAUGCUUGGAACUUGUAAUGCACUUGGCCUUGGAAUUGCACACUUAAAAUGAAGGAUGGAGGCUGCCUUUUAUAGAGGGAGAUGGAGUAGGGGUUACUCCAUCGCCACGUCAUCGAUCCGCGUGACAUCUUCUCUCCACCCUUGGAUCAAACCGACCUCACAACCGCCAUUUGAUCAACGGCAGGGGCAAAUCAACAUGUGGGACAUGUGGGGAAGGUCGGUGGGAGGCCACCGACCCUGGAACCGCCUUUGAUGUGGGGUCGGGCGACCCCACUUCUGGGCCUCUGGGCCCACCAGCAGUGUCCACAGGGGUCCCUUAUGUCGGUGGACUAGGUGGCACACCUGGGUCCCACCAAAGAGGGGUCGGGCGACCCCCUCCCUGUGGGCCCAGGGUGUCACCUGUUGUCCCCUCGAUCUCCUCUUGAUGAUUCUGAUGUUGGCUUUGUCAAAUAAUGUCUUGAAUUUGUUGUUCCUGCAUAAACAAGCUAAGAGUACAAGUGGAACUAGUUAUGGAUAAAAUAUGUUCAUGUCAUGUCGUUUCCUCUUGCAACCGAGGCAUGUUGACGGUGUUUUGUAUGUGGAUUUCUAUGGUAUAUCCACCGUCAACAAGAUCCCCCAAGCUUAACCUUUGCUCGUCCAGAGCAAACAAUCAAACUUAGCCUCGGUGGAUCAGGUAUUGUUACUAUGUUCACAUUUCAAGAGUACCAUGUGUACAACAAAGUUCUUCUCUUUGCAUGAAAAAUUUAGCUAUGUAAACUUACCCCUAUUACCUUAGUCCCUUAUGGGGCUUAUGGCUUUUCCUUUGUCUUAGGUGGUUGAGAGACGGAACAGUUUGACUUGAGCACUAACUUUCUCAUUCUUAGCAAGUUUCAUAUCAGAGGUUUUGUGAUAUUUUCAAAAGAAAGUUUAAAUGUUCCUCUUAUGGUUCUCUCAUGUCACUCAAAUGGUGUAUGAUUCCUCACCAAGGCAUAUGGUAAGAGUUGCCUUCUCUAUUUCAUCCUAUUUCUAAAAGGCUUAUGUGGAGUUCAAGGUAGGGAUGAAAGGAGAUAGCAUACUUACUUUGCAUGUAUUGCGAAGUCAAAGCUCGGAUCCUUGAAGAGAAGUGUCAUACUCCCAGAUCAAGAUGUGCAAGUGUGAUAUAUGGUGGACUAGGUUGCUCCUUUAUUUGAUAGACUCUCUAUGUAUUGAGACAUGGCUAGCAUUUUUUUUCUUCUUUUUUUUUUAUAUAUGAGCUUUCAUGUGCUCAAUUUUCUUUUUCUGUGGACUUGCACAUGUCCAUCUUUUUAUUUCAUUUUGCCUAGCCUUUUGAUGUCUCAUUUACCAAAUAAUGCUUAGAGAGAUGUUCUAACAUUUAGAGUAUGGAGCAACCUAUUUAGUGGAUGCGAAAUACAUGUGGUUGCGUACUUCCAGUGUAGAAGCAGCAUAUAUAUAUAUGUGGUGUGUACGUGAUCUUGAUCUUAGGAGCAUGAAAAAGUCUCUUAACAAGGGUCAACAAGACUUGACGACACUCAACACAAAGCAAAUAGCUUAUGUGGAAAGGUUGCAAUUAUGUAAAGUAGAUAUGGCUGUGGUAGGAAUUCAUCACCAUUGAGGAACAAUUAAGGUUUUGAUCAUUUUAAGAAUAAAUCUCUGAUAAUCAUGCAUGCUUAGAAAAAUAUUAUAGUAGCUCUUGUCUUACUAUCUCAUGUCCCACAACAACUUAGACUUAGUUCUAGCACUUGCAACCCACAAAGUUUUUAGGUUCAUGGCAGUUUAAGUGAGCUAAGUGAUCCAUACUUAGAGAAAUACUAAGUUGUAUACUAGGCACUAGAGAAACAUUAACAAGCAACUAGUCAUAAUUUCCAUGAGGGAUAUAAACAUACAUGAAGCAUAUAUGCUAAAGGGAAAUGCUAAUAAAUAUUUUUUUUAAGUAAGAAUGAUAAAAUGCAUGAAAAUAAAUAGGAUAGAAUACUUACCUUAGUGGGGGAGAGGAUCUCCCCCAAGCUAGAUCUUCGCUCACUGUGGUGGCGGGAAAUUUUGGUACCAUCCAGCCCAGCGUUGUGCGUCUUCCUCUCGCACACGUCGGAUAUGUUGGCCGUUUUGUAACGCCAGUUGCAAUGUUGCUUCUUGCCCAAUCUGCAAUUCGCCCAUGUCAUUAAUGAGACUGUCCAUACCUGUGGGCUGGUGACGCCUAGCCCUGUCCCUUGGGCGUGGAGUGCGUUGUGGAGGUAGACCCAUGGAGUCUGAAGCAUCCACUGACAUCGCUCCAUCGCCCUCUUCAACGUCAUGGUGCGAGGAUCCUCCUUGCUCCAUCUGGGCGGCUUGCAUCAUCCUUCUUGUCACCCUGCGUGUCCCUGCAAUAUCUGGACUUGCCACUCGGGCUAGUCUAAUGGUAAGUGUGCGGACCCCAUACAACCGGCGCCUCGCACAUGGGAGAGGAAUUUCGGUUGUAUAGCCCGGAUAAAUCAUUUUAAGUUCACCAUUUGGAUCUCUUAUGAGCAUGUUAGCAUUGAUAAAGAAGUUCUCAUCUACCACUCCUCUAACAUAGCCAAUGUCUUCAAAAUAAUGUGAUUCAAGUAAUCCAAAAGUAUCGGCUAUUCGAGUAAUAAAGGAUGUGAAAUAGAUGGGCUUCCCAUACUCAAUAGAGUUAAGCCAAUAGUUCACUAGCAGUUUCACAGGGGAGACCUUGAUUUUACUAACCAUGGCAUAGAGAAUUUUAAGUUCAUCAUCAAUUAAAGUAUCAGUUCCCAUGCCAGGAUAUAGAGUGCACAUGAUCCAGAAGUGAAGAAAGCGCAAGGUUGGAUUAUGGAUUUCAAUGGGAGUAGGAUUUGAACAAUCAUUAGAGCCAGAAAUUGCUUUCCAAAAUCUAAAUUUAUCGAACAUUCUAGUGGCAUGAUCUAGAUCAAGUUCACAUUCAUGUUCACACCCUAAAGCAGUGUUUAGCAAACUCCAAUUUAAUUGAUGUUCUUGCUCACACAUGCGAAAAGAUAUUCCAUUAUUUGUGAGUUUUAGGGUGCAUAGAAAUUCCUUAGCAAGCAAUUCUUUUCCAAAUUCAGGCACUUGCCAAAAACUACUCCAACCAAUUGCUCUAAACACCUUAUCGAAUUCAACAUCCAUACCUGUGCGGGCCAAAAGGUCCGGAUCGAUGAUGCUAGUGUGUAGGAAGAGACCCUCUCGGAUGAUGUAGUACCUUUGCAACUCUUCUUGGCUUAACAUGAGGCCGCUCUCGGGCUCUCUCAUCCUUGAUGGAGGCUCGUAGGGUACCAUCCCAUGGUAACCUUCUUCUUCCUUCCUUCCAUGAGCAUGGUGAGAGCCUUGAGAAGAGCUCUCACCCUUUGCUUUCUUGAACUUGCCGAAGAUAUGCUUCUUCAUCCUCCUACACAAGUGAGGCAAACCAAGCUCCUACUACUACUACUAUGCAAGGGGAAUCUUUUUGGGUUUUUGUUUUGAUGACUAUUUCUAAACUAAACUUGAGAAAUGGCUUGUAACAAAGAGAGAAGAGAAAGGAUUGUGAGCUCGAAAUGGUUCUGGUGGUUUUGGGUGUGGAGUUGAGCUCACAAUGCUGUGGUAUUUAUAGGGGGAGAAGGGCAAGUAGUGGACCCACAAUAUAGGGGUCGGCCGACCCCCCCUAGAAGCACUUUGAAUUUGAGUUUAGCUUUAUACAGGGAACCAUUCUGCAUGCUUUCAAGAUUUUGCAGAGAUGGUCCAAAAUGGGGGUCGGCCGACCCCCAUCCUAGCCCCUCCUCCACUUUAAACAUUGUGUCAUUGAUUGUCCGGAAAAGUAAAGGCUAGGUGUGGACCAAAAGUUUUCAAAUUGUUUCUGAGAUUCCCUGUUUUAGUGCUUUGUGAAAGGUAAAAGAUGAAUGGCAAAAGUGGAGACAUGUCUAAAGUGAUUCCUAUGGACCAUGGGAGCACUCAAGCAUGCCUAGGUGACCACUUUGCAGAAUUUAAGCUAGUGGAGUGGUCCCAAAAGAAUCAAAGAUGAAAGGAGCAUCUUAUGACUAAAGUAAAGGAUCAAGGGACCACUCUUUUUCAAACUUUAGCUAGUGUUACAAGCAUAGGACUCCAUUGUGAUUCAAAUGGUGGCCAGCAGGAGGCAAGUGGGGCCAAUAUGGGGGUCGGCCGACCCCCACAUUGGAGCUCCCAGAGCAUCCAAGUGCUGGGUUGGAACCUCUAUGACUAGCAAGGUUGAAAUGUGGUGAAGUGGGCCCCAAGGUGGGGUCGGGCGACCCCCCUUUGGGAGCUCCAGCAGCUCAAAUUUUUAUGACAAGUUAUUCUCAAGAUUUUAUUUAUUAUGGCUAAACAUUUUGUCGAAAUAAGAUAUGCAAAAUUCAAAGUAAGAAAGCAAUUGAAAAGUGAAUAGUAGAAAUUGAAAUGCAGAAAAUAAAUAUGGGAUAACUACUGAUUUACCUUAUCAGCAAGGGCUCCAUGUUUUAGGUCCGUAGAGCAGGACCUCUCCAUCUUGUUCAUCCUUCGGGUGCAUCAGAUGGUCCCGGAGACGUGGACCUUGAUUGCACCUCUUUCUCCCGCCAUACUUGCUUGGUAUUGAUUUUUGGUUCAGCGGGUUCCUCUUCUUUCUUUUCGGCCCUUUUGGCCGACUUACCUCUCUUGUCCCUUCGGCGUCGGAUGUGGCGAGGCUUAGUCGGAGGUUCUUUGUCCUUCACCUGCAUGUUAGCUUUAUAACCAUUGAAUGGACAUUUUACCUUCCAUCCUGGGAAUUGGAGGUGAAUCUGGCCGGACCCCACAUAGAUGACUGCAUUGACCGUGUUGAGGAAUGGCCUUCCCAAGAUGAUCGAGACAUCAUUAUUGGAUCCCAUAUCUAGAAUGAUGAAGUCGGCAGGGACGUAGUCGUCUUGAACUUUUACCAGUAUGUCCCUUGCCAACCCCUCAGGGAACCUGAUCGUCUGAUCUGCCAUCUGCAAACGAACAAAUGUGGGGUGCAAAGGCCCCCCUAGCAAAUUAUCAUAAGUUACCUUGGCCAUGAUGUUGACACCCGAUCCAAGGUCGCAGAAGGCGUUGUGGAAGAUUUGCGGUCCGAUCUCACAGGUGAUGGUCGGCAGGCCUGGGUCGUCCUUCUUGGUGAUGAAGGGCGAAUCCAGAAGAUAGCUCCAGUUGGAUUGUACCGGAGGCUUACCGAACCUCGUAGUAACUAGUUUAACUCCUUCAAUUGGGUCCUCAGGUUUCCCUGGGAUCUUACCUUGCUCGAAGGAUGGGACAGCUGCUGCUAAUUGAGCUAAUUGUGUUUCUAGCAUUUUGUUAAAGCUCAACUGAUUUUUCAUACCAGAGUUAAAGUUAUCCAACUUUUCACUUAAGUUUUCAAGGAUCUUAUCAUUAGCCAUCAUUUUCUUGUUAAUGCUAUCAUUGAUUUUAGAUUGGCCUAAGACAAGAUCUCUAAGAGAAGGUUAGUUACCAAAAGAAUUAUUGAAAUUUUGAUUGUAACCAUUACCUUGAUUACCUUGGUAGAAGGGGCGCGAGUUCCAUUGCUGUUGUUGGGGCCGGUACCCAUUGUUGUUGUUGUUGUUGAUGAAGCUCACUUCCUCCUUUGUUUCGGGACAAUUGUUUCCCGAAUGAUCAUCUCCUCCGCACACUUCGCACCAUGAAUCAGAUUCAAUGGCCCGUGCAGUGGCGUAAGGUUGAAUGGUCUCUUGCUUGGAACUUUCUUCCAUCUUCUUCAUUAAGAGGUUCAUCUUAGCAGAGAGCAUGUCCACCUCAUUCAAGGCAUGGACACCUCUUCUCUUGGGUUGGAGGCGUUCCUCAUUCCAUCCUUGGUUUAUAACCAUCUUUUCAAUGAGGUCCUUGGCAUCCUUGACAUUGUGUUGCAAGAAUGCUCCUCCAGCGGCAGCAUCAAGGUGACUACGGGCCAAACCGGUCAGGCCAUGGUAGAAACCUUGGAUUAGGAGCCACUCCUCUAUCCCAUGAUGAGGACAGGCGCGAAUGUACUCCUGCAGACGUUCCCAUGCUUCGGGAAUCGUCUCAUCUGCUUGCUGUUGGAAGCUGGAAAUCUUUCCACGAAGGGCGCUGGUCUUGCCCAUCGGAAAGAACUUCUUGAGAAAUGCAUUGGCGCACCUCUCCCACGUGGUCACUUCACCCUUGUUGGCGUAGAACCAUUGCUUCGCCUUCCCCAAUAACGAGAAUGGGAAGAGGCGAAGACGGAUGGCGUCUGCGGCGACAUUCUUGAUGGUGAAGGUGCCGCACACCUCCAAGAAGUGUUGGAGAUGGGCAUUGGCAUCCUCGUGUGGCUUUCCACAGAAGGGAUUAGCUUGCACCAUAUUGAUAAGCGCAGGCUUCAACUCAAAAGUCGCAUCCCCCAAGUUAAGCUGCGGACCCGUGGCGACAUUGUCAGCCGACGGCGCAGAGUACUCAGAGAUGGUCUUCUGGGCCAUAGCUUCUUUGAUAACCGGUGCAGAUACUCCUUCCUCUAACGGAUUCAGGUUCGAGAUGAACCUUUGAGGUGGAACUUGACGACGUCUAGUUCUCCUCAACAGUUGCUCAGGAUCUUCAACGAAGUUUGACGGCAAUUGGAAACCGCUCAUACACUGUCAGGCUUCACAAUAAAGGAAGACAAGACAAGUGAUGGGUUAUCCCUAUCACUACUUGAUAACUAGCAAACUCUGGAUUCUCUUUUUGUUAAAACUCUUAGACAGACGUUGUCCCCGGCAACGGCGCCAGAAAUGCUUGUUGACACUUCUUAACGCAACCACCGGAUAUCGGCGACGGCGCCAGAAGUGCCCUGGUAGGGUAACUCUAUUUACUAUUGGAUAAUUCCGCAAGCGCACAGAAUGUACCGCUGUAGCACUUCACCAAGGAGUAUUCCAAGGUAUCGUAAUUUAUAUUUUCCCAAGGGAAAGCGGCUAAGUGUGUUUAACAAAAAGGGGAAUGAGAUUCCUUGAGUUGUCUAGUAUCAACUAGUGAAUAAGGGUGGUAAAUAACGAAUAGGAAGGGUAGUGGUGAAUCCAAGGUCCUAUGCUAAAGGUAAAUGGUAGAGUUAGCUAGGUGGGAGGACAACGAGUGAGUAAAGGACUCCUAUGUAUCUAACUUGACUUCUGUGACUUACUUUAAUAGAUAAUUGUCUUAACUACGCUAGAGCCUUACUAACUGUGUGCGAGGGAUAGCCGAGCUGGUAAGACGCUUAGAAGGUUUUUCACCUAACCCCUUACCGAAAGCGACUAUUGGGCUUAUGGACGCCUUACCUUUUAAGAACUAGCCUGUACGUGAGGAGAACCUAAUGCCGCCCACGAUCUGUCACCUACUAGGGAGUGCGCUCCUACUUUCCGUUCAAGCCAGCGGUAAUCAAAGGUAAUCUUAAGUAUGAGCACCACGCUCACACUUAAUCCUACAACGCUAACUAGUUGCAGCUAGCUAGAGCUCCUAUACAAGAUAGGACGAUGAUGCACACACAGGAGUGGUUACAGGUCACUAACUUCACUAAGACAACUAUAUUACUAAAGUAAAUGCACAACAAGACUAAAAGACUUGCACUAAGUAAGAACUCAGUAAAGUAAAGUAAGAAUAAUAUAUUAAUAAAAGGAAAGUCUUACAAAAGUAGAAAGGUACAAGAGCUAUACCAGACUCUCCAGAAGACGACUCCGGAGACCCCGAGCUUCGCUCGACUCGACUCUAACUCCCACUCUAGACUAACUACUACUCUACUUGUAUGCUUGGAACUUGUAAUGCACUUGGCCUUGGAAUUGCACACUUGAAAUGAAGGAUGGAGGCUGCCUUUUAUAGAGGGAGAUGGAGUAGGGGUUACUCCAUCGCCACGUCAUCGAUCCGCGUGACAUCUUCUCUCCACCCUUGGAUCAAACCGACCUCACAACCGCCAUUUGAUCAACGGCAGGGGCAAAUCAACAUGUGGGACAUGUGGGGAAGGUCGGUGGGAGGCCACCGACCCUGGAACCGCCUUUGAUGUGGGGUCGGGCGACCCCACUUCUGGGCCUCUGGGCCCACCAGCAGUGUCCACAGGGGUCCCUUAUGUCGGUGGACUAGGUGGCACACCUGGGUCCCACCAAAGAGGGGUCGGGCGACCCCCUCCCUGUGGGCCCAGGGUGUCACCUGUUGUCCCCUCGAUCUCCUCUUGAUGAUUCUGAUGUUGGCUUUGUCAAAUAAUGUCUUGAAUUUGUUGUUCCUGCAUAAACAAGCUAAGAGUACAAGUGGAACUAGUUAUGGAUAAAAUAUGUUCAUGUCAUGUCGUUUCCUCUUGCAACCGAGGCAUGUUGACGGUGUUUUGUAUGUGGAUUUCUAUGGUAUAUCCACCGUCAACAGUUGCUACAAUAGCAAGCCGUGUUGAUGGCUUCACUCCAAAAUGAAUGGCUAAAAUUGUACUCACUAAGCAUUGAUCUAGCCAUAUCAAUCAAGGUUCUAUUCUUCCUUUCAACUACACCAUUGGAUUGAGGAGUGUAUGUUGGAGAGAAUUGAUGUCCAAUGCCAAGAUCAUCACAUAAUUCCUCAAUUCUUGUGUUCUUGAAUUCACUACCAUUGUCACUUCUAAUCUUCUUGAUAGUGGUUUCAAACUCAUUUUGCACCCUCUUGACAAAAGACUUGAAUAGAUCACAAACAUCACUCUUAUCAUAGAGGAAGAACACCCAAGUGUAUCUAGUGUAGUCAUCUACUAUCACAAAUCCAUACUUGUUGCCACCAAUGCUAGUAUAUGUUGUUGGCCCAAAUAAAUCCAUGUGCAAAAGCUCAAAUGCCUUUGAUGUGCUCAUUUCACUUUUCUUAGGAUGUGCAUUUCCAACUUGCUUUCCGGCUUUACAAGCACUACAUGGUUUAUCCUUCUCAAAGGUGACAUCCUUCAAGCCUCUAACUAAGUCAUGCCUCAAUAGUUUGUUCAAUUGUUUCAUUCCAACAUGACCAAGCCUUGUAUGCCACAACCAACCCAAACUUGAUUUGCUAAUUAGGCAUGAUGUCAAUUGAGUGUCACUAUCAUUGAAAUCAACCAAGUAUAAGCUACCAUGCCUAAAUCCUUUGAAUAUCAAGUUUGAUCCAUCAACACUAACAACCUCAACAUCAUCACUUCCAAAGAUGCACUUGAAACCAAGGUCACAAAGUUGUGCAAUAGACAAGAGAUUGAAAUCAAGGCUUUCAACUAGCAACACAUUUGAUAUGCUCAUGUCAUUUGAGAUAGCAAUUUUACCAAGCCCCUUGACCUUGCCUUUCUUGUUGUUACCGAAGGUAAUUGAAUCAAAGCCACCAUUUUGACUAGUAUCAAUUGAUUUAAACAUACAAGACUCCCCGGUCAUAUGUUGAGUGCACCCACUAUCAAGCACCCAAUGCCUUCCUCCGGCUUUGAAAAUGACCUACAAGACAAGAUCAAUUCCUUUUAGGUACCCAAACUUGAUUGGGUCCUCCAAGGUUAGCAACUAAGCUCUUUGGUACACAAAUGGCUUUCUUCUUUGAGCCCAUCUAUGGUGCACCAAUGAACUUAGCAUGAAUACCUUUUGUAUCCUUGGUAAGCACAUAGAAAGAAUUAAGCUUAAUUGAGGAUACAUAAGCUUUGGGUUUCUUGUUCAUGCAUUGUUGCUCUAGUUGACCAACUUGCUUGCAAGCUUUGCAAUACCGGCCAUUUUUCUUCACAAAACUAAUCUUGUGAGGAGCAAAGGCGGCCUUGCCUUUCUUGGGGUUAUAGCCUAAUCCCUCUUUAUAGAGAGAAGCUCUUUGGCUACCCAAGCACAUAAGCAAGCGGUCCUCACCACCAUAAGCCUUGGCUAAGGUGUGAUUGAGCUCUUUCACCUCCUUCUUGAGAAUUUCAUUCUCAACUUUAAGUGUGGUCUCACAUGUGAAACCAUCACCACUCGAUGAGGAUGAUGUAGAUGAGCUACAUGAAGGGUUAGUAGAAGCAACAACAAUAGGGUUGCUUAAGAUAUCACAUGUUAUGCCUAUGUUGCAAGUUUGAGCUUUUUCAAUUUUAGUUGGCUCAUUUUCACAUUUGUUAACUAGAGAGGAAUGAGCUUCUUCAAGCUUAUUGUGAGCCUUUUGAAGCUUCUUAUGGUCUUCCUUUAGACUCUCAUAAGAUGCUCUAAGCUCAUCAAGUUCUUGUUCAAGGGUUUUCUUAUCCUUAAGCAAGGCCUUGCACUCCUUUCUAGUUUCUUUAUAAUGAUGAGUGCAAUCUUCUAGCAUAGUGAUUAGUUCAUCUUUAGUUGGUUCGUCAUCAUCACUAUCACUAUCACUAGCAUGGUCACUCUCAUCAUCGGAUGAUACCUUAGUGGCCUUAGCCAUGAAGCAUGAUGGAGUGUCGAAGAUGGAGCUCUUUUCUUGAAUGGCAAUGCUAGCAUGCGCCUUCUUCUUAGUGCUCUCAUCAUCACUUGAGGAGUCAUCACUAUCCCAAGUUGCAACAUGGGCAUCACCCUUCUUCUUGUUUGAGCCUUCCUUCUUUUCUUGCUUCUUCUUUUGCUUCUUCCUUUCCUUCUUGAUAGCAUCUUCAUCAUCACUAUCAUAAGGACACUUGGCGAUGAGAUGAUCCUUGCUAUGGCAUCUAAAGCACCUCAUGGAGUAAUCAUUCUUCUUAGAAGAGUUCUUCUUUCUUCUUGCUCGAUAGCCUUUCUUCUUCAUGAACUUGCCAAAUCUCUUGACAAGAAGAGCCAUCUCCUCAUCUUCAUCACUAUCACAAGAGCUUGCUUCUUCUUCACUUGAUGAUUCUUGCUUAGCUUUGCCCUUGGAUGUGGAGGCCUUGAAUGCCACACUCUUCUUCUUCUCAUCAUCCCUCUUUUCACCUUCCUUCUUCCUUUUCUUGACCAACUCAUCCUUCUCAUCAUCUUCUCUAUAAGCAUCAUCGGUCAUUACUUCUUGGAACACUUGUUGGAGAGUUGAUUCACUAAGUGUUGUCUUGACUAGCACGGUGAUCAAUGUGUCAAAUCUCUUGGGCAAGCUUCUCAAGAAUUUCAUAGAGAAUUGACUAUCUUUCACUUCUUCCCCAAGUGCCUUGAGCUCAUUCACGAUGACUUGCAACCGGUGAAACAUCUCCGGCACACUUUCAUCCUCUUGCAUCUUGAAGCUUGAGAACUUUUCUUGGAGGAUGUAUGCUUUGGCGGUCUUGGUUCCCUUGGUUCCCUCAAAUGUUUCUUCUAAUUUUGCCCAUGCAUCAUAAGCAAUCUCAAUAUUCUUAAUUUGCUCAAAGGUCUUGUCUUCAAGAGCUUCAUGAAGAGCACUAAUGGCAAUAUCAUUGCAUUGUAGCUUCUUCUCUUCGACCGGUGUUGGUGCAUUUUCAUUUGCAACCUCAAACUUUGUUUCGGUCACCUUCCAAACCUCUCUAUUGAUUGACUUGAGAUGAGCGGUCAUCUUGGACUUCCAAUAUGCAUAAUUGGUGUCAUCAAAGUAAGGUGCCUUCUUUGUGUUGUUGAUAUGCAAACUAAGAGCCAAUUCUUCACCGUAGGUUGUUAAGCCUCAAAUAAACGGUGCCUCGGCUCCGAUACCACUUGAAAGGUCCAAAUGGCUAGAGGGGGGGUGAAGUUAUGUUUUUCCAGAAAAUAGAAAAUCGGUUUUUAAAAAUCGGCUUUUUUUCGUGUAAAAUCGCGUGCUUCGCGGCCGGUGGGAUUCGAACCUGAGACCUUGCCCUUGCGCGUAGCCUCCUCUACCACUCAACCUAUCACUCACUUGUGUCUAUAUUAGAGUUUAGUUCCCCACAUAUUAUCCCAAACCGAGCAUAUAUUGAUUAUUUGAGGCUCUAAACGGAUUCCAACGGAAAAGUUGUCAACUACAAAGUUUCAUAACUUUUUAAGAUCUACGACUUUUAUGUUUUUUCAUCCGAAGUCAUUUACAAAAUUUGAAUUUCAAAUUUAAGAAAUUCAAACGUAGUUUUCGACGACAAGAUGAUGUCAAAUGGAAAAAUUAUCAACUACAAAGUUUCAUAACUUUUCGUGAUCUAUAACUUUCAUUUUGACAGUUUUUUCAAACAAGGUCAUUUGAAAACCUCAAAAAAUUAAAUUUCAAAUGAUUUCUACAGGCGGUUCAGUUAGGAAAACCGCCUGUAAAAAUGCAUCUUCACAGACGGUUCGUAGUUCUGACACCGCACCUUUUACACCACAGACGCGUGAUAACUACAACCGCCUGUAGUAUAAAAAAUGGGCGUCGGCGUUGUACUCUUUUCUACUAGUGUUGGAUCCAAACUGUGACGACGAUGUUGACCUUGAUGUAUGUAUUUUAUUGACUUUGAUGCAAACUCCAUGGGAUCCGGUGUUGCUGGACUCAUCGGAUCAAUGCAUGUGCGCAUCAAACGAAGUAGCAACUUGCAUACCUGAAUUGAAGCUACAACUACAUCAGAUAUGCAUGCAUCGUAGUACGUGAAUAUAUAUACAAACACCAUUAUCGUAUUUUAUGGAUCAAAACAAAAGAAAGGCAUAUAGCACUACACCAUUUAUAUCCCUAGCUGCUUAACGGCCUGUUUGAUGAGGCUAAGCUUUACCUAGCUAGUUCUAAAACUUAGCUAAAAUUAAACCUAGCGCAUUAAAAUAGUGUGACAGAAUUAUUUUUUAGCUAAAUAUAUUUAACUAGUUGUUAGUUAGUACGUGCCAUUUAAUUAAUUUAAAUUAGUUUUUAGUAUAACUAUUCAUCGAUUCCAGAGAGAUCAGACAGCAUCAGGACCGGAUCCAUAUACUUCCUCCAUACCUAUAAUACUUGACGUCAGUUUUAAGAAAAGUUGACGUUGUGGCCACUAGAGGCUUAAACGUGACGCAUUUGCCCCUGCGCCUCUUCGGCUGCCGCAACGCUUGCUGUGAUGAUUGGGUUUCGAACUCUGCACCCGCAAAUCGUGGUCACAGAGAGCUGCUCUAGCCAGUUGGGCUAGACAACUAUCUUGUGUGAAGAGCAGUCAUAACUCUAUUUAAUAGGGGUAGAGAUGGAAAAAUACCCUCUAAUUAAUCACUCCUUGGUAAGUACAAUCAUGUCCUAAACGUCAAGAAUUUCAGGAUUCAGAAAUAGAGGGAGUACAAUCUCUUUUGCUGAUAUGCAUGGUCAGCCUCACGUGAAACAAGGUACUUUGAUCUAGGAGUACAGGCCACUCGCAAAUCGAAACUUGGCUCCUGUGGCACUACGGCAUCUGAAACUAAUAAAUAGUCUCUGUUGCAUACGGUGUGCACAUGAAUGAAUGAAUGAGGCCGGGUACCCACUAGGCAAUUUUCCAGUUCUACCUUCAUAUAUCUUCCACUUGGUCAAAUUCGCACUAGUUAAUUAGGCUCGUUUUCAGCCUGUCACUAUUAAAAAGAGAAAGUGACCCUGCAAAAGAUAUAAAAAUAUCAAAGUCACAAUGUCGGCAGCAUCUAUCGAAUUAAGUGUCUAUUUACUUUGUCAGUCCCAAUGAAAAAAAGUCAUAGUAAUUUGUAUAGUUUAGGACACUACCAAGAAACUAUUCUUACCGGUAUAAAUUUUUUUACUACAGUCUAGAUAUAAAUUUUCUCAGUCAUCGAACGUGUUCCUCUCUUCCAUAUGUGGAUCCUGUGUGCAGUUGCCUUUUCUUUUAAUUCUCUUCCGUUUCUUGUUACACAUACACAAGAAUGUUCAACCAAUUAGAAAACAUUAAUCACUAAACUGAAAAGUUAGAUGGGACUACACAAAGAAGAACAUAACAAAAAUAAAAAAAACACUGAAGUGCUUGACAAAUGUAAUUUGAGCAGCUAGCGAUACGCACAAAUCAAAAUAGCUGAAUGCAACACCUGAUCACGGCACGUUGCAGCGAACCGAGCGCCGAGGCCCUUGCCGGCCGGCACUGCACCUGCUGCCUCGGUAAGGAUGGGGACGGUGCUCUAAACGGAUACCUGCGGAUCUUCUCUAGUGUAACUGAAUGAAGUAAAUAAAAAAAUGAGAAAAAAAUUGUCUAUUUAGUUCAUAAAUUACACUAGAGAAGAACCGCGGAUAUCCAUUUGUAGGGCCACCCCCUCCUUACGCCUCGGGCUCCAGUGAGGCCGGCUCCACUGCUGGCGCAGGAGGUGAAGGCAAAGGAGGUGACCGGCUCCAAACAUGAACUUACGAGGGCCAUCAACGAGAGCUGCAAGCGAGGAGUAGCGGCGAUGCGAACGAAGGCCAUCAACGAGCACAUGCAACUAGAGCAUGAGAUCUGGACCGAUAAGGAAGGAAACCAUCAGUUUCUUCCCAACACGAUUUGCGUCGUUUCCUCAUGCAUGGAUACCUGAGAAGACUUCGUUUUCUAUCAAGAAAACAGUUUCUCUGUUUUCUCUUUUCCCUCUAUAAUAAAUCUACUGUCAUAUCAACAAUUUGUGCAGUUGGCAAAGUAACUAAUAGAGAUAAAAGCUAUCAUAAAUACUCCAUUGAGACAGCCCUAAAAUUGCAAUAUGAUUUUUUUCAGGCUGUACAAGUUUUUGGCACUCUCCUAUAUUACUACACAUAAUUUUUUGAUGUAAAGUUGAUGUUAUUACUUUUGUAUUUGAAAUAGUUAUUUAUAAUUUGAUUUUGUAAAAUAACUGUAUAUAUAGAGGAUAUUUUUGCAAUAGUUUGGCAAUAAAUGAAUUGGAUAUUUCCAAGAGGAUAUCUCCAAGAGUUUGUCAAGAGGAUAUUUUUGCAAUAGUUUGACUAAGCUAAGGGAGCAUAUGCAUGCAUGUAGUAAACUGUGCUCAUGUUGCACAUAGAUUCAAGUGGCCGGCCUGGUAACGUGGCCUCGAAAAAGGGAAACCAGAGGACUGUUGCCCGUAUUCCCAACUCAACUCGAAGGAAAAAAAAUAAUUAAGCAAGCAUGCAGCAUCCAUGCACGUUAAUUUAAAUAACAAAGGUCAAUGCUUCACAUAUGCAUCAGUAUGUAGCUGAGUCAUGCAUGCCUGCUUUGCUGGCGAGUGUACUAUACCCAACAAUGUGUAUUGUUAAAGGUUUUUGCUGCCUAUAAAUAGCUUGGGCCACCCAAAGCUUCAUCAUCCUCCGAUCCAUCCAUCUCUCGCCCAUAUCUAGUCUAGAUACUAAUAGCUUAGAAGCUAGCCCCACAUCUCGGUCGAUCAUAUCUCAACAAUGGCUUCUCGUGCCGCCACGCUGAAGAUGGCCACUGCAACUGCCCUUGUCCUGCUGGUCCUGCUAUGCAUGGCGACCUCACCUGUGACUGCCUGUACCACCACCUGUCAAUUCGCCUGUGGUACCUUUGCUAUACAAGUCUGCGGUACUUGUUCCACUACCACGACAUGCAUCACUGAGGCUGAAAAGGUGUGUAUCAAGACCUGCACCGAAACCUGGUGCGGUAAGGUAUUCCUGCCAUGCCUCUAAGAAUAUGCAUGCAUGGAUUCGGAUCGGAUGGCUUAAUCGAUCUAUUCCGACUUCCUCGCUAGCGCAUGGUUGUUGUUGCAGAGAAUAAAGGUGAGUGCAUGCAAGGAGGCAGCCCUCUCCCCGUGUGGUAUGUGGGGGAGGGCUUGCAUGCAUGCAUGAUGAUCCACGUUACAUUUUCCAUUUAUAUUCUAGUUAUAUUAUCUUAUUAUCAUCGCAUAUUUCUGCCGCGGGCAUGAUGCAUGGCGCGUACAAUAAGACGACGUCCUACUAGCGUAGGAGUAUUGUAAACCUCUCUCCAUGCAUGUAUAAAUGGAAGGAGGAUUAAUAAUUAAUAUAGUGCGUGCCCAUCUUAUGCCGUUGUGCAUGUCAACAUGUAAUUCCUCUCAGGUUCUACCAGGGGCUUGUGGGAUAUAUACGAUCAUGGUAUUAUCAUUAUAUGUAAUUUAUGAACUUCCCUAUUAUGAUGAUAUAAUAUUGUCCAGAUUAACAAGGCAGCUAGCUUC